Molecule: long non-coding RNA, 98680 nt
Filed under: Ananas comosus (pineapple)
Lineage: Eukaryota; Viridiplantae; Streptophyta; Magnoliopsida; Poales; Bromeliaceae
Description: long non-coding RNA (ACOM_LNC033754)
Source: RNAcentral
UUUUUUAUAUUGAAAUCUAAAAAUUUUAAAUUAAAAAAAAAAGAUAAUGAGGUAUUAAGGUUUAGUUUGUUAUUGAGAUGGAUCUAACGUUAGUAGAUAGAAUGGAGUUGAGAAAAAACAUAUAGGAAUAUGAUUCUACGUUCUCCGAUAGAACCGCAUAAAAUAUAUCGUAACCGACUAAUCGUAAUAUGCGGAACGCAAUAUUACGUACGAAAAUAAAUAAAGUAUAUUUUCAUCGUCCUUUCUCACCGCACAUAACGCAAUCUCCUUUAUCGCCCUUUCUCACUGUUCAUAACGCAAUCUCCCCGCAAUUUCAAAUGAAAUCUAAGAUUCCGUGUAGGAGACGUGGUUAGGAGGAAUUCUAUACUGUCACACUUGCACCACGUCAUUAAUAACAAGCCAAUCACAUUCUUUCUUUUCAAAUAAAAAUACAAUAAAAAUAUUUUUUUAAAAUCAUGAUGGGACAUAUAUUCCUAAAAAAAAAUUAAUUAGUUUAUUAUGUCACAUCAUUAAUAUAUUCUUUGCAUUCUAGGAUUUUUCGUGGUUCAGAGCUCUCUCUUUUUCAUGUACAUUUUUUUCCAAAAGAAAAAGGGAAAAGUUUAAUCGAGACAGAUUCGUACGAGAGAAUUUGAAGCCGAGAAGAGUGCCACGUGGCAGUGGGCGGCGCGCGCGGAUUAGUCCGUACACGGUCGGCGACGUACUUUGCGGUGGGCCCCGCGUUCUAGAAACGCAGGCUAAUUACGCCACGCACACCAAAUUUGAUCUAAAAAUGAUUAAUACGUUUUUUUUGGGUUACGGAGGAACGCGACAGCACUACUUUAAAAUUAAUUAUAUAAAAAAAAUUAUAUUUUAAUUUUUAAUUUAUUUACUGCCACAUCACAAAUGUAAUAUUCAAUACCAAAAUAAAUAAGUAAAUUAUACUUUUAUCAUACUUUUGUGAUAUGUAAUGCAAUUCUGUCUCAAAAAUAAAGUCUAACAGUGUGUGUGUGUAUGCACCAAUAAUUUAGUACUUUUAAAAAUAUACAAGCUCAAUUAUAUAUAUAUUUUUUGUCAUUGAAUUAAGGAAUGUGCGGUUAUGAUGAUGUAGAACUCUUAGGGUUGAGUGGGUGUUGGUUAAAUAGUAUGAUCUAAUGAAUAAAAAUGAUCAAAAGAGUAGAUUUAACGGUAAACAAUUUACAAGCACCAAAUACUUGGUGUUUGUAAAUAUAAAAAGCACCGAGCACUUGAUGCUUGUAAAUUUUUUACCGUUAGAUCUAUUUUUUGAUCAUUUCCACCCAUUAGAUCAUAUUAUUCAAUCGAACGAGUAAAUAAAACAAAAAUAAAAUAAAAUAAAAUAAAAAAUAUUGUAUGUUGUGUAACCCGUUCAACUCUUCUAAAGCAUUUUUUAACCCCUUUUUUUAAUUUUUCGGAAAAAAAAAGUUGUUAAUUACCCCUAUGAAUUUUGUGUAAUUGGUGAGAGGAAUGCAUGCAUUUAUUUUUUCACAAAUAUUUUUUUUUCGUAGGCUCUCAUAAUUUUAAAAAUUAUUUAAUAUGUUAGAACCAAAUUAUUUCUUCGGCGGCAAAAAAUAAAUGUAUUUUUAUUUUUUAUUUACAAAAUUUUUUAAACAAAUUAUCAUUUUUUAUUAAGUCAGAAUGCACUGUAUUUAAACGGAAAAAAAACUAAGUGCAUCCAAACAGUCAGAUUUUUUAAAAUUUUUGCGCAUAAUAUUUUUAUUAUGGGUGAUUAUUUAUGAUGAACUCAUAUUAUUUAGAAUAUCUUUAUAUUAUUUUUUAAGUUGGGAAAGUGAUCUAAAAUUGUAUUGAAGUGUAGAUGGUCUCGGACAAAAAUUUUAUGGGCACAGUUCUCAAACAACUUGUUUGGGGACGAUGACGGUGGGCGCCGUGUGGUGUGCGGGUGUCCAUCACGACCCUAAAAAAUAAAAAUAAACAAAAUUUGUCGGCUCCCAUUGUUUAGAGAGAGAAAGAAGCAGGUGAGAGAAAGGGACGGUCGCGAUGGGCGCCCGCACACUACGCAACGCCCAUUUCACGAUCGCAUACCACGCGGCGCUCAUCUGCUCCGUCUCCAAACAAUUUGUUUGGGGACGGGUGCCCACAAAAUUUUUGUGCGGUGGCCUCACACCUUUAAUCAUUUAUCCUUUUGAUUUAUCAUGUUUUAUUAAAUUACGUAUCUAAAAUUUUUGUGCUCGAGGUGAUCGCAUACGAAACUCGUGUAAAUAAGGAGGCCCGCCUUUCACGUCAAUCGUACAACACCAAACACUGCUCAUAUCCGUAGGAAUCCAACACGUGUACAAUAAUUUGUGGUAGGUGUAACGGUGAAAAUGGUACGGAUAAUUUCGGAUUCAAUAUGAUGCUGAUCGAUGAUAAAAUUUAGUAUUCCACUCAUAUUUGUAUUUGAAUUCAUAUUCAAAAAAAAUAAGUUAAAUAUAAAUUAAAUAUAAUUUUUUAAAAAAUUCGAAUGCAAUCGACCAAUUCAUCCUCAGGAGAUAAAAGAAAUAUUAGUAUAUAUUAUAGAGAGAUAAAAUGAUUCUUUAUCUUUUUUUCUUCGUUUACUUUAUUAUGAGUUUUAUAUUAAAGUUGCAUUUAUAUUCGUCAAAUAUUAAAUUUUAUUAAAUAAAUAUAGGUAUACAAAGUUUGAACUUGAAUGUGAACCUUUAAAUGCAUUGUGCGUCUAAUCCGUACUAAUUUCAUUUCAUAUCGAUUUAUGCAUAUAAGUGUGUAUUAUUAUCUGAAUACAAAUUCGAGCCAUAUCUGAAUACGAAUAUGUUUUUAGUAGGCAUAGUAAUGAAAAUUUGACAUCCAACACAUAUCAGCAUCCGAAUUCGCAUCUAUAAAGUAUGGAUGUGAAUAUGGUUUUGUCAAAAAAUUUGACCGUAUUCAAUUGUUUUCAUCCCCAGGUGGGUGAUCCUUUACUUAUCAAUCUUUUAGUUUAUUAUAAACUUUAAUUUAAAAUUUAUUGAUUGUUGUAAUUAAGUUCUAUGGUAUAAUAUAAUUGGUUGAAUGAUAAUAUAUUAUUGAUGUGGCAAUGAUGCGACAUAUUAGUUAUUAUAUCAUUAUCACAUCAGCGGUACAUCACUAUCUAUCUAGCCAACUAAAUUAUAUUGUAUAAUUUAAUUACAGUGAUUUAUAAAAUUUAAAUUAGAAAUUGUAAUAAAUUAAAGUUUGAAAAUCAAAAUAUCACAUAUCGCUUAGUUUGCAAACGAAUAGUGUAAAUUUAGCGUUUACAUAAUUGGCACUCUUUUAUCUUAUAAUUUUUAACUAAAUUUGUAUGGUUAAUUAAUUUAAAUAUUUUAUUAAAUUUUGUAGCUCAAUUAUCUAUUGAACAUAAUUAAUCUCCUUUUACCCACUAUAAAGUAGUUUAUUAAGGUCUUGUUUGGCAGCAUUAAUUAUUAUUAUUUUUUGUAUAAAUAUAAUUCAUGCAUGAAAUAAUAAAGAAGAAGACAAUUGAUUGUUUGCCCUCAUUUCAUUCAAAAUAUUUGUUAACAAUAAAAAGUAAAAUUUUGAAGGCAAUUUUUCCUCUUAAAACUUUUUAAAUAAUAAGUUAUCAUUCAUCAUUUGAUCAAAAUGUAUUAGCAUGCUAACCAAUAACAACAACAAGUGAGAUUUUUUUUUUUUUUUUUCAGUUGAUAAUCAAAUUAUAUAUACUAACAAAAUAAAAAAUUACCUUAUAUUUUAUUAUAGCUAGAGUGAACAUCUUACACCCUAUUAUUCUUCUACUAGGAUAUGAAAAACUAUUUUUCGAAAUUUUGUACUUAAAAAAAUAAUAUGACAAGUAAAAAAAAUCUUAGCCUUUUUAAAGGCUAAGGUAAAAGUUUUACAAAUACUAUAGAUGUUCAUGUAGCAUUGCUCUUUAUAAUUAUAAAUGAAAUUGCUAAAGUUUCUAAUUUAUUAAAUAAAAAUUAUUGGGUCAAUUUCAUUUGUGUCCCUCUAAACUUCAAAAAUAUCAUAGAUGCCCCUAUAAAUUUGAUUACAUCACAAAUAGCCCUACAAAUACUUACUAUUUUUCAAAUAUGUCCUUAUCCUUACUAUUCAUCUUUUUAUAGAAUGAUAAAAUAUUUAGAUUAUUAUAAAUAUGGUCGAAAUGUCCAUUUUGUCCUUAACUUCUAAAAUUUUUUACAAAAAUAUUUAGCAUGAUAAUAUUUAUUUUAAAAUAUUAAAAUAAAGAGUAAUAUAUAUUAUUUUACCACUGUGUGGUUUGUAAAAUAAGAUACUUUACAUCAUUUAUUUUAAAAUUCUAGAUGCUAAAGCACAGAAAUUUGUGCUAGUUCAAAUAACUUAAUUUACAUCAUGCAUAUAUAUUUAAAUUAUAUUUUGAAUGAGCUGUUUAACCUUAUUUUAAUGAGUCAAUUGAUAUUUUAAAUAAUUUUUUGCUAAAUUUUUUUCAAAUUUUUUUAUUUUUUUAGCUUAACUUGUCAGGAUUAUAUAUAUAUAUAUAUAUAUAUAUAUNGUUAUUAAAAAAUUGAUAAUAAAUUAGUGUAAAGGUUAGUUUUGAAAGUUUCUCUCUUUUAAAAGAUUAUUUAUGAUAUUUUAAUUUUUAUAGGGGCAUUCAUGAUAUUAGAUUUAUUUGGAAGGGUAGUAAUGAAAUUUUUCCAAAAUUAUUUGGUUUUAAACAGAAGUCUAUACAAUUGGUGUAAAUCUUGCAGUAGUCUUGAGCUUUAAAUCUUGAGGUACUCUUGAGGUUUCUAUGUCUCACAUUUGCUUAUUUGUUUUAUCAAUUUAAUUUUAUAUUAAAAAUUUAAGAAAAAAUUUUAAAUGUUAAAAUGUAUAAAACUUAUUUCAACUAUCAUUUAUUUUGAUCUAACUAUCUUAUUUUAAAAAUUUUAAUUUUACUACAUAAACCCUUUAAUUAAUUUUUAUUUGGGCUUGUUGGUUAUUGUUUAACUUCAAAAUUUGAAUUCGCCGUUUAUCUUUAUGGAUUUAGUUAGUACAUUAUAUAUAAUUCAUAUAAUAAUAAAUUUAUUAAAGUAAAUUAUUAAUUUACAUUUUGUAUUCAAAAUAUUAUCAAAUUAAAUAAAUUAAAAAAAUAGAUAUUAAAAAUAAAAUUUUAAAAUAUUGGCUACUCAAAUUAAAAUAGUCUGUAGAGAGAGAGAGAGAGAGAGUUGAGCUGAAAUGUCAUUAAUAGCAAACGGGUUCGUUGCUACUCAUUUGUUUUCGAUGAUAGAGCCUCCAAAUCAAUGAUCGGCAUCGUUAAACAUGAUUUAUACCACCUGAAUCAUCUAGAAAUUAAAUUUUAUAUUUUUUCGAUAUUAUUUUCUUAUCCAUCAGGUUGACAAAAAAUAAACGGCUGAAAAUAAAUAUAUUUUAAAAAGUAAUAAUAAAAAUAUUUUAAUUGAGAUCAAGAGUAUAGAUCUUUGUUUUAAACAGCUUAAAGAAUUUUUUAACCAAAAUUCAAUUGAUUUGAAUAUCUUUACGCCGUUAAAUGAGAAAAUGUCUUAUAUUGACGAGUAAACUUACAAUUUUUGAUAUUAUUUGAUAAUUAGGUCAAUAAUGUCGAAAAAAUUUAAACUUUAGUUUUUAUAUGUUUCAAAUAGUAUAGAUUAUAUUCAACGGUGCCGAUCGUCAAUUUGGAAGCUCCAUCAUAAAAAAAUAAAUAGAUGACAAUAAAAUCCGUUUGCUACUGAUAACAUUUCAGCUCAACUUUCUGAUUCAAAAUCGUGGUAUAACAUGUAUCUCCCUUUGUUCCGGCCAUGGAAUAGAUGAAAUAAAUCAAAAAAUGGAUUCUUGUUCACAAUAAAAAAUAAACCCUAUCCCAUAGGUAUAGGGUUUGAUUCAAUAGAGAGCCUUUUCUUCUGUUAUAUAGUUGGUUCUCAUCCUUCAGAGAUUACGAGUGUAAUAGGAGCAUCUGUUGACAAAAGGAUCAUCCUAAGAUGAUCAUCUCAUGACUAUUGAGAACGAAUCAAAUCAGGUAGUUUUUUUUCUGUCCGAAAAAUUUAUCGAAAUAAUGAGUCGCCCCUUCCAUUGAUAUGAACAAAAUUGAGAUCAACAAAUGGUCGGGAGUAUUUUUAUAUAUAUAAAAUUUAGAAUUAUAAGUUAGUAAAAGAUGUGAACUUAAAAUAGAGUUAACGGCGGAGUUUUCAAAUUAGCCUGUGGUUGGAGAUAAAUUAAUUAGUGCAGUUAAGUAUGAAUGUGUGUCGGACACGUGGCAGCUUAAGAAGAGGAAUUUUGGACCCGCACGCCGAGGACCGGUGGGGCCCACCCCAGUGCGGGUAUACGUGGCCGUCCGAACGGUUUCGGUUGCUUGGGCAAGUUAAAAAAAAAAAAAAAAUCAAAUCCACUCGUGGUUCCACACUUUCUUACUUCAGUACUCUAUAAUUUAAAAUAUAUCAAAUUAGUAUUCUAUAAUUUUAUUUUUAUAUUUUCGUCAAUUUUUUUAUUAAUAUUUUGUUAAAUUAUAUACAAAAUUCUUCAGAUAUUCUAUUUAGGUUUACCGAAUAUUUACUUUAAUACCUUUUUUUAUUUUGAGAGAGAAAGGUAUCACGCUAUCUUCUUCAUUCAUUAAGAAAAUGAAAUUAGUUAUAUAAAGUAAGACAGCUAGGGCCUCAAGGAAGGGGGCUCGAUAAAAAUAAAAAUAAAAAUAAAAAUAAAGAUGAAAUUAAAAAUAAAAAUAAGAAAUAGCUUUCACCCUACUCUACAAGACUCGGCCCACUCUUUUGCAAACACUCUAAUAAUUCAGACGUCGCCCUGCUCUACAGGACUCGGCCCACUCUUUUGCCAACACUCCAAUAAGAUUAGCUGUUCGGGAAACGCCGCUGGGUAGAUUUCUGAAGAUGAUGUUAUUUUUAUCGCGCCAGACCAACCACCAAGUGGCCACAACCAAGGUCAGAGCCUUCGAAGCGUCGCACUGCGGGUGUCUCUCUAGUAGCCCCUCCCAGACGAUGUUGGUAUCUUCAAAACACGGGUAUCCGAGAUACUUUAAUAUCUUUUAGUUUUAACUUUGUCACUGAUGUAACGAAAAAAAUUAGUGGAAUCGAAUAAAAGAUAAAAAUAAAUCACAGAGCACUAAAUUGAUAUAUUUUAAACUAUAGGGUAAUAAAAUGAGAAAGUGUGAAACCACAAAAGUGGUAUUUGAAGUUUUUCCGAAAAAAAAGAUUGAGUGGGAAUUAUUGUACCAUUAUUAAGUGAAGUUAUCCGAUCAUUGCGAUGGGCUAAUACUAUAAGAGAAAAAAAAUUAAUAAAUUAAAAUCUUAAAAUUUUAAUUUAUUAUAAAAUAUUAAUAAAUAUAAAUUGUAGGAGAAAAAAAUAUAAAAAAAUUUUAUUUUAUUUGUUUUUUUAUAAAAAUGAUUUGUUUAGGCUAUAAUAAACUAUAUGAAGACAUUAAUUAAAAGAUGGGUAGGUGAGAAAAUAAAGUAUCGAACGGAGAUAAGGAUGGAAAGAUAAAUUAUCAAAAAGUGAGGAGAGGAGAAAAGAUAAGGAUGAAAAAAGAACUGUUAAAUGAUAAAUUUUAUAAAAAAUAAUAUAUAGAUAUGUGUAAAUAAUUCGUUUCUAAGUGUUAAUUUUUUUAAUUAUUUUUAAAAAUAAAGUUUUAAAAUUUUAGUAUUUAAAAAUAUUUAAUAAAAUUAUUAAAUGGAAAUAAAAUUAAUACUCAAUGGGCCCCGGAGCAAGACGUAAAUGAGCAGUCGUCAACGACGGCGUGGCAUCACCCGUUCACCACCACCAACCGCCUUAUCCGAGUCCGAUCGGACGGCGCACGAUGUUCGGACGCGGAUCGCCAACCCGCAAUGAUUAGCUCACGCCGUAAAAAAUAAUUAUUGUAGUAAUAUGUAUAUUUAUUUAUUAUAGCUAAAAAUGAAAAGGAGGUAAAAUUGUAGGUAAAAUGCUUUUUGGGUUCCUCCCACUUGUGGAUAAUGCUGUUAAUAUUAAUAAUAAAUAACUCUUUUUUUUUUGAUAUCGCUAAAAAAGAGGAAGAAAAAUUGGACCUGUACACUUUAUUCUGCAGUAUUAAUUAUUCUUCCAAAAAUUUAAAUUUAUUUAAAAAUAUCUUGCACCGAAAAAAAUUUAAGAAGAAACAUUCUGAUAUAGAAUUUGUAUUUUAUUGGCUCACCACCUAUUUUAGACGAUUAUUUGUUUAAAAGGAAUUAAUUUUCGAUUUCCAUUUCACUCUGGAAUGGAAAUGAGCAAAUUCAUUUAUGGCCAAAUCCAGUUUUGAAUUUCGGAUUUGCCCAUUUCAAUGUAAACUGCUCAAAAUUUUUUCUUACAUUUCACCUCCGCCUCCUCUCCUUUUACCACUCUCUUUUUUCUUAAUCAAAACUCUCUUUAAAAAAUAUUGGAUUCUUAUUCCGAUUUUCAUUCUAAUAAUGAAUCAGAUAUUUUUGAUGAUUCGUCAUUCUAUUUAUUAUUUCAAAGCAUUUAAAUUUUAUUUAUCAUUUCUAUUCUAAUCAUGAAUCAAACAUGCUCAUACGUAGGCAUAAAAUGAACCAAACAUGUUCUAUACGUACGUCUAAAACUAGUAUUACUCAAACUUGAGCAAUGUUAUUUGUAUUUACACCCCACCAAUUUAAAGGUCGAUAAUUUUUUACUAAUUUUAUUAAUUAUUUUUUUUUUUACUUCAAUACUAAUAGUUUUAUAAAUCUUCGACAAUUUUAAAAUUAUUUUAAACACAAAAAUAAUGCAUUUAGCCAUCGUAUUAUCAAUAUAAUUUUGAAAAAUGCUAUCUACAUCCUUAUUUAUAGGUAUAAAUCUUACAAUUCUUGUAUCUCAGGCUUCAUAAAAAUUCAAAUUGGUUUUAAUAAUAAUAAUAAUAAUAAUAAUAAUAAUAAUAAGAUAAGUAGGGAGUGAGAGUCCCAAUUUUUUACUCCUACUUAAUUCGAGAUUAAGAUGUAGUAAUACACCUGAAAGUGCACAAAAAGCAUUUACGUAAAGAUAUGUUCACAUUAGACUAAAAAAAAAUCUCUCAGUAACAUACAUGAGUCCUUCAAAAUUUGUUAUUUGCAUAGUGGUUUCUUAAAUCACAAUAAUAAUUUGUGCUCGCUAGUUCUUUCAUAAAGUUUUUGUAAUUUAACUGGAUUACAUAUUUUUUUAGCACUAAUUACCACUAUAAUUUUAUAGUAGAAAAAUAGAAUAAAAGGUGCUUUUGUAAACUAAGGCUUAAUAAGUUAGUAGAAAAAAAAAUCAGUAGAAAAUAUCAAGCAAUUUAGUCCCUUUUUAAUGUUGGCUUCUUUUAAUUAGUAAUACAAUUAUUAUCUCCAAAUGUAUAAGAAUCAAUUAGAAAGUUUUAAAAGGUAUAAAUAUACUAAUUAACAAUUGGCAUUAUAAAGUAUAAACUAACAUUGUUAAGGUGUAUAUCCAAAAUAUUCUUCUUAAAUACUACUAAAAAUAAUGAUCUGACCAAAUUGCGAUAUACAGGUGUGUCAGGGACUGAUGAUAUUUUUUACCCAAUGAUUAAGAUAGACAUCGUAAAAUCCUCGAGGGUGGACCUUUCAACGGGGUUUGGGUUGGGGGGCGGGGGCUGAUCACUGCUUAUUAAAUCCUCUCUCCCUCGCCUCCUUUCCCCGUCUCUCUUCAUUCUCUCCCUCUUUCUGCUUUGGACUUUGGAGUCGACAAGCCAUGGCGGAAUCGAUGGAGCUCCCGAGUCGACUCGCGAUCCUCCCCUUCAGGAACAAGGUCCUCCUCCCCGGCGCCAUCGUCCGGAUCCGGUGCACCUCCCCGAGCAGGUGUGGAUUCCUCGAUCCCUUUCGAUCGAAUUCGACCCCUCCCCUUUAAUCCUCGGCUCGCAGAACCUAGGGUUCUGGACGAAUUUCGCUUUGAUUGAGCUUCGAUUCUUGAGAUUGGGCUUGUUUUUGGCAAAGAAUUGGUCUUUUUUUUUCUUUUUGUGGGUUUCUUCGAGGGUGAUGGUGAGGUUUUGCGGGUUUUUCUGGGCUUUAAUUUGGCUUUCUUAGGUAGUUUUGAUCAAGUGGGAUGAUUUGGGAUGCUUUGGUGUGCUGUGCUUGUUGAUUUUUUGUUUUUGUUUUGAGCUUUGUCUAUACGCAAAUUUUCGAAAUUAAAAUAGAAUUUGGGUGCAGUGUGAAGUUGGUGGAGCAAGAACUAUGGCAAAGAGAAGAGAAGGGUUUGAUUGGGGUGCUCCCGGUGAGGGACUCGGAAGCUGCUGCAGUGGGUUCCUUGUUGGCUCCAGGUAAUUGGAGAGCUAGGGUUUACGGUGAUUUGGGUAGAGAAUACGUGAUUUCGAAGGGAAAAUUGAGGGAAUUGGUGCUUUUCUUGUAGGUAUGGGAAGUGAUUCUGGGGAAAGAGGUCUUAAAGUGCCGUCCGAGGUUGUGGGGGACUCACAGAAGCAGGAUACGAAGAACCAGCAGGAACUCAUCCAAUGGCACAACAGGUGCAUUUUCUCAAUUCGUGUUCUUGUUUCAAUUCCUGUGGUUAUUGCAUCAAAUUUUUGUGUGAAACUGAAAGAAGAAGCUAUUUGAAGAAACGGCUCCAUUGAAGUGGUAGUUAGAGAGAGUGGAAUUCAGAGAGGUUUUUCAUUUCACGUCUUUUACCUAGAUAUAUUAUAAACUGGUCGGAAUGGAAAGAAAUUUCAAGACAUAUAUCGAGCAUGAUUUCACUAGAUAACUCUUGUGUGGAGUAAUCUUUCCAUAACAUCACUUCGGGAGACUAUAUCUAGCUCAAGUAUCUUACUUUCAGGGGAGUUGCUGCUAGAGCUUUGCACCUCUCAAGAGGAGUGGAAAAACCAAGUGGAAGGGUCACAUAUAUAGUUGUUCUCGAGGGCUUGUGUAGGUUUAACGUUCAAGAACUCAGUGCUAGAGGGACAUAUCACGUCGCCCGCAUUUCACGUCUUGACAUGACAAAAGCUGGUAAGAUUUUGUUUGCUUUAUUAUCUGCUAGUUUUUUUUUGGUUUCUCCAAUCUCUACUUGUACUGCGUUCUUAUGAUUUUUUUUUUUUUCUCAACAGAGAUAACUCUUCCUUAUGUUUUGAUUCUUUUAAAUUGUAUUCAUUGGUCGUGGGUGUAUCUUAGUUGAUUGCUGCCCACCGGCCAACUGGGGUCACAUAUAGGUCGACUACACCUGACUAUGAAAGGCAGAAAAAGUCUCUGUUGAAACUAGUUGACUAACUGAUUGACCAGACUAUUGGACUGUUCGUCCAACGUUGCAGUGUAUGGCGGCCUAGGUGAAGGGUUGUUUGGAUCUACAACACCCUGACCAAGCCAAUGAAGUAUAGCACUCGACUCAGCUUGCUAAAAAUUAUGCCUUAGCCUCUAAUAUUGAAUCAAGCCGACAAUCUUUGCAAUGUAGUCAUUUUUAUUUUUCUUCUUUUGCUUGUUUUGUCCUAGCAUUGGCAAGGUGGUUAUGUAAAUUUUAAUGUUGUUAUUUUUUUUGGAUAAAAAAAAUACUUGCACAAAAAUGAGAAGGAUACUAUUUGUUGAAUCUUGAUCUUUUUUGGCUGUUAGAGGCUUAUAAUUUAAUAAACUUUAUUCAACAAAUAUGAUGUGUCAAUGGAGCCAUCUGAUGUCGCCAUGUAUGUUGGAAGUUGUGUAUGCUUUACUGAGGAAAGUCCAAAAUUUUAUUCUUCUGAUUUACUUUUAUACAACUAAGUCCUUUGCUAUUCGUAUAGCUUUGCAGCUGAAAACCUUAAUGAGAAAAUCAUAUAGAAACUUUUGGUCUAUCAUCAAUCUGCAAAUGAUGUCAUGAUAUCCUCUUAACUACAUGCUUUGUACUUCUCAUUUAAUCAAGCUGAGUACUCAAAUUACCUCAAUGCUGUUGUAAUUUGUCAGAGUUGGAGCAAGCAGAGCAAGAUCCAGAUCUUAUUUUGCUAUCUCGCCAAUUCAAAGCUACUGCCAUGGAGCUAAUUUCUGUCCUUGAGCAGGUAAAAUAUUGAUAGAAUUUCAGUGAGUCCCAUUCGACAUUGCUGUUGUUUAUUCCAGACAUUGUGAUGCUAAAUAGUCGGUCCUGCAAUAAAACAAUUAGGAAGAAGACGCGGCAGGAAAGAAUGUAUUAUUGUUGGAAAUAUUGUGUACUGUUUAGUUACCUAGCUGAAGUAUUGGGUUUUCUAAUGUUUGAGAAGAUCUCGAAAUUUCAAGCAUUGCUUAUAUCUGUACUUUCUUUUUUAUGGUCUCCAUAUGUAUUAUGAGUCAUGCUCCUGCUUUUGCUUCUGUUUCUUAUGUUGACACAUCGCUUUUUUAUGUGUAAUUAAUUAAUCAGUUAUAUAUAUUCCAUUGCCUAUCCAAGUAAGUUUGAUAGUCUGUAGAAGUAUUUGACAUAAAAUGAGUUGCUUCAUGUUUCUAAUUGCAGAAGCAAAAAACUGUUGGUAGGACAAAGGUUCUCCUUGAGACAGUUCCUGUGCACAGGCUAGCUGAUAUAUUUGUUGCUAGCUUUGAAAUAAGCUUUGAGGAACAGCUAUCCAUGUUAGAUUCAGUUGACCUGAAAGUUAGGCUUUCAAAGGCAACGGAACUCGUAGACAGGCACUUACAGGUAAAAAUGUUCUCAAAUGGCCUUAUUUAGUAGUUAUCGUUUAUUUCCAACCUGUCCUGAUCUUACUGUGAUGUUAUGUACUUGUUGCACUCUUUCGGUGUUGAGCAGUCAAUUCGUGUAGCUGAGAAAAUAACUCAAAAGGUCGAGGGGCAGUUAUCAAAAUCACAGAAAGAAUUUCUUCUGCGUCAGCAGGUUCGUCCUCCCACUUGUGUCAUUCUUGCAUUAUGUACUGAGCCUAGGAACAUUGCAACAGUGAAUAGGAAAGAUCUGUCUCAUUGUACAUGAUAUGAUAAGAUUUUUUUUUUUUUUUCAUGCCUUUUCAAUUCUGUUAAUCAUGCAUAGGAAUAUAUGCAGCAAUGCCUUUUCUUGCCUCUUGACAGAUAGUUUAUUAAAUUUGACUACUAGAUCCUCUUAUUUCAAACUGCUAACACACAUUUCCAAGAUUAUGCAAAGUUUGACUAAAUUAAGCGAGAAAAGACUUGAGUUUGAUUCUACUUGCUCACGUUUACUCUGCAGAUGAGGGCUAUUAAGGAGGAACUUGGUGACAAUGAUGAUGAUGAGGAUGAUGUAGCUGCUUUGGAAAGAAAGAUGCAGAGUGCAGGGAUGCCUCCUAAUAUUUGGAAACAUGCUCAAAGGGAAUUGAGGUAACUUUCAUUCUGUAAUUUACAAAACCACUUGUCAUGACAAGAACAAAAUAUAUUCUUGGACUAUGUAUUAAUCAGUUUCUAUCAACAGACGAUUAAAAAAAAUGCAGCCUCAGCAGCCUGGGUAUAGUAGUUCCCGUGUGUACCUGGAACUUCUGGCCGAUCUCCCUUGGCAGAAGGUGAGUGAAGAACCUGAACUCGACCUAAGGGCUGCCAAGGAGAGCCUUGACCGUGAUCAUUAUGGAUUAACCAAAGUCAAGCAACGGAUUAUCGAAUAUUUGGCUGUUCGCAAGGUUGUCUUUUAACUCAUCUGUGGCAUCUCUGCACGUCCUUUAAAGUUACUACAUUUACUAUUUUGACUGAAAUAGGCCAAUCAAAUUGCAGCUUAAACCUGAUGCCAGAGGCCCAGUUCUUUGUUUUGUUGGCCCGCCAGGUGUUGGGAAGACAUCGUUGGCUUCGUCAAUAGCAGCUGCUUUAAAUAGAAAGUUCAUAAGGAUUUCUCUUGGUGGUGUGAAGGACGAGGCUGAUAUUAGGGGCCAUCGAAGGACCUAUAUUGGAAGCAUGCCAGGACGGCUUAUUGAUGGGUUGAAGGUCUCUUAUUGCAUGAUAUCUUUUUUGUUCUGGUGUUUUUCUAGCUUCCAUAUAACUCAUAGUUUAUAUUAUAGCAUGCCAGGACGGCUUAUUGAUGGGUUGAAGGUCUCUUAUUGCAUGAUAUCUUUUUUGUUCUGGUGUUUUUCUAGCUUCCCUAUAACUCAUAGUUUAUAUUAUAUUGCUUGCUUGAGAGUACUUUUUUGCUAUCUAUUGUUACUUGACCUUUCAAUAGAAAGCUAUCUUUAGAUCUCUUAUGAGAUGUCUCAAAUUGUUUGGUUCUUUUUCCAACUAAUGUUAUGCUAUAUUUUGCCUCCAAUUGCUUGACCAAAUAUUUGCUCUCUAGUAGGUUACAAACCUAAAAUUACCGAUACAUGAGAAUAUCCUAUCCACGGAAUAUGCAUCUAAAGCUUUUAAAUAUAAGCCUUUUGGUGCUUGGAAAGUCCCACCACAUUUUAGUUUUUGGGCUCAAUUUGCAGUAAUGCAGGUUGCUUUAUUGGACACUAUUUUUCUUAUUGAAAGAUGAAUUGGAAAAUUUAAUUUUUUCCAGAGCAAGAAUAUCGGGCCUCUUAAAGUCAUUGGAUUAAGAAACUGGUGGUAGUAUAAUGGUUAAGCACAUGGCUUAGCCUUUCAAUUGGAUAGUGACUAAAUCAAUGUUUGGACCCUCAUAAGAACUCUUUUCUGCCUUUGCUGCCUCUUUUGCUGCUUCUGAAACUGUCAAAUCACCUUGAAAGAGUUCUUGGCAUAGAGUUAGCAUCAUCUACUAGGAUUACUGUCAUGACGAUUUAAAUUCUACCAAAAAGACAUGUCUCAAGUAUAAAUGGGUGCUGAAAUUUUUAAACUUGGAUCCACUAUUCACGUCUUUUGUACUUGUAAAUGCAGAGGGUGGGUGUUGGCAAUCCUGUCAUGCUUCUUGAUGAAGUUGAUAAGACAGGUUCUGAUGUUCGUGGGGAUCCAGCAUCAGCACUAUUGGAAGUUCUUGACCCAGAGCAGAAUAAUACAUUCAAUGACCAGUAUCCUUUUCUUUUACUGAUAAAACGUUCUCAUUUAAGUGCUGGCUACUUUAAAUUUGUUCUUUCAGUUAUUGAUUAUUGAGCUUACAAUUACCUCCUGUUAUUUUGGCAACAUUUAUUCAUGUUUUUCCAUAUACUUAAGACUGUUUGUUUGUUGAGACAGUCAGCCUGGAGUACUUCAGUAUUGUGGGCUUAUGUCCCGAACCCUGUGGCCUCAUUUGAGCAAGCCUCCAUGUCUACCCCCUCUUCAAACAGGGUGAAUCCCUGUUUAAUCAAAAAAAUAUUGUGGAUUUAAAUAUUUGAAUAGAAAGUCACUGUGUACUUGCAUCUGCCUUUUGUAUAUUGAUAUUUUCCUCAAGUCUUUAGAAUCGACAUAUCAAUUCUUUCAGCUUCUGUUAUAAAGCAAACCUUACAUUAUGUAAAUGCAAUCAGAAAUAAGAUACCAUUAGUAUUAAAUUCUUUAAUCUUUUUGAGUACAAAUAAUUAAGUGGUAAGAAUAGAAGCAGUUUAAAAAAUGAUAAAUUGAUAGGGAGAUAAGUCAUUCACUAUCAGAUUUCAGAGGGAAUACUGAGGGUUGAGUGUAUAGAUGAUGAUGUGACAGGUAAGGGAGCUCUUCACUUGCUGCGAGAGGGGAAUAGGUAUUAGGGAGUAGAUUGGUUGUGAUAUAACACGGACCACAUUCUUAUGCCUUUGGAGGGUGGAGGAUCAAGAUAUGAGAUUUAAUUAUUGUUGUUUCGGGAGUAUUAGUAGGAGUGUUGUUGAGCAAGAGGGUGAUGAGAUUAGCUGAAGCAGUGCAAAUCAAAUAGGGUAUGUGUCGAAGGAGAGCAAUUUCCAUACACAUUUCCACCUUCAUGAGUUUAGCCGUCAGUUGGCUAUCUGCUAUAAUCCUAUAAUUUUGAAAAGAGAAACCUAAUUUUCAUGUUAUAGGAGCCUUUAUCCAGAGAUUUCUUUCGGAAAAUGUAAUUAGUGUGAAAGAUUAUGGUGCGAAGUACGUUAAAUCAAAGUUCUUUCCGGACAAGGUUAAAAAAUCUUUACAUUUAGUAACCUGUAAUAUGUAGUCUUUUGUCAUCAUGACAGUUUUAAUCAUAUAACUAGCUGAACUCUUGAUUCGCCAUGUUCCUUAACUUGUGAUACAGCUAUUUGAAUGUUCCAUUUGACUUGUCGAAGGUGAUAUUUGUUGCAAUGGCAAACAGGGUGCAACCUAUUCCACCACCCCUUUUGGAUCGGAUGGAAGUCAUUGAGCUUCCUGGUUAUACACCUGAAGAGAAGCUAAAAAUGGCAAUGAAACAUCUUAUACCAAGAGUCCUAGAUCAACAUGGUUUGAGCUCUGAAUUUCUUCAGAUUCCUGAGGUAUGUUCCGAUACACCUUUGCAGAUUUUCUCCUCUUGAGUUGCAGCUGAUAUUUGCUUUCGAUUUCUCUAAUCUUUUUCUAUGCUGUCAUCCUGUCUAUCAGUGAAAUUGCUCCUAAAAUUUCUAGGCUAGUUUGAUAAAACAUCUAAUAGCAAUAUGUUAGUUAAAAGUACACAGGUCUCUAAUGACGAGUGGUGAUUAUUCCCUUCCUUUUCAUUCUAUGAUAAGGAUUUUCCAAAGGUGAGAAUUGUCUUGUGGCUCAAUUGGAACAUCAAAAGAUCAAAAACUGUGAAGUCUGGAAGUUACAAAUCAUCAUUAUGACAAAGUUUCAAUAUCUUCCCUGAAUGAGGACUUGAAACUUUAAACUGGACUGCCUUGUUUUCUUGGUUGGUUGUUUAUAUGGCUUAUAAAGGGCAAAGAAGUGCGUGAUCCUUGGUAUUUGGGUAAGCAGACAUCACAUAUUCGCCCUUGCGUUUGUCACAUUUGUCUAAUACCAUAGAAAACUGAGGAAUGUUGUCGAGUCUUGUUGAGCCACUUAAAACUUGGAUCAGGAUAAUGAUACUACUUUCAUUGUUUGUUGUUAGGUUGUCAGCUGUCUAUAUAUGAACUUGUAUUUCUCUCUAGAGCCUUGGUGAAUUUGAGUUGUCUUCUUUCUGGCCCUAAAUAGGGAAAGGGCCAUAAUGCUUAUCUAUUGACACUUUAAGUAAUUUAUUCUUUCCAUCCAAACAAUAAUAUUCUCACUAUCAUCGUUUACAAUUAGCAUGACCACAAUUUGUUCUAACUGUAUCUUUAUAUAGGCCAUGGUAAAACUCAUUAUCCAAAGAUACACUCGAGAAGCUGGUGUGCGUAACCUUGAGAGGAACUUGGCUGCUCUGGCCCGUUCAGCUGCUGUCAAGUUUGCAGAGCAAGAGAGUGCAGUUCAAGUUGGCAAAGACGUACAACCAAUGACAACGUCCCUUCUUGACACCAGGCUUGCAGAUGGUGCUGAAGUUGAGAUGGAAGUUAUUCCUAUGGGCGUCAACAGCCAGGAGAUAUCAAAUUCUUUUGAAAGUGCCUCACCUAUUAUCGUAGAUGAAGCUAUGCUGGAAAAAGUGCUUGGGGUAUUCGCUUGUAUUUCACUUUUCAAGCUCAAAACACUUUCCUCUCGGCUGUUUAAUUUGCAUUUUGUUAAUCAAAUAUUUCAAUGUUAAUUGUUUAUUUGCGAUAUUGCAGCCUCCUAGGUUUGACGACAGAGAAACUGCAGAACGAGUGGCAACUCCUGGAGUAUCAGUUGGACUAGUCUGGACUUCCUUUGGUGGGGAGGUUCAGUUUGUCGAAGCCACAGCAAUGGUGGGAAAGGGUGACUUGCAUUUGACUGGACAGCUUGGUGAUGUUAUCAAAGAAUCUGCACAAAUAGCUCUCACAUGGGUAUGUCUCUUUGCACACUUAUUUGGUUUAUCUUGCAGGUAAAUGAUCAAGUUCUCAUUAUGUUCCAACCUGUCUCCUCUAGUCCCUACUAAAUUGGUUUUGCUUGUUUGGGCUUUCCCAUUUAGUUGGUUGGAGGUCAAUCUUAGCUGUCCCUCUAUGCACAACUCUGUUAGAAGGGGUUAGUUCCUUUUGGAGAAAAUAAUAGGCUGCUUAGUUUGUUCGUUUAGGCAUGUUACACUUAGUUGUAUAAUCUUUCAACUUUAGAUGGAAUGUAUAUUCAGAAUAUAGUUGCAAGCAUAUCCAAAAAUUUAAAUGUGCAGUAGUGAGAUAAUUGGAUAUCUGUUGUUGUUCAUAACUUUAUUUUAUUAUUAUUAUUAUUAUUAUUAUUAUUAUUUGUUUCCUCAGGUAAGAGCAAAAGCAGCAGAGCUGAAUUUGUCAGCUUCUUCGGGGAUUAAUUUAUUGGAGAGUCGUGACGUUCAUAUUCAUUUUCCUGCUGGUGCCGUGCCAAAGGAUGGACCAUCGGCAGGAGUUACUUUGGUGACAUCGCUUGUUUCACUAUUCAGUCAGAGGAAAGUUAGAGCAGACACUGCAAUGACCGGAGAAAUGACUCUGAGGGGCCUUGUAUUACUAGUUGGUGGCAUCAAGGAUAAGGUAGGUUUUUUUGCAUGGUAUACUAUGUUGUGGAAAUAAUGCGAGAGAUACUCCAUUAGGAAUACGUUCCUUGUAAAUUAUGUAUCUUUUAAUUUAUUUAUACUUUAAUUUGCUCCUUCAGGUAUUGGCAGCUCAUCGUUAUGGCAUCAAGAGAGUAAUCUUGCCGGAACGGAAUUUGAAGGACCUAACUGAAGUCCCAUCGGCCAUUCUAUCUGGCAUGGAGGUAUUUUUUCUGCUUUUUUGCUUGGAACUUUUUUAAUGUAGAUUCUCUUGUAAUUAUUUUAAUAACGUUUGAAGAAUUUGAUAAUAGAUGACAGCACUUACUGUACUCACCGACUGAUCAUCAUCUUGUCAAAAUGCUCACUAAUUUGACGAACCAGUUCUGGAUCUGAGCACUGAGAAAAUUUGAAUAUUGAUGAUCUAAUGAAACUAUUAUCUCUCAUAACAGUCAUAACUAAGAAUCAUAUCUUCUGUUUGAAUAUACAGUCGUUGAAUUAUCGAAGUGCUUUUUCUGUUUGAGUUAAUAGAUACUGGCUCCUCGAGUUAAAAAUAUUUUUUCUUGGAGUAAUUUGUUUGAUAAAAGCAUCAAAUUCCUGAAAUAGAUGGUUUAGGUAUGUGGUGAAAGAUUGUAUGCUAACUGGCUAGUUUGGAGAUAUCUUCCAACCUAGCUAAAAUCUUCAAAUAUCUGUUAAAAUCUGCAUUUAUUGUAAUUUAUUGGUACAUCAAAAUCAAGUGAAGCCCUUACAGCAAACGGCUAGAAUAUUUAAUGAUGAUUGAUCCCUAGUCCUGUGGUUUUUCUUUUCUGGUUAGAUUUCUUGUUAGAUCUUCUGUACUUGUAAUAUUACGUCUUACACUUUGAGAUUGUACGAUUUCUUAUCCACUUUGAGAUGAUAGUUUCUCUUAUGGUGUCCAAAAACACAUUAAACUACUGCCGAUGCGCUAAAGAAAUUAGUUAAAAUUUAAUGAGAACCAUUGAACCAAAAAAAUAUCAUGUUUAAUCUCCUGCUUGAAUGAUCUUUCCAUAUAUUCCUGCUUAGUUUCUGACUACCAGUUAUCUUAACUCUUCUGUGGUUCCUAUUUUUAACAGAUUUUGCUUGUGAAGCGUAUUGAGGAAGUACUGGAACACGCAUUUGAAGGUGGAUGCCCCUGGAGGAAACAUGCUAAGUUAUAGCAUUCUCCAGUGUUCUCCAAUCGUGGAGUAAAUAUCGAUGGAAUUGCCGUUUUCGACCAGAUUUAGGGCAACCUGAUUGACAAUAGCAGAUGCGAUCGUAUCAGCACGCAUCCAAUAUGCGGAACCGAGCCAUUGGAUAAGAUAUCUACUGGAAAUAUAAAAUACGGGCUCAGUAUUAGCCAGUGUAAUGUCUUCGAAAGAUUGACCUGAAUGAGUUAUAUAAUCCCCGCUUUAGAGCAUUAGCCGUUUCUAGCCGAUCCUAUAAUUAUAUUUGGGAUCAAAGGCUUAGUUAUCGUUGUUAUUGCUGCCGCUGCGGCCACAGAGCAUGUGGCUAUCGUUGUGCUACGAACUCCCGAUUUGGCUCAGCAAUUUGUGUAAGGCUAGUCUCUCUGAUUCUGUAUUAUGUAUAAUUUCAAACUGGAAGCGAAAGUCUCUCCUAUUUAACAUAAAUUGUCUCAAAAACAUUGAUGUGUAUGCCACUGAGGGAUAGGAGCGUUAGUCUCAAACAAAUGAGGCUAACUUUGCCUUGCUCUGUUUCAAUCUUCUCCCUUGGUGGUGGUUGUGUGUAUUCAUAUUUCUUAUUCUUUUCCUUUUUAUGUUCGGAUUCUCUCUCGCUUUCCUUCCUAAAAAAUUUGGCUUCUCUCUUACGAGUUUGGAAUCAAGUUUGUAGUUUAGCGGUGGUUUCCACUGCCACUUUGUAGAAUCAAAGGGGGGGAAUUUAAAUGGUUGUUUGAAUUUUCUUGGAUCCUUCAAAGCAUCCAGGGUCGCGAAACGGGUCGAAAGGGAGAUUUUUGUUAGUCACUAGAGAUGUCAACGGGUCGGAUUCGGGUGAAUUUUUAAAAACCCGAAUCCGAACCCAACUCCAAACCCGAGACCCGAAUCCGAACCCGACGGAUUUUAAAAAUCCAUAUCCAAACCCGAACCCGACCAAAAAUCCGAAACCCGAAGCCGAAUUCGAAAAUUUGAAUCCGAAACAAUUAUUUUUUUUUUCAAUAUUUCAAAAUAAAUUAUAUUAAAUCUAAAUUUUUAAAAUACAAAUUUAAAUAUAACAUCAAAUUUUUAUAUAUAUAUUAUAUAUAAUACAAAAUAAAUUUGGGUUCGGGUCGGGUUUGGGUCGGGUACAAUCAAAAUUCAUAUCCGAAUCCAUAUCCGUCAGGUUUCUAUUUUAAAUAUCCAUAUUCGAAUCCAUAUCCAUCGAAUAUAUCCGUUUCAUUCGGGUUCGGGCUCGGAUAAAAUUUCGGGUAUCCAUACCCAUUGACAUCCCUAGUCACGCUUAGCAGCAAAACCGAGGUAAGCUCAGUGAGCUAAAGUAAGUUCGAUUUUAACUCAAAAUUGUAGAUAUAAAAUGGUUUAGUUCAUAAGAAUUAUAGAUACCGAAAAUUAAUGAUUUAUAUUAUAUAUAAUUUGUAAAUUUUUCAGAUAUCAUGAAACAUGUUUAAUCAAUUAAAUUUUAAUUAUUAUUAGAUCUCUAUGCUAGAAUUUUCACAAUGGACAGAACUUUGAAUAGUCGAGACCAGGAGUGCACUAGGUUCAUGCAACAAUUUCGGAGUUGGAAUCUUAUAAUCCACUAUUGUAAGGUUUUGGCUGUUUAGCCAACCAAAAUGAUAAAAUUAAUGUGAAAAAAAUAGUCCCGAUAAAAUUAGAGGAUUGCAAAUCAAAACGAAUUGCCAUAGGAUGGCAAACAAUAUAAAGAAUACCUCUACAAAAUUAUGAAAUUUGGUUUCUAAAUAAUUCCAAUAGCAUAAAUCAUGUCUAACGGAGUCGAUCGCAGGAUCGGAUGCUCUAUUAUCGAAAACAACUUACAAGCACGGAUGCUUCCGUAUUUUCGAAAGCAUAAGAGCCUAGCUCUCUCUCUCUCUCUCUCUCUCUCUCUAUAUAUAUAUAUAGGGAAAAUUUCAUAGGUACUCCUAUAGGAGACUGAAAUUUCAUUAAUAACCUUCUAAAAUUGAAAAAAUCACGAAUGACCUUCUCAAUUCAAAAAUACUCAUGAAUGCCCUUACAGGUAAAGUGUCGUUAAAAUCUAACCGAACAGAUUAUAAAUGACAUUUCUAUUCCUGUACGGUUCAUUAAGUAUAGGAAGCCGUAAUGGUAUAUUAGCACUAUUCACAAAUGCCCUCUUAUUCUCUCCACAUAGCAAUGAGCCCACUAAGUUGUCGAUAUUUUACAACACCUCAUAACACAACUCCUAAUUGUGAUUGUCGUAAACCAUGCCGAAUUUAGAUGUCAAAACAACCACACAAUAAAGGUCGAUGAUUUUAUUGAUGUCCAAAUUGGAGGGUAAGUUGAUGUGAUACAUUAGUGUGCAUAUAAAGGCUAAGUUACAUAAAACCUUCAUGUCAAAAUUCGAUUUUUCACUUUCCUCCUCUGUCAUUUGAAAACCUACACUUUGCCCUCUUGUAAAAUGAAAAUUGUUCACUUCGCCUCUUGCCGUUAGUAAUCUGUUAGAGUUCCGUUUAUAAAAUAUUAUUAUAUAUUUUUUUAUGCCAAAAAUGCCAUCAACCUUCUCUCCUGUGAACAUGAUGAGAGGCAAAAUAGUGAAGGGCAAAAUGGUUAUUUUAUCAUCACAGUUCACACCGUACUCCUGUGAACAUUUUUUAUUUUAUAAGAAGGCAAAAUGUAGGUUUUUAAAUGAUAAGAGGGAAAGUGAAAAAUUAGAUUUUGAUAGGGGAGUUUUCUGUAAUUUAGCCUUAAUUAAAUUUCAAAUAUAUAAUGCUGUAUAUUUUCUAUAGAUUUAGGAAUAAAGAUAAUGCAACUUUGGGUAUUUACUUUUCAAUGCAGCACAGUUAACCUUGAGUACCAAAUACAUAUGCUGAAAAUAAUAUAGGCCGAAGAAUUAUGAAAUUGGAGGAGAAAAUCCUCCUGUGUACUUUAUAUACUAGUUUUUAAAUUUUUUUAUCUUAGCAUUAAUUAGUUAUUUCCCGCCAAAUAUAUCAUUCUAACUUUUGGGGAAAAACUUAUCAUUCUAUAUUUUAACUUUCAUUUAACUACAUUUUAAUUCAGGUAGAGCGACGUAUCCUUAACAGCAAGGAUAGUUAUGAUAAUUUUAUAUGUUUGAAGAGGUGUUUAUUAUAUUUGAAAGUUUAGAGGAGUAUUCAUGAAAUUUACAAGUUUGAUAAGCUUACUAAUGAAAUUGCCCUUUUCUUUAUAUCAAUAAUUAAUUAUAUCAAUAAUUGCAUAUAAUUUAGGGUAAACUUCAAAUACUAAUCCUGUGGUUUCGUACUUUUUUACUUUAAUAUCAUGUAGUUUAAAAAGUUUCACUUUAGUACCCUAUGAUUUUAUUUUUCUCUUUCCACCAGCAUCUCCCUUAACUCUCCAUUAAAUUAUAUACAGAAAAAUUUCAGAUACCCCGCCCUAUGAUUUAUUGAAUAUUCACUUUAGUAUCCUGUGGUUUACCGAAUUUUUACUUUAGUACUCUAUGGUUUUAAUUUUAUCACUGAUAUAAUAGAAAAUUAAUGGAGAGGAUAACAGAAAGAGAAAUUUAUUAAAUUUAUUAAAAUUAAUAAUGAAAUAAUAUAAAAGCUCAAAUAAAAAAAUAGAGGUUAAAGGGNAUUCAUUUUCCUGCUGGUGCCGUGCCAAAGGAUGGACCAUCGGCAGGAGUUACUUUGGUGACAUCGCUUGUUUCACUAUUCAGUCAAAGGAAAGUUAGAGCAGACACUGCAAUGACCGGAGAAAUGACUCUGAGGGGCCUUGUAUUACCAGUUGGUGGCAUCAAGGAUAAGGUAGGUUUUUUUGACCGGUAUACUAUGUUGUGGAAAUAAUGCGAGAGAUACUUCAUUAGGAAUACGUCCCUUGUAAUUAUGUAUCUUUUAAUUUAUACUUUUAAUUUGCUCCUAAAGGUAUUGGCAGCUCAUCGUUAUGGCAUCAAGAGAGUAAUCUUGCCGGAACGGAAUUUGAAGGACCUAACUGAAGUCCCAUCGGCCAUUCUAUCUGGCAUGGAGGUAUUUUUUUCUGCUUUUUUGCUCGGAACUUUUUUAAUGUAGAUUCUUUUGUAAUUAUUUUAAUAACGUUUGAAGAAUUUGAUAAUAGAUGACAACACUUACUAUACUCACUGACUGAUCAUCAUCUUGUCAAAAUGCUCACUAGUUUGACGAAACAGUUCUGGAUCUGAGCACUGAGAAAAUUUGAAUAUUGAUGAUCUAAUGAAACUAUUAUCUCUCGUAACAGUCAUAACUAAUAAUCAUAUCUUCUGUUUGAAUAUGUAGUGGUUGAAUUAUCGAAGUGAUUUUUCUGUUUGAGUUAAAAAUAAUUUUUCUUGGAGUAAUUUGUUUGAUAAAAGCAUCAAAUUCCUGAAAUAGUUGGUUUAGGUAUGUAGUGAAAGAUUGUAUGCUAACUGGCUAGUUUGGAGAUUUCUUCCAACCUAGCUAAAAUCUUCAAAUAUCUGUUAAAAUCUGCAUUUAUUGUAAUUUAUUGGUAUAUCAAAAUCAAGUGAAGCCCUUACAGCAAACGACUAGAAUAUUUAAUGAUGAUUGAUCCCUAGUCCUGUGGUUUUUCUUUUCCAGUUAGAUUUCUUGUUAGAUUGUAAUUGUAGGAUUUCUUAUCCACUUUGAGAUGAUAGUUUCUCUUAUGGUGUCCAAAAACACAUUAAACUACUGCCGAUGCACUAAAGAAAUUAGUUAAAAUUUAAUGAGAACCAUUGAACCCAAAAAAUAUCAUGUUUAAUCUCCUGCUUGAAUGAUCUUUCCAUAUAUUCCUGCUUAGUUUUUGACUACCAGUUAUCUUAACUCUUAUGUGGUUCCUAUUUUUAACAGAUUUUGCUUGUGAAGCGUAUUGAGGAAGUACUGGAACACGCAUUUGAAGGUGGAUGCCCCUGGAGGAAACAUGCUAAGUUAUAGCAUUCUCCAGUGUUCUCCAUUCGUGGAGUAAAUAUUGAUGGAACUGCCGUUUUCGACCAGAUUUAGGGCAUCCUGAUUGACAAUGGCAGAUGCGAUCGUAUCAGCACGCAUCCAACAUGCGGAACCGAGCCAUUGGAUAAGAUAUCUACAGAAAAUAUAAAAUAUGGGCUCAGUAUUAGCCAGUGUAAUGUCCUCGAAAGAUUGACCUGAAUGAGUUAUAUAAUCCCCGCUUUAGAGCAUUAGCCGUUUCUAGCCGAUCCUAUAAUUAUAUUUGGGAUCAAAGGUUUAGUUAUCGUUGUUAUUGCUGCCGCUGCUGCCACAGAGCAUGUAGCUAUCGUUGUGCUACGAACUCCCGAUUUGGCUCAGCAGCUUGUGUAAGGCUAGUCUCUCUGAUUCUGUAUUAUGUAUAAUUUCAAACUGGAAGCGAAAGUCUUAAAUUGUCUCAAAAACAUUGAUGCGUAUGCCAUUGUGGGAUAGGAGCGGUAGUCUCAAACAAAUGAGGCUAACUUUCCCUUGCUCUGUUUCAAUCUUCUCCCUUGUGGUGGUUGUGUGUAUUCAUAUUUCUUAUUCUUUUCCUUUUUAUGUUCGGAUUCUCUCUCGCUUUCCUUCCUAAAAAAAUUUGGCUUCUCUCUUACGAGUUUGGAAUCAAGUUUGUAGUUUAGCGGUGGUUUCCACUGCCACUUUGUAGAAUCAAAGUGGGGGAAUUUAAAUGCUUGUUUGAAUUUUUCCUUCAAAGCAUCCAGGAUCGCGAAACGGGUCGCAAGAGAGAAAUUUGUUAGUCACGCUUAGCAGCAAAAACGAGGUAAGCUCAUUGAGCUAAAGUAAGUUCGAUUUUAACUCAAAAUUGUAGAUAUAAAAUGGUUUAGUUCAAAAGAAUUAUAGAUACCGAAAAUUAAUAAUUUAUUUAUAUUAUAUAUAAUUUGUAAAUUUUUCAGAUAUCAUGAAACAUGUUUAAUCAAUUAAAUUUUAAUUAUUAUUAGAUCUCUAUGCUAGAAUUUUCAGAUUGUGGUCCACAGUGCACUAGGUUCAUGCAACAAUUUCGUAGUUGGAAUCUUAUAAUUCACCAUUGUAAGGUUUAGGCCGUUUAGCCAACCAAAAUGAUAAAAUUAAUGUGAAAAAAAAUGGUCCCGAUAAAAUUAGAGGAUUGCAAAUCAAAAUGAAUUGCCAUAGGAUGGCAAACAAUAUAAAGAAUACCUCUACAAAAUUAUGAAAUUUGGUUUCUAAAUAAUUCCAAUAGCAUAGAUCAUGUGUAACGGAGUCGAUCGUAGGAUCGGAUGCUCUAUUAUCGAAAACAACUUACAAGCACGGAUGCUUCCGUAUUUUCGAAAGCAUAAGAGCCCAGCUCUCUCUCUCUAUAUAUAUAUAUAGGAAAAAUUUCAUAGAUAUUCCUAUAGGAGACUGAAAUUUCAUUAAUAAUCCUCUAAAAUUGAAAAUAUCACGAAUGACCUUCUCAAUUCAAAAAAUACUCAUGAAUGCCCUUACAGGUAAAGUGUUGUUAAAAUCUAACCGAGCAGAUUAUAAAUGGCAUUUCUAUCCCUGUACGGUUCAUUAAGUAUAGGAAGCUGUAAUUGGUAUAUUAGCACUAUUCACAAAUGCCCUCUUAUUCUCUCCACAUAGCAACGAGCCCACUAAGUUGUCGAUAUUUUACAACACCUCAUAACACAACUCCUAAUUGUGAUUGUCGUAAACCAUGCCGAAUUUAGAUGUCAAAACAACCACAUAAUAAAGAUCGAUGAUUUUAUUGAUGCCCAAAUUGGAAGGUAAGUUGAUGUGAUACAUUAGUGUGCAUAUAAAGACUAAAUUACAUAAAACCUCCAUGUCAAAAUCUGAUUUUUCACUUUCCUCCCCUGUCAUUUAAAAACCUACACUUUGCCCUCUUGUAAAAUGAAAAUUGUUCACUUCGGCCCCUGCCGUUAGUAAUCUGUUAGGGUUCCGUUUAUAAAAUAUUAUUAUAUAUUUUUUUAUGCCAAAAAUGCCAUCAGCCUUCUCUUCUGUGAAUGUGAUGAGGGGCAUAAUAGUGAAGGGCAAAAUGGUCAUUUUAUCAUCACAAUUCACACCGUACCCCCUGUGAACAUUUUUCAUUUUAUAAGGAGGCAAAAUGUAGGUUUUUAAAUGACAAGAGGGAAAGUGAAAAAUUAAGUUUUGACAGGGGGUUUUCUGUAAUUUAGCCUUAAUUAAAUUUCAAAUAUAUAAUGCUGUAUAUUUUCUAUAGAUUUAGGAAUAAAGAUAAUGCAACUAAUUUGUUUGGGUAAUUACCUUUCAACAUAGCACAGUUAACCUUAAGUACCAAAUACAUAUGCUGAAAAUAAUAUAGGCUGGAGAAUUAUGAAAUUGGAGGAGGAAAUCCUCCUGUGUACUUUAUAUACUAGUUUUUAAAAUUUUUUAUCUUAGCAUUAAUUAGUUAUUUCCCGCCAAAUAUAUCAUUCUAACUUUUGGGGGAAAACUUAUCAUUCUAUAUUUUAACUUUCAUUUAACUACAUUUUAACCUGGGUAGAGUGACGUAUCCUUAACAGUAAGGAUAGUUAUGAUAAUUUUAUAUGUUUGAAGAGGUGUUUAUUAUAUUUGAAAGUUUAGAGGAGUAUUCACGAAAUUUACAAAUUUGAUAAGCUUACUAAUGAAAUUGCCCUUUUCUUUAUAUCAAUAAUUGCAUAUAAUUUGGGGUAAACUUCAAAUACUAAUCCAGUGGUUUCGCACUUUUUUACUUUAAUAUCAUAUAGUUUAAAAAGUAUCACUUUAGUAUCCUAUGAUUUUAUUUUUCUCUUUUCGCCAGCACCUCCCAUAACUCUCCGUUAAAUUAUAUACAAAAAAAUUUCAGAUACCCCACCUAUGAUUUAUUGAAUAUUCACUUUAGUAUCCUGUGGUUUACCGAAUUUUUACUUUAGUACUCUAUGGUUUUAAUUUUAUCACUGAUAUAAUAGAAAAAUUAAUGGAGAGGAUAACGGAAAGAGAAAUUUAUUAAAUUUAUUAAAAUUAAUAAUGAAAUAAUAUAAAAGCUCAAAUGAAAAAAUAUAGGUUAAAGGGGGUGUCAACAAAAAAAAAAAAAAGUUGAUGGGCCUAUAUCAAAAUCGUUUAUAGUUGAGGGGGUCUCCAUACAUUUUACCUAUUGAAAUUAAAUUAUUUUAGUUAUUUCAACUGAAAAGUUGUGUUAAAUUUAAUAAUUUUUUUUUAUACUAUAUCUCUUAAUUUUAAAAAACUAAAAUGUAAGGGGUCUUAAUAAAAAACUGCAUAGUUAAAGAAAUUACUUCAAAAUAGAAUAUAGUCGAGGAAUCUCCGGUACAUUUCUCAAAUAGUAAUAUAGUACCAAGCAAUUAGGGGUAAAUUCGUCAUUUUAUUACUUAACCCCUUAUUAAUUAAGGUAAAUUGACGGUAUUUUAAUAGUAAGAAUAUUUAUGAUAAUUUUUUAUAAUUUAAUUAGGGGUAUGCAUGAUAUUUUAACUUUUGUAGGGGUAUCUACAAAAUUUAAAAAUUUUAGAGGGUCCGGAUGAAAUUGCCCCAUAUAUCUAUAUAUAUAUCACCCCACCCCCACUUCUCUUUUUCCGCUACCUCUCUUCCUCGUCCUCGUCCUCUUCCCCUGCCCCACCUCUCUCUCUCUCGCGCGCGCGCUCUCUCUCUCUUCCUUCAUUUUCCGAUCGGUCAUUGAUGAGGCUUCGUGAGCACAAGUGGUACUCCAAUCCUCGUCCUGAUCGUACGUUCACGUAAGCAAAUCUCCCUCUUUCCCUCUAUCUCUCUCUCUAUCUCAACCUUAAAAAUAUAUAAAUUUCGGGACUAAAAUUGGCAUGUAAGAGAAAACUAAAUAGACGAUGGUAUGAUAAUAUUGUUAAUUCUAAAACCUUCUUUUAGCAGUGUCAUUUUAUCGCGAUUAAAUCCAGAGAUUUAAAAUUUUAAUUUCAAAAAAAAGAUUAUAGACCAAAAUAAAAAUAGUGAAAAAGUCGGGGAGUAGUGUGCAAUUAUUUUUUAAAAUAUGGUAUGUGGCCCCACCCUUUUUUCAAAACGGUCAGGGUUCAUAUAUUGAAAACUAGUGAAGGACCCGGACGUUGCCGCGGGACGAUUCUGUAAAAAUAAAUAAAAUAAAAUAAAAAGAGUUAAGGAAUUAUGUAUUAAAAAAUUUGAGAGAUAAACUACUAUUACUGUAAUAAAAAAAUAAAAAAAUAAAAAGGAUUAAAAAAAUAGGGUAAAAAUCAUACAAAUAAUAAAUUAUAUUUAUAGCAACAAUAAAGGUUGAUGACUAAAAUGAUAUAUCUCAUAUUUCAAGUCAGAAAUUAUAACUAAUUAAAGUUUGAUGAUGAAAGUAUCACAUGCCUCAUAGUUUAAAUCAUAAUGUAAAGUCCGAUGAUUAAAGUCUCACUCGAGUUAUAGUUUUAAGAAUGAAAAAUAUAAAUCUAAUCUUUCAAAAUUUACUUAUAUAUAUGAGAUUUGAGUCAAUCAAUAAUACUUUAACUCUCUCUUUCUCUUCCCUCCAGUAAUGUGGGGUUCGAAAUUCAAACCAAUUCUCUUCUUUCUCAUAGAAAAUUAAAAUUUAUAUUUAAUACAUACAAUCUAAAUAUUUCAAAAUACACAUAUAUUUUAAAUUUUAAUAAUAAUUGAAAAAAUUAUAUUAAUUUUUUAAAAAAAUUUGCUUUUCAAAAUUAAUAGAAGAGAAUUAAAAAUAAAAAUUAAAAAUAUAAAAAGGGGUGGGCCCACGCUGGGCCACCCCCUCUGCCUUCCGCUUUCACGCUGCCCGGCCCCCCGCUGCAGCCGCUGCCACGCCACGGCGCUCGGCGUCGCCCGCCGCGCACUCCGGCGUCGCCUCAGUUGUCCAAUUAAGGAUUCGUGUUAUAUAUAUAUAUAGUAAUAUAGAGAGAGAGAGAUGAGAGAGGAGAGAGAGAGUGUGAGUGAUGCCUACUAUGCUAUCGAGCACAGAUUUCGUGCUUCAGCUGGUUUUCGAUGUUGGGACUUUCGACUCGGUCGAUCAGCGGUAUAUAUAAUUAUAUAUUAUUAUAUAUUACUUAUAUUAGAGAGAAGGAGAGAGGAGAGAGGAGAGGGGAGAGAGAGUGAGUGAUGUACUAUAGCUAUGGAGAUGGUACUUCCUGCUUCGUCGUUUUCGAUUGUUGAUGAUUUAGAUCGUCGAUCGCUCCGUUUAAACUUGAUUCAUAGAGUAUUUGAAGUACCUAGAAAAAUAAAUUUUUUCGAUUUUUCGAUAUCAUUUGCCUAGAAUGAAGGGGCUCAAAAUCAAGGCAUCUAAUAGAAAUAUUACAAUAAUGUAUAAUCAUGACAUUUAAAUUUUAAAGAUCGAAAAUUGAUCUUGUUUAUAUAGUAUAAGAUUUUCUAUUCAAGUUUCGUGAUUGGUAUUUGCACGUUAAUUUGCAACGGCUCACACGGCAUUGAAAUUUGUUGAUUUGGACCCAUUCGUCACUAGGCAAAUGAUAUCGAAAUAAUAAAAUUUUUUUUAGGUCUGCCAAUACUUCCGAUCAAGUAACGGAGCACCGAGCGACGAUUCGAAUGUAAAUCGAAAACGAGGUGAAGCCGAAGGCUCGUGCUUCGAUAGCAUUGUAGCCUAAACUAUUUAUAUAUGUAUAAUAUAUAAAUUAUCCUAUAUAUUUAUAUAUCUCUUAUAGUUAUAUAUUAUUGGAGCUCUAUUUAUUUUAAGUAUCAAGGCAUUGUACUUGUAGUUUGGGAUCUUGGGAUUAAAGUCAUGUGCGGUUAGGAUGAUGUGGCCUUAGGAUUAGUGGGGUGUGUUGGGUUGAAAGUAUAUUUAAGGGUGAAAUGAUCAAAGGCAGAAAUCCUAACAGUAAUUUACAGCACAAGUGUUGGGUAUAUUUUCAAGCCAUGCGGAUAUAUUGUAAUAUAUUAUAUAUAUAUAUAUAUAUAUAUGUAAGAUUAAAUGUGUAUAAUGGUAUCACAGAAUUAUUUUUAAAAUCAAUUUUUUAAUAAUAAAGAUAAAUCUCUUGAAGGUGAAAAAAUAAAAAAUACUCUUCUACUAAAUUAUAAGUUCCAAAAUCCUUUUAAAAAAGGAUAACUUAUUCAAACAUUCAAAUAAAAAGAUGUAGAUUAAUGAGUUCAAAUCAAUCAACCAGAGCUUUUCGGGUGCAUUCAUUUUAUUAGAUUUGCCGCACUUUAGGAUGCACAAGUUUAUGUUAGGGCUGUCUAUGAAUUGAACACGAGCGAUGAUUAAUAAAUAUCAAGCUAAAAAAUCUAGUUUAUGCUUGACUUGUUUAUUAAUGAGUCGAACAAGGACUGCCUUGUGAAAGGCAAGUUAGAUUAUCAAUCCUACUAUAUUUUUAAUCUAAUAAUUAAAAUUCACAAAAUAUAGGUCUUCUGAAAUUUGGAUUGGCCUAAAAUUCAAUGAGUAGAAAUUUCUAAUAUAUAUAUAUAUAUAUAUGAUUUGAGCUACAAUACUAUUAAUAGUAUUUGNUAUAUAUAUUUAUAUAUGAUUUGAGCUACAAUACUAUUAAUAGUAUUUGUCAUUUAUUGCUAUUAAAUUUUUUACUUUUGGAUCAAUUCCGUUGAUUAUUUCUAACCAUUUUAAAUAUUAUAACUCAGUGGGAACCACUCAACCCUAGGGGGACCACUCAAUCCUAGGUAAGAGACUAAUAUCAUCCUAACCCUGCAAUUUCUCAUUCAAGAGUUAAAUAUUUGAUAGCAAAAAAGACCAAAUAUUAUCAAUAGUAUUUCAGCCCAACUCUCUCUAUAUAAAUAUAUAACUCUCUCUCUCUCUCUCUCUCUCUCUCUCUCUCUCUCUCUCUCUCUAUAUAUAUAUAUAUAUAGUUGAGCUAGAAUACUAUCGAUAGCAAACGGGUUCGUUGCCACCCAUUUAUUUUCGAUGAUGGAGCUUGCAAAUUGACGAUCAGCACCGUUAAACAUGAUCUAUACCACUUGAAGUAUUUAGAAAUCAAAUUUCAUAUAUUUUUGAUAUUGUUCUCUUAUCUAUCGAGUGGACACAAAAAAUGAACGGCUGAAAAUGAUUAUUUUUUAAAAAAUGAUAAAAGGAGUCAUGUAAUCAAGAUCAAGAGUAUAGAUCUUGUUUUAAAUAGUUUAAAGAAUUUUCUAACAAAAAUUUAAUUGAUUUGAAUAUCUUUACGCCGUUAAACGAGAAAACGCCUCAUAUCGACCAUUAAAAUUACAAAAUUUGAAACUCUUUGAUCAUUAGGCAAAUGAUGUUAAAAAGAUUUUAAAUUUGAUUUCUAAACACUUCAAAUGGUAUAGAUCAUGUUCAACGGUGCCGAUUGUCGAUUUGGAGGCUCUAUUAUCGAAAACAAAUGGAUGGCAACGGAAUGGAAUACUUGCUAAUUUAAAGGUGUAAAAGAAUCGAAAUCGAUUAAAUUUAAUAUAAAAAAUUCUAUUCACUAUCUAGAUAAUGAUAAAUAAUUUUGAUUUUAAAUUAAAGUAUCUGAUCAUUCAUUUUUAGGAUAUCGUUCGAUUUUGACUUUUCAUUUUAUACUCACUUAAUGGACUUUAUUAUAAUUUUGAAAAAUGAUUAAAUUUAUUUUCUAGAAGUUUGAAAUACUCUACAUCAUAUUUAACAGUAUGGAUCAUCGAUUCGGAAGCUCAAUCAUUGAAAAUAAUUUAUGACUACGACGGGUUCUAUACUCACAAGACUGUAGAAGUCAGAUGUGUGUGUGUGUGUGUGUGUGUGUGUGUGUAGACAAGGUUUUAAGUGCCCGUCGGCAUAGGCCAUAUCCAUCGUGUCGUACUGUGUCAACAAGAUAUCGGCACGAUACAGAUCCUGUGCUGAUGGCACAGCUCAAAAUCCUCUAUUCUUUAAAUUAGUAAGUAGUUUUCUCAAUAAAGUUCAAAAGAUGUGAUAAAAAGAUAUAGUAAACAGUUAGAAUAUUUUGUUGCUAAAGAAAAUAAAUAUUUCAUGCUAUUAUGUGUCGGCAUACAAGAAUUUAUUUAACUGGCACGGCUCGGCACGCACCGUGCCGUACCGUGCCGACAAGUUUUCGGCGUGAUCCCGUGCCACGGCACUUAAAUCCUUGUGUGUAGAGCUACUAUGCUAUCGGAAGCAUAAAGUAGUUGGUACUUCCAAUUUUUAGCCCUUAGAUCAAAAUUCUACGGUUGGGAUGAUAGCGGUCCCCAUUGGUUAAUAAUAUUAAUCUUAUUGUUAGAAAUGAUCAAUGGGAUUAAUCUAGGGCUAAAAAAUUGGAAGCACCAACUACUUUAUGCUUCUGAUAGCAUAGUAGCUACACACGACUACUAUAUAUAUUAUGAUAAGUACGAUCGCCUUCAUCUUCGUAAGUCAUUUUCAAUGAUAGAGCUUCCAAAUCGAUGAUCCAUACUGUUAAACAUUAUCUUGAGCAUUUAAAGUUUCUAGAAAUCAAAUUUUAUAAUUUUUUAGCAUCAUUUAUAUUACGAUCAAAAGAUCUCAAAAUUAAUAAUUUUUAAUGGCCGAUAUGGAAUACUUGCUAGUUUAACAGUGUAAAAAAAUCGGAAUCAGUUGAACUUUUGAUAAAAAAUUCUAUUCACUAUCUAGAUAAAAAUUAAUAACUCUAAUCUUAAAUUGAAGGAUAUGAUCAUCCAUUUUUAGGACGUCGUUCAAUUUUGACCAUUUAUUUUAUGCCCGCUUGAUAAAUUUUAUUAUGAUUUUUACGAAAUUUAUUUUUUAAAAGUUUCAAAUACUCUAAAUUAUAUUUAUCGGAGUGAAUUGUCGAUUCGGAAGAUCCAUUAUCAAAAAUAACUUAUGAGUCCGAACUCUCCCCCCCCCCGCCCUCCGUCUAUAUGUUCUCAGCGCUCGUUCUCCUCGGCGUCUCGUCGCCCGCUCCUUGUUUCGCCGGUCUCUCGUCGUCUAUUAUAAGUAUAUAUAUAUAGUAUAAUAGUAGUAAUAUGAGACUUCAGCUCAUGUGCGUUGUUAAAAGUACUGAAACACUUUGGUACUUGUAUUUUUAUCUUUAGAUUAUCCCUUGAUCAUUCAACCGUUUGAUUAUACUAUUAACUCACCGCCACUCAAGUUCUACUAUCGGACCACGCAACAGUAUCCUAACCAUAUCAUCCUCCUAAUCCACAUGUCAAAAUCUACAAGCACCAACACUUGGUAGCUUUUAAAAAUCAUAGGAGCUCAAUUCGAUAUAUACAAUAUUAAAAUAGUAUACCUAAUAUAUAUAUAUAUAUAUAUAUAAAGCUGGGGCUAUACUAUAAUUUUAUGAGCUAUAGAUCCGUUGUAAAUCAUAAAUGUUUUAACGCGUUGCAUUGAUGGAUGUGUGGGUUUAAGGAUGGAUGGUGUCCCACCCUUUAAAAUGAUAGUAGUCCUACGGGUUGAGUGGGUUUUGGUCAAAUAGUAUGAUCUAACGGAUGAAAAAAUGAUUAAUGGAUGAUAAAUGUAAGGCCCGGAAAAUUUAUGAGUUAAGGAGUAUAUCAAUACCGAACGAACACCGUGGACAGGUUCCCGCUUUCGGCCUUUCGUACAGCCAAUGGGCUCAUACUACACGACAUCGCUCAGCCCCGGCCCUCAGCACGGACUUCGCCGCGACUCCGCUUCCGCUGAGCACAUCUCAGCAGCCCCCCUCUCUACCGGAUCUUCUUCCUCAUAUCGUCUUCUCCCGUCUCCUCACCCAUUACCUCGUGUCCUUCGUCACCUCUGCUCUCUUCCUCCCAGGUCUACUCUCGUGCUUCUCCGUCCUCCUCAUCCGCUCACUUCUCCCUCUCCCUUCUCCCCUUGUGGACCUGGCCCGGCGCGCGCGGGACCGGCUGCGGGCACUGCUCUACUGCUCCUUUCUCCUACGCCUCCGCGAACCUCCUGCGUCGGCGCACUCCGCUCUCUCCCCACCGUCGUCCUUUCUCCUCUCGGCCGCCCUUUUUCCUCUGUCUCUCUCUCUCGUCUCUCGCCCACCGCGCCCUCCUCUCUUCGUCCUCGUCUCUUCUCCUGCCCUCAGCUCCGUCUUCGGCUUCUCCUCUCCCCGCGCAGGCUCCCGCCUCCGUGGCCCCCUUCGACUCUCGCAUCCUCCCUCGCUCAGCCUCUCUUUCGUUCCGCCGGUCUCCCUUCCGAUCGCUCGUCCCCUCCGCCUCUCCUCUCCCUCGUCGUCCUCGUCUUCCCUCCGCUCCUCCUCUCUUCCUCGCUAUAUAUAAUAAUAAUAUAUAUAUAAUAUAGGUUAAUAAUAUUAUAUAUAUAUAUUAAUAGAUAGAGCUAGGCUGGUAUACUAUCCGGAUAGCUACGGAGGCCCUCCGUGCUACAAGUUUGUUUUCAAUGAUGGCUGGCUUUCAAAUCAGACAAUCGGCUUCGUUAACUUGAUCUACACUAUUAAAAGUUUUGGAAACUAAAAUUUCAUAAAUAUUUUCAGACAUCAUAUUGCUAGUGAUCAAAAGGCUUCCAAAAUUUUAACAAUUUUCAAUGUAGAUAUGAUGCAUUUUUAAUGAUUCAACGGAUGUAAGGAAGUAUCAAAUUAGAUGAAAAUUUAAUAGAAAUUCUACAAUUUAAAUCAAUACACGAAACCAAUACUUUUGAUUUGAAUUUUGAAUUCUUUAUCACUAUUUUUAUGAGAUUUUCAUUUUCAGCCGUUUAUUUUUAAACUACUCGUUUGAUAGGUAUAUAGCCGGAAAAAUUAUGAAAUUUAGUUUCCAAAUACUUUUAAUAGUGUAGAUCAAGUCUAACGGAGCCGAUCGUCGUUUAGAGCCGCAUCAUUGAAAAAAACUUGGUAGCACGGAGGCCUCCCGUGCUACCGAUAGUAUACCAGCCUAGCUCUAUAUAUAUAUAUAUUAUAUAUAUAUUAUAUAUAUAAUAUAUUAUAUAUAUAUAUAUAUAUUAUAAUAGUCAACUGUGAUACUAUCGAUAGUACUAAAGAUUUGGUUUAUCAAGUUUUUCACCGUUAGAUUUAACCCUCUGAUAUUUUUACUAGUUAGAAUUAUACUAUUCAACCAACACACUCGCUCAAUCCUAGAGGGCCACCAUCAUCCUAACCAUCCAUUCUCAUCUAAGGGCUAAAAAAUCAAUAGCACCAAUAGCUUGGUGCUAUUGAUAGUAUUCCAGCCUAGUUCUAUAUAUAUAUAUAUAUUAUAUAUAUAUAUAUAUAUAUAUAUAUAUAGAGAGAGAGAGAGAGAGAGAGAGAGAGAGAGAGAGAGAGAGAGAAUUGAGCUCCUAUGCUUUUAAAAGUACCAAAUUAUUGGUGCUUGUAAGUUUUCUGCCCAUGGUUUAAGGAAUGUGCGGUUAGGAUGAUAUGGGCCCCGUAAGGUUGAGUGGGUGGUUGGUUGAAUAGUAUAAUCUAAUGGGUGAAAAUGAUCAAAGGUAUAGAUCUAACGGUAAAAAAUUUACAAACACCAAAUAGUUGGUGCUUUUACAAGCACCAUAGCUGGACUCUAUAUAUAUAUAUAAUAGAGCUACUAUACUCUUAUGAGUAUAGAGCCCUUCGUACUUAUAAGUUGUUUUCGAUGUUGGGGCUUUCGAAUCGACGAUCCACAUCGUUAAACAUGAUCUAUAGUACUUGAAACUUCUAGAAAAUAAAUUUCGUAAUUUUUCGAAAUCAUAAUAAAGUCCAUCAAACAGGUAUAAAAUGAACGGUCAAAAUCGAACGUCGUCCUAAAAAUGAAUGAUCGGAUCCUUCAAUUAAAGAUCGGAGUUAUUGAUCUUUAUUUAAGUAGUGAAUAAAAUUUUCUAUAAAAAAUUUAACCUAUUCCGAUUCUUUUUAACCAUUAAACUAGCAAAUAUUUCAUACUGGCCGUUAAAAAUUGUCAAUUUUGUGAGCUUUUGAUCGUAAGGUAAAUGAUAUCGAAAAAUUAUAAAAUUUAAUUUCUAAAAGUUUUAAAUGCUCUAAAUAACAUUUAACGAUAUAGAUCGUCGAUUCGGAGGCUCUAUCAUCGAAAAUAACUUGUGAGUACGAAGGCGAUCGUACUCAUAAGAGUAUAGUAGCCGGACUAUAUAUAUAUAUAUAUAUAUAUAUAUAUAUAUAUAUAUAUAUAUAGAGAGAGAGAGAGAGAGAGAGAGAGAGAGAGAGAGAGAGAGAGAGCUAGGUUGGUAUACUAUCGUUAGUACGGAAGCCUUCGUGCUAACAAGUUGUUUUCAAUAAUGCGGUUUCCAAAUCGACGAUCGGCUCCUAUAUACUUGAUCCACACUAUUAAAGAUGUUUGAAAACUAAAUUUUAUAAUUUUUGACAUCAAUUAUCUAUCAAAUGAGUAGUCUAAAAAUGAACGACUGAAAAUAAAAAUUUCAUAAAAAAGAUGAUAAAAGACUUGAAUUUAAGAGCAGAGAUGCUGUUCUUACUCUAAAUAGUGAAAAGAAUUUUCUAUAAAAAUAUCAUCAGAUUUGAAUUGGUUUACACCGUCAAAUUCACAAACGCAUCACAUUUAUCAUUAAAAUUAUCAAUUUUGAGACCUUUUGAUCAUUAGUCAGAUUAUGGAAAAGAGAUGAGAAUUAUAAAUGUGAGUAAUUCGAUGCUAAAUUGACUGAGUUGUUUAACAUUCUCUGCUUGAGCUUAUAAUUUAAACUUUUAAUUAUGUACUAGUUAUUUAAUCUAUCAAAUAUUCUUUAUACUUCAAAUAAAUAUCUUGGUAUACAUUAUGUACAUUUCACAUUUUUUGAACCAAAUUACUUCUCAUUCAUAAUAAAAGGGGGCCCUUUUUUUUUUUUAAAACAAAAUAGUCCUCUAAAACGCGGGAACUAGAAGUGGUAAAAAUGCAACGAUCACUAAAAAUAUAAAGGGAAAACUUCAAAACCCCCCCUGUGGUUUCGUGCAUUCUCACUUUGCUACCCUGUGAUUUAAAACGUAUCAAUUUGCCCCCCUGUGGUUUCGUUUUUAUCUUUUUAUUAUCAAUUUUAUUAUUAUUUUUUUUUAAAAUCAGUGACAAAGUUAAAAUUAAAGGAUACUAAAGUGACUAUUCGAUAAAUAUAGAUGGUUAUCUGAAGUUUUUUGUAUAUAAUUUAACGAAAUAUUAACGAAAAAGCUUCCGAAAAGAUAAAAAUGAAACCACAGGGGGGUAAAUUGAUACGUUUUAAACCACAGGGUAGCAAAGUGAGAAUGCACGAAACCACAGGGGGGGUUUUUGAAAUUUUCCCAAAUAUAAAAGAAAAUAUAAGCAAAAGAAAAUUAAAGCAUCAAAUAGUAAUUUUAAUUUCUAACUACAUAUAUAUAUAUAUUUGCGUGAUGAACGUGAAAAUACUAAAAAAAAAACUCAAAAAUCUAUGAUAUAUAAUUAAUUGGUAACUUUCCUUUCAAAGAGUUCAUGAAUAUACCACAAUGAAAUUUUAUUACAAGGACCAAAUUAAAAUCAUCAUUGCGCCAAAAAAAAAUAAAAAAAAUAAAAAAAUAAAAAAAUCCUUGCAUUAAAGCAUGCAUAAAAAAGGUUUUUUGAGUUAGGUUGUUGUACUCGUAGCAGGUAUUAAUGGUUCAUUGUAACAAAACUUUAAAGGAAAAAAAAUAAUUGCUUGGACUUUAAGUAUUUGUACGUCUCAUGUACUAUAAUAAAUAAUUAAAUAAUAAUUAAUUAUUUAUUUUUGAAAAUUUAAAUUUAUUUUAGAAAAAAUAUAAUUAUAAUAUAUUUAGAGUCAAAACUAUAAAAAAAAUUUAUUAUAAAGAUGAUUUUUAGGCUAAUAUGGCAUAUACUUGCGCUUCAAAAAAUGUCGUCCUACCAAGCUGUAUCAAAUUAAUUUAUUGAAUAAUAAAUUUUAUUAUUAUUUUUUAUUUUUUGCUAUUUUAAAAUAGGAAAAACUUCAAAAAUUUUUCUGUGGUUUCGUAGUUUUUUACUUUGCCCCCUGUGGUUUAAAAUGUAUCAAUUUGCCCCCAUGUGGUUUCUUUUUUUUCUUUUUCUUAUCAAUUUCAUUAUUUUUUUUUCUUAAAUCAGUGAUAAAGUUAAUUUAUCUCAAGUGAAUAUUUAAAGGGUACUAAAGUGAAUAUUUGAUAAAUCUAGAUAGCUAUCUCAAGUUUUUUAUAUAUAAUUUAAUAAAAUAUUAACGAAAAAGCUACCGAAAAGAUAAAAAAUGAAAUCACAUGGGGACAAUUUGAUAUAUUUUAAACCACAUGGGGGGGGGGAGAAAUGAGAAACUACGAAACCACAUGGGAUUUUUUUAAAGUUUUUCCAUUUUAAAAUAUCAGGAUUUUAAAAAAUUCUAUCAUUUUAAAAUAUCGGAAUACAUUUUACAGACAUUUGGUAUAAGUGUUGAUAUAUACUUUGCAACUUUUUAUUUACCAACGUUUGUACUGCGGCUUUUGAAUACAACGAUAAACUAUUUUAAAAUGCUUUUAAGUAUCUUUAAGUGCUAACAAUUAUCUGAGCAUUCAUUAGUCCUACAUUAAACACCGAUUGAUUUAUAAAAAUUAAGUGUUUAAAAUUUAUAAUUUCGAUUUAUAGAUAAAUUGCAUCUGGGGAAACAUUCAUCGAACAAUGCAUGAUGCAAAGGUACAUGCGAUAGUUUCUUUUAUUUUUUUUAUAUUUUUUAUUUUUAAAUGAGUUGUUAAGCCGUCCAUCUAAAUUCCCACCAACCCCCCUCAAUUUUUAAUAUUUCGAAACUAGUACGGUAAAGAUAUUGCUAUUUUAUACAAAGGACGAGAGUAAUAAUUAAACAAAAUGGAUUUAAUUAGUAGUCGGCGUGUAUUGUUUCAGUGAACUCGGCAACCAAUAAUAAUAAUACACGUUGCCCAUUACUCCAUGUACAUACAUGGAAAGUAAUUAUUUUAAUUAAUUAAGUGCAUUAAAUAUUUCUAAUUUCUAGAUAUUUACCAUGCAUUGUUGGGUUGUACUCGCAUUAAAAACUAGGGAGUAAUGAGUUGUUUUAUUAGUCGGUGCAAUGAUGUGAACAAUAAUAUAAUUUGUAGAUAAAAUAAUAAUUAUGAUAAUUAAAAAUUAAAUAAAAAUCUACGAUAUAAUUAUACUAAAACUAUUGAGGAAUUAUCUUAAGUGGGAAAAACUUUAAUUAACUUUUGAGCGAUUUAGCAUAUUUAUAUUUUGUUACUGGGCAAUACAAUUUAUUUACUAAUAAUAUAAUAAAGUAAAGUGAAAUUAAUAUUAUCUUAUAUUUUGUAAGUUAUAAUAUUUUAUGAUCUAUUUAUAUUUCUCAUAAAAGUAUUUUUUUAAAAAAUACAAAAUUUAUAAAAUAAAAAUAAAAUAAACCACACAAAAGCUGAUUAAUAAAGUUUCCCUAUUUUAUAUUCCAUAACUUCUAAAAAAGCGAUUUUACCUUUUCAAACUCUCUCUCUCUCAUCUCUCUGUUUCUCCACGUGGUCUCUUCUCCAUAUCCCUGUAAAUUUGAACGUUAUGCUUAUUUUUGGACGAGUAGUGUACUUGGAAUAGGACUCUGCAUUAAAUACGUACACAACACCAAAUAUGCCGUUUGGUUCGGGUAUAAAUAGGAACUAGCUAUUACAGAAAUAGGUACAAGUAUAGAGAUAAAAAAAAAUAAUGUUUGGAUGAAAAUUGGGUUGUUUUUGGGGAUAAGAACAAUUUUAGAUAGUUUUAUAUAGAAAAUGAAAGUGUUGGUGGGGAUAACCGAGAACUACUAUUCUCGGAUAAAAAAUUAGCAUUUGGAUAACCGAGAACUAUAUAUAUAUAUAUAUAUAGAGUGAGGCUACUAUGCUAUCGGAAGCACGGAGCCUUCCGUGCUUCCACCUCGUUUUCGAUGUUGCGACUUUCGAAUUGUCGAUCGGCUCCGUUAAACUUGAUCUAGAGUAUUUGAAGUACCUAGAAAAUAAAUUUUAUGAUUUUACGAUAUCAUUUGCCUAGUGAACGAAGGGGCUCAAAAUCAACGGCUGAAAAUAAAAAUAUUACAAAAUGUAAUAAUAUGACAUUAAAAUUUUAAAUCAAAGAUAUUGAUCUUAUUUUAUAUAGUAUAAAGAAUUUUCUAUCAAAAUUUCACGUGAUUUGGAUAUUUCUACACCGUUAAACUUGCAAACGGCUCACUACGGCCAUUGANUAUAUAUAUAUAUAUAUAUAUAUAUAUAGUAAGGCUACUAUGCUAUCGGAAGCACGAAGCCUUCCGUGCUUCCAGCUCGUUUUCGAUGUUGCAACUUUCGAAUCGUCGAUCGGCUCCGUUAAACUUGAUCUAGAGUAUUUGAAGUACCUAGAAAAUAAAUUAUGCAAUUUUUUGAUAUUAUUUAUUUAGUGAACGAAGGGGCUCAAAAUCAACAGUUGAAAAUAAAAAUCUUACAAAACGUGAUAAUAUGACGUUAAAAUUUUAGAUCAAAGAUGUUGAUCUUGUUUUAUAUAGCAUAAAAAAUUUUCUAUCAAAAUUUCACGUGAUUUGGAUAUUCUACACCGUUAAACUUGUAAACGGCUCACUGCGACCAUUAAAAUUAUUGAUUUUGAGCCCCUUCGAUCACUAGGCAAAUGAUAUCAAAAAAUCAAAAAAAUUAUUUUCUAGAUAUUUCAAAUACUCUAGAUCAAGUUUAACGGAGCCGAUCGACGAUUUGAAAGUCGCAACAUCGAAAAUGAACUGGAAGCACGAAAGGCUCCGUGUUUCCGAUAGCAUAGUAGUCUCACACUAUAUAUAUAUAUAGAGUAGGGCUACUGUGUUAUUAGGACCACAGUAACCCUUGUGCUCCUAAGUUCUUAACCGCUCAUCAAAUUUGAUGGGUUGUUAGGAUGAAAGGGAAAAAAGUAAUUGGAGAGAAAUUGGAUUUCUCAAUUUCUCUUCUCUUUAAAUUUCUCUUCAAUAUCUUUUCUCUCUCAUUCACCCUAACCAUCCAUCAAAUUUGAUGGGCGGUUAAGAAUUUAGGAGCACAAGAACUGCUGUGCUCCUAAUAGCACAAUAGCCUUACUCUCUCUCUCUCUCUCUCUCUCUCUCUCUCUCUCUCUCUCUAUAUAUAUAUAUAUAUAUAUAUUUUACUAUAUAUAAUAAUACAAUCCUCCUUAAUCUAUCUUCUCUUUCCUUUCCUUCUUUUAAAUUUAUAUUUAUACAUCUCCACACCCUUCACCCACCUCCCAAAACUUAAACACUAAUCUCUCUCUCUCUCUCUCUCUCUCUCUCUCUCUCUUUCUCUCUCUUCAUUAGUUCCCAGAUCCUCUUCAAUGGCCUCGUUAAUGCUGUUGCUGCUCCUGCUCCAAUCUCUUCUCCCUCUACUAAUAUUCUCCCUAUUCUCAGGUAUAUAACUCUUCGUUUCGUAUUCAUGAUUUUCUCAGUAACAUGCGUGAUUCGCCUUACGUUCAUUCACGUCAUUAGUUAUAACUUAAAACUUGUGUGAUGAUUAUUUUUGGGUUAUUUUCUAUGACUGCGCAUUGAUGGGGUGGUCCAGGGGUGUCGGCGGUGGCGACGUUCACGAUCGCGAACAAUUGCAGGUACGCAGUGUGGCCGGGGAUUCUGUCGAGCGCCGGCGCUGCGCCGCUGGCGACGACGGGGUUCGCGCUCGCGCCGGGCGAGGCGCGCGCCGUCGACGCGCCGGCCGGGUGGUCGGGGCGCAUCUGGGGCCGAACGCUCUGCGGCGGCGGCGGCGGCGGCGGGGCCUUCUCUUGCGCCACGGGCGACUGCGGCUCCGGCGCCAUCGAGUGCUCUGGCGGCGGCGCCGCGCCGCCCGCCACGCUCGCCGAGUUCACCCUCGACGGCAGCGGCAGCAACGACUUCUACGACGUCAGCCUCGUCGACGGGUAAAUGCUUAAGCUACCAAAAAACAGUAAUAUCUUUUUGGUAGUAUUGAUUUUAUAUCAUGCAAAUAUAUAAAUCAUUGUUUUACCUAAUGCACAGAUUUUAAAAUUUAAUAAACAUUAUUUUUAAGUAUUUAAUAGUUACUAUAUUUUUGUUUGUACUUUGAAAAAUGAUUGUGAAUAAUUAUAAUAUAUAUAUAAUGCAACAGAUCAUAAAGUAAUGAUUAGGUAAUCGAUUAUUAUCAUCGCUCAUCUGAAGGUUUACUUUUUAAUGUAACUUUUGUUCCUCUCCCCAAGUUCAAACAACAAAUUCAAUUAUACUUUACCUUGAAAGAGCGACAAUUUAGGCAAUUAUUUUUAUAUAUAUAAUACAUAAAUUUUAAAAUAGUAAUACAUAAUAAAUAAUUUGUCAUUGAGUUUUCGUGUCGGCAGAUGAUUUUAAUAUUUUAUAUUCAACAGGUACAACAUCCCGAUGCUGGUGGCCCCGCAGGGCGGCAGUGGGCCCAAUUGCAGGCCCACCGGGUGCCUAGCGGAUCUGAACGGGGUGUGCCCAUCGGAUCUGAAGGUGGUGGUGGGCGGCGAGGGGGUCGCGUGCCGGAGCGCCUGCGACGCGUUCGGGGCGCCGCAGUACUGCUGCAGCGGUGCGUACGGUAGCCCCAGCACCUGCGGGCCGACGUCGUACUCGCUCUUCUUCAAGAACGCGUGCCCGCGGGCUUACAGCUACGCCUACGACGACGCCACCUCGACGUUCACCUGCGCUGCCGCGACCGCCUCCUCGUACAUCAUCACAUUUUGCCCCAGCACAUCCAGGUAGCUGAUCGAUUGACUUAGCGAGCAACUUCAACUAUCUUUAGUUUUGACGUACAUGCAAUCAAAGUGGUCGGAGAUUUAAUAUCUUAAUUUGAUCCUCUCCUUUGUAUUUUUUUUUUUAAUCUGGAGUUGUUUUUUUAUAUAGAAUAAUUGAUACAAGCAAGACUUUCUCAUUACGUGGAAAAUCAUUUUUCGUUUGCUUUUGAUUUACUUUUUUAAACGUGGCCACGCAAUAAGUAAGUUGGAUGCUGGGACUUUUCAAUGGGGCUCUGCUUAUGUUGGCUUCGGGUCCCAGUUUAUCUAAAUGACAAAUUAAAAAGCGUAAUUAACGCGUUACGAGCCAACUUUAGCUGUAAUGCGUGUCUUGUCCUUUAUAAUUAUGUGUUUAAUUAUGGUUUUAAUUAACAACGAGCUAAGUUUAGAGUAAUAAUCGUGCCUCUUCGGUGUAAACCCACCUCAUCAUGUGUCAGGUCGACGCGGCAACACAUUACUUUUUAGCUGUUUGCAUUUAAUAUACAUCAAUAUGAUAGAUUCAAGAAUAAGGCUUUUUUAGUUUGUUUAUUAAAAUUAUUUAUUCUGGAUAUAAAUCAAAAUAUAUUACUUUGUUUAUGAAUGUUUUCUUAAAAAAUCAUAUUUAAUGCAAAUUAUCUUUACAAAAUAGUGAGACGGUAAAAUUAAUGCUUGUGCGCUUCAAAUGAUGCCAAAUAGUUUAUAUAUAAAAGUCGAGCCAAAUCAAACGUAGGUUUGAUUCUGAUAUAAGCUUAUUAUGGCGGCAAAAAAUAGACUUUUUAGUAUAGACACAUUCUUUAAAUCGUCAAAUCUAAAUUGAAUCAAAAAUGUAGUGCAUGCCGAGAUAAGAAAAGCUUGUGUUUUUGCUGCAGCUUGAAGUCGUCGAGCGCGAACCCGGAGGCCGCGGGGCUGCCGCUGAUCAACAACACCAUGGUCUUUGUGAGUGGUGCUGCUGUGCCGGGCCGUGCCGAUCGCCGUAGUGGGCUCCACCUCUCCCUCCUCCUCGUCGUCUCUGUACAUAUGCUGACGUGGCACUUUUUCCUAUUCUCACGCCCCUUUUAGUUAGAUCCACACGUGCUCCUCCCCACGUGCGCGCGGGUUGCUAUUCUCACGCCGCUCUCCACGCCAUUCGUAGUGCGGAACCCCUCAAUUACAAGCAAUUUUGAACUAGGCCCUUCACUUUUUUUUUUUUUUUUUUUUUUACUUUUAUUAGUUGUAUUUUCUUAGCUUCUAAUUUUUUUGACUUUAAACAAUUGUCAUUAAAUCUAGUGACUUUGUUUCAAUAUUAUUUGCAAUAAAAUUUCUAAAUUUAGUUGCACCGAAAUAAAUUAUUUAUGGAUUUAAUAGGCUAAAAUUGUUUCAUUUCGAAAAAAAAUCAAGUAAAAAAAAAAGGAGUAAUGGGCCGAUUUCAAAAUAUCCUCACUAGUUGAGGAGGUAAUAGUUUUUUAUUUUUAAACUGAGAAUAUAACUUUUAUAUUAUUUUAUAUUUAUUUUUUUUUUUUUGGAAUGAGUAAAUGAUGUGGUGUGGGGCGGCAUGGAUUUGCACGGUGUAGGCACGCCGCUAUAUCCAGGCCUUUUCCGCGCGAUUGUUAAAUGAGAUACGUCGACGUCGAGCCACGUGGACUUUGGAAGUUGUGACGUAGGAUCUCUUGAUUUGAUCGAUCAGUUGAUGUGAUUAUAAUAGUACUAAAUUGUUCGUACAAAAUAUUUUAAAAAAUAGAUAAAGUCGUCCUAAAUUUUCAAUUUUGAAAAUUAAUUAUUUUUAAACUAUAUCAAAUAAUUUAAUGUCUUUUUUUUACGGGUAAAUUUUAAAUAUCACACCUGUAAUUUUGUACAUUCUUAUUUUAGUACCUUAUGAUUUAAAGUGUAUGAAGUUAGUGUCAUGUUGUUUUAUUUUUCUCUUUUCGUCAGCUUUUUCGUUAAUAUUUUCUUAAAUUAUAUAUAAAAAAACUUCAGAUAUUCCACAUAGAUUUAUCGAAUACUCUUUAGUUUUAAUUUUGUCAGUGAUUUAACGAAAAAAAUUAGUGAAAUCGAUACUAAAAAGAUAAAAAUGAAACCGUAAGGCACUAAAUUGAUACACUUUAAACCACAUACUACUAAAGUGAGAAAGUGUGAAACUAUAAGGCACUACAACAAAAACGGUCUAUAGCGACACUUUUAAAUGUAGGUACAUGUCAAAAAAGUGCUGCUAGCUAAAAUUACCGACACUUUUAAAAAAUGUUGCUAUAUGUGGGGUCGCUAGGUAUAUAGUGACAGUUAAAGAGUGUCGCUAUAACCUAAAAGAGUGCUGCUAAUUUACGAACACUUAUUUAAGCAUUUAGCAACCGCCGAAACUUUAUCUCGUUGGCUGCGGUGGCGGAGGAGGACGACAGGAAAGACUCUUCGUCUAGAAUUUCAGUGGAUUGAGUGAAGAGAGAAGAAAAGAUGGCAAUUGAUUUUUCAUUUUUUUUUCUUUUCUGUUUGUAAUCGGGCCAAAUGGACUGGGUGUGGUGGGGUGAGUAGAGUAAUCUUUUAUUUUUGGUUGGAUUGAGCUUUAUAUUUAGGCAUUAGCAGAUAUUUUUUUAAGUUUUAGCAUAAAUGGGACACUUACUCAAAAGUGUCCCAAAUAUGUGUCCCUAUAACCUAAUUCUGUUGUAGUGAGGGUGGUGUUUGAAAUUUUUCCAGUUUUUAUUAAUUAUAUAAUUAUUUUGAUCACAUAUGGUGCGCGUAAUUUUGCAAAGCUUCAAAUUAUAAAAUUUUGUUUUUUUCCUCUUAUUUUGAUAAUUACGCAUAAAAUUUGAAGAAUAAGUUAGAUUUUUAUUAUUUUUAUUUGUAUUUUAGAAUAUAAUUUUUUUUUUUUACAACAUAAUUUUAGCCAUGACAAACUAUUUGAUAUAAUUUUAAAAAAAAAUUAAUUGUCAAAUUGAAAGUUCAAGCUCUUUUUGCAAAAACGCCCUGAACUUUAGGGAGUUUAUACUUCUUUAUUUAAAUUUUGUUCUUGAGAUGUCUAUAUCAGUUGGAAUUUGGGCCUAUGAAAUGGUAUUUUUGUCGCGAUAAAUGCAAGUUUACGUAUAUUUUUUAAAAUUUUAUGCGUAGAAUUUUUAUGUACACAGUAUAAUUGAUAUAUCCCACCGAUUAAAAAGGCUACACAAUAUAUAACGAGAUCGAGCAGAGUAAAAUAUUUUAUACAAAACUUGCAUUUAUCGCGACAAAAAUACCAUUUCAUAGGCCCAAAUUCCAACUGAUAUAGACAUCUCAAGAACAAAAUUUAAAUAAAGAAGUAUAAACUCCCUAAAGUUCAGGGCGUUUUUGCAAAAAGAGCUUGAACUUUCAAUUUGACAAUUAAUUUUUUUUUAAAAUUAUAUCAAAUAGUUUGUCAUGGCUAAAAUUAUGUUGUAAAAAAAAAAAAUUAUAUUCUAAAAUACAAAUAAAAAUAAUAAAAAUCUAACUUAUUCUUCAAAUUUUAUGCGUAAUUAUCAAAAUAAGAGGAAAAAAACAAAAUUUUAUAAUUUGAAGCUUUGCAAAAUUACGCGCACCAUAUGUGAUCAAAAUAAUUAUAUAAUUAAUAAAAACUGGAAAAAUUUCAAACACCACCCUCACUACAACAGAAUUAGGUUAUAGGGACACAUAUUUGGGACACUUUUGAGUAAGUGUCCCAUUUAUGCUAAAACUUAAAAAAAUAUCUGCUAAUGCCUAAAUAUAAAGCUCAAUCCAACCAAAAAUAAAAGAUUACUCUACUCACCCCACCACACCCAGUCCAUUUGGCCCGAUUACAAACAGAAAAGAAAAAAAAAUGAAAAAUCAAUUGCCAUCUUUUCUUCUCUCUUCACUCAAUCCACUGAAAUUCUAGACGAAGAGUCUUUCCUGUCGUCCUCCUCCGCCACCGCAGCCAACGAGAUAAAGUUUCGGCGGUUGCUAAAUGCUUAAAUAAGUGUUCGUAAAUUAGCAGCACUCUUUUAGGUUAUAGCGACACUCUUUAACUGUCACUAUAUACCUAGCGACCCCACAUAUAGCAACACUUUUUAAAAGUGUCGGUAAUUUUAGCUAGCAGCACUUUUUUGACAUGUACCUACAUUUAAAAGUGUCGCUAUAGACCGUUUUUGUUGUAGUGACAGCCGAUCUUUUCAAAUUUUUUCACUUUGGCUCCUAAUUUUACUUUUUAUUAUCAUUAGGUACCUAACAAGGAUAAAUAUAAAAAGGCGAAAACACGAAUAAUAACACGAAGGCCCAAACAUUGGCAGUAUCUGAUCAAUCUCAACACCGAGGAUUGAAAUUCCAAACAUUAUAAAAGGAUUGACAGUUUGUUAAACAGAUACCGACUAUAUCAUCUGAAGUUCGAAACACAGUCGCUUUAUAUUUCUAGUUGAGCUCAUUACCGCUUUUUGCAGAACUAACUUUUUGGCCUUAAGAUUUUCGGGGGGCGCCCAAGUGUUGCAUGCUCAAGCCAACCUCUUCAAGUCUUUAGCACUGACACCUCUCCAAACUUAAAAUCUAAGCCAGCCUCUUCAAGUCCUUAGCAUGGACAUAUCUCCAAAUCUAACAGCGAAAGACCAAUUUGAACAUUUUAACCAAGCAUGAUUCCUCGUGAGCCUUACUGGUCAGCGCCACACUUUACAUUGAAUCUCUCGUCGGACUCCACAAGUUCCCAAUAAACAACCCCACUAUUGAGGUUGGCUACUAAGCUGAAUACAUUAUCUCAUCAAAUAAACUCUUCUUGAAAGUGUUACACAACUGAAUGCCUCGUUGCCCUCCGAGCUAGCCAUAAGGACACACAAGUUUUCCCCAACUUAGCCCUAUUCGAGUAUAGCCUAGUAUCUCGCCCCUACCCGUCUCGCUUUCACUGUUAAAUAUAAAAAUAUUUAAACACUGUUCCCUACCAGCUUAAGUUUUUAGGGUAUAACGAUUGUUUCGUAUUAUUUCACAUGGUGUCAGAGUAGAAAGUGUUGAGUUCGAAUCACGUCAGACUCCUAGUAUUACUAAUUUUCUCCUAUUUAAUUCAAAUUCACGUCACGGGCCUAGCGAAAAGUCUCGAGUCCAAAUAUGAGGAAAAAAUAUUAAAUAUAAAAAUAUCUAAACAUCUUUCUCUAACAUGUUAAGCUUUUAGAGUACAACGGUUGUUUCAUAUUAUUUUCACGCUCACGACUUGGUCCGCAUACUAAAAAUGCCCAAGCUCUGCAGCAUCGCAUGCUACGAACAACUUAAAAGAUAAAACCGAAUGAUAGUGAUUUCGCAAAGCGCAUAAUUUUUCUACAUAUGUACGUACUAAACAUCAGGAAAAUCUAACACCAAAACAAGAAUGGCUACUUAAUUAAGUAACACGGCAAGGAUCAAAUGGAUUGGGACACACCUCUUUUUGAACAAAAGUAGCAUGCAUGCAUGUUCCAUAUAUAUCUACAAUGAAAAGAAAAAGCAGCAAUUAAUUAAUUAACUGUCUCAGCAGAUAAUGAAAAUAAUUCUCAAGGAUGGCCAUUAGACCACAUAUAUGUAAAGUUUUAAUUUAAUCUCCACUAAAGGAUCGAGACACAUGGUUCAGAGAAUAUGAAAUUAAUAAACACGUAAUACUAGCAAUGUCACCCUUCAUAUCUACGUGUAGUCUACGUUGCACUUUUGGUCCUCAAAUUUGUGGUGCUAUUUUGGUCUUUAAAUUUAAUUUCUAGUAAAUUUUAGCUUAAGUUUUCUAAAUUGUUACAAUUAAAUUUUACAGUCUUAUUUAGUUGAUUAAAUAAUAAUGCUUUGCCGGCAUGAUAGUUAUGUAAUAUUUUAAUAAUUAACAAUAGCUAUAUUUAACCCAAUUGUAUUAUGAGAUUGACUUAUAAUAAUUUUAAAAAUUCAAGCUGGAGUUAGUAAAUUAAAGUCCGAGCACUAAAAUAUUAUAGGUCUAAAAAAUCGAGGGCAAAAUUAAAGCGCAUUUUAGCCUAUCUUGUUAGUAGCUUUCUCAUUUCUCUGGAGAGGUUUGUGGAUUAUUGCUUCAGCGAAAAGUGCUAUUUGUGAGAGUUUCCACAAAAAGCACUUAAUUUAGCUAGUGGUCUAAUUAAGAGCUUGUUUCUUUCUCCUCUUUGGCAAGCAAAGAUCAUGCAAAUUAAGGUCGCACGUUAAGCCUAUCAUGCUGCUUCUCCAUGCAUGCAUGGUUGGUAAAAGUGCUUAUGAGAUAAGCGGUAUAAGGGAGAAGCAGAAGCUGAUCCAUUAAUUGCUCUAUAUAUACAUGAUAUAUAUAUUUUGCUUUUCUUGGGUGGACUCUGCAUGGGCUUUUUCCAAUUCAGUGGUAGAAGAGUGGGGAGUGACAAAACGGCUUUUGCAAAAGAAGGUCAUGAGAUAAAAAGAUGGAGAAAGAGAGAGAGAGAAAAGAAGCCACAGCAGCAGCAGCUUAAUCCAACUUAUCCAAAACCUACGUGGGCGCUUUACACCGCAUCCUUAUGUUGCAUAGAUUGCUUCGUUGAUCCAUUUUGCUUUCCUAGGAAGAAUCACUUAUUAAUAAACUCAAGCUAUAUAUAUAUAUAUAUAUAUAUAGAGAGAGAGAGAGAGAGAGAGAGAGAGAGAGAGUUGAGGUAGAAUACUAUCGAUAGCAAACCGGCACUUUUGCCACCCAUUUAUUUUCGAUGAUUGAACCUCCAAAUCAACGAUCGGCACCGUUGAACAUGAUCUAUACUACUCGAAGUGUUUAGAAAUCAAAUUUUAAAUCUUUUCGACAUCAUUUGCCUAAUGAUCAAAGGGUUUCAAAAUUUAUAAUUGUAAUGGUCGAUAUGAGGCGUUUUCUCGUUUAACGGCGUAAAGAUAUCCAAAAUCAAUUGCAUUUUUGUUAGAAAAUUCUUUAAACUAUUUAAAACAAGAUCUAUACUCUUAAUCUUGAUUACAAGACUCCUAUCAUCAUUUUUUUAAGAAUAUUCAUUUUCAGCCGUUCAUUUUUGUGUCCACUCGAUGGAUAAGAGAGCAAUAUCGAAAAUGUAUGAAAUUUAAUUUCUAAAUACUUCAAAUGGUAUAGAUCAUAUUCAACGGUACCGAUCAUCAAUUUGAAGGCUCCAUCAUCGGAAACAAAUGGGUGGCAAAAGUGCCGAUUUGCUAUCGAUAGUAUUCUAGCUCAACUAUAUAUAUAUAUAUAUAUAUAUAUAUAUAUAUAUAUAUAUAUAUAUAUAUAUAUAUAUAUAUAUAUAUAUAAAGAGAGAGAAAGAGUUAUGUUAUUAUGUUUUAGAAAGUACCGAGAUAUCAAAUUUGACGAUUAGUUCUGUUAGACAUGAUUCAUAGUGUUAAAGUAAGUUAUUUAGAAAUCAGAUUUCAUAACUUUUUGACUUCGUUUGUGAACAAGUAGUUUCAAAAUGAGCGACAAAAAAUAAGAAUUUUAUAAAAAAUACUGAUAAAUAAUUUAAAUUUCAAAUUGAAAGUAGUGAUCUUGCUCUCAUAAAUUUCGUAAUUUAUCAAUAUAAUUUACCUUAAUAAUCGAUUGACUUUUUGGCCACAUACACUCUUACUUAAGUGUGAGGAGAUGACGUCGCACAUUGCUUUGAAAAUAUUACUUCUAUGCAUACUCGUACUCUCACACACACACACACACACACAAAACAUAUAUAUAUAUAUAUAUAUAUAUAUAUAGUCCGGCUACUAUACUUUUAUGAGUAUUGGCUCCCUUAUACUUAUAAAUUUUCGACCCUUAGAUUUAUUUUAUGAUCAUUUCCAUCCGUUAGAUCAUACAAUUCAACCAACUACCCACUCAAUACUAGGGGACCACUAUCAUUCUAAGUGGGGACCAUCAUCAUCCUAACCACACAUCCAAUCAAUCAACGGUUAAAAAUUUAUGAGUACAAAGGGUUCUAUACUCAUAAGAGUAUAGUAGCCCUAGGCUAUAUAUAUAUAUAUAUAUAUAUAUAUAACACAAGGCACAGAUACAUUAAUAUUAAACAAGUUUUUAAAGGCUAUCUAAGGUAAAUAUCAACAAUACAAGAGCAUCUUCGUAACUUUACUACGUUGGUAGGAGUAUGCAUGCAAAAUCAAUCUCUAUUAUUAUUAAUUAUUUUUCCAGCGAUGAACGCAACGCUAUUUUACUCGUAUACUAAAUUGUGAAUAUCAAGGUAAUUUGAGGUAUUAAUUUGUGUACAUAAAUGAAUGAGAAAUGCUACAAUAAGCUACUUUAUUUUCUUUUUAAUAAAUAUAUAUACAAUUGUGCAUGAAAAUUAAUUCAUUCUAUAUUAUAAUUUCAAUAUUAUUAAAAGAAAAAAGUAAUGGUGCGCAAAAAAAUGAACACAUGCUGCUGUCUCUAGUGGGCCAAGAGCAACAGGUGAUAUCCUGCUGCAGAUCAUAGAAUCUGAUAUGUAGGAUAUGCAAAAAAAGCAUUGAGAAUCUUGCCCCCUGUUCGGCGGAUUUGGGAUAAUUAACUUAGAAAAAAAAAGAAAAUCUAGCAAAUUAUUAAGAAACUGUAUGCUUUUUUUGGGAUCACAGGGUUAUCAAAGUUCUCCAUGGAUCCAAAUUUUAAGAUUGAAUUUGUUGACAAAUUUAAGAAGCCCCUAGCAAGCUUGAAUUAGGUUCUUCGCAUUCUUUCUUUUUUCCCCCCUACCAUUGACGGGCUUAGGGCUAUCAAUCAUGCUUGUUGUUCACGAGUCAGCUCGUGUUCGAAUUAAAAAUGACUUGUACUCAGCUCGUUCAUUUAACAUGUAAGCCAAUCAUGAGCUAAUUCUAACCUGCUCUUGUUUGGCUCGAUAUAACAUAUGAAUUGUAUUUUUGGAUUGAUAUACAACAAAUUUAAAUGCUGUUUUAAAGUUUUUUUUGGGUUAAUUAAUUAGCUUUACUUUUUAAUUUAAUACUAAUUAAUAAUAUUAACAAGCAUCAAUGGUAUUAAUAAUAAUGCUAAUUAUAGUUAGUAUUAAUAUGUUAUUAAAGUUUAUUUUAAGCUAAUUAGAAAUAAUUUUGAGUCGGCUCGAAUUAAUCUUAAGCACGAAAACGAGCUAGAUUAUCCCAACUUAUUGAAAUUUCGAGCUGACUCGAAUUAUAUUUUUCGAGCCGAUCUCGAACCGUUCAAGCUCGUUCGUGUUCGGCUCGCUGACAGACCUACUGAUACACCUAUAACUGCUGCCAAUGCACUGUAAAAUUCUUUAACUAACUUUAAUAUUUUAAUAUGAGACUUACAAAGGAGGGUUUCAUAUAGCUGGUCUCCUCUACCACACUUUACCUCCCUACACAAGUCAAAAAUAUGAUGGUGUUAGUUAUAAGGUGCAUUUGGUAGUGGAGAAUAAUGGGAAUGAUACAUAUCGUUUAAAGUUGCACCAAAAGUUAUUCUUUUCCAAAAUUGACCAAUGUGAGAUUCCUUAAGAAACGACACGUGGAAAACUACGCGUGACACUUGGCCCUUUCAGGGGCCGUUUAGUUAAAUGUAAAUAUAAAUGCAGUAUAGAUUAAAAUACAUUCAGUUAAAAAUACAGUAGUUAUAAUUACAUAUAUUUACUGUGCUUGGUUAUGUACGGUUAGCAAACGUAUUUAUACUAUUUUUUGUGUUUUAUAUAUGAGAUAUAUAGUGAGAUUAUCUCUUAUGUGGAAAAAAAAAAUUAUUUUUUUAUUUGAAAGAUUAUUAGGAAGGUAAGCGUAUCUUUAUUUAAUGUUACUUUCUCCAACCACUGCAGUUAGUCAAUUUGGGCAUGGUUUCAAUUACUACAAUUGAGCAUCCUCGUGUAGUUUCAACUGCAGCAAUUGAAUUCAAAUGUACAAAAUCAAACUACGAAUUUGAAUUUAUAUGCAGAUGCAAUUACAGUAUAGUUACAAUUACGUUCAACCAAACAGCGCCAAAUCAUUUUGGUAGUGCAGUUCUAUUUUCUUUCCAAAUUGUUUCAUGCAUGCUAAAGCAUACAUGCUGCACAGCCGACCAAAUAAUGUCAUUUUGCAGUGACCCGUCACCAAAGAAGCCACCAACUUUGAAAGCUCUGACUGACUGUCCCUAGAGCAAGUGGCAAAGGACUUGGUGGUUGGUACCCGAGACCCAAGUUCGAAUUUUAGUUGAUUCACAUUUCCAGCUAAGUUUAUUUCUAAAUAAAAUAAACGAAGCGGGUAGCAUGCUACCUUUCUCUCAAAUAAAAAACUUUGAAAGCUCUGGUUCCAAUUGUGUUCAACGGUCAAAUACUGAAUUCAAGGCGGGGCUCCAAAACUUGUAUAGAAAAGAGCCGCGCACAUUGAAUGCAACUUCGUGCACAAAAAAAUUCUAUAAAUGAGAAAAUAUUAUAAUUUAUUAGUGUUCGAAUGUAUCCCGUAUGAUCGGAUGAUCUAUGUACAAAAUUUUUCUAUGCACAAAAUUGUAGAGAUAUAAGAUCAUCUUUGUCUUUGCUUUUAUUUUCCUCUGUAGUUAUAACUGUUUAAAGAACUGAGAUCGAAUCCGUAAAAGAUUAAUAAAUGCACCUUAGAAUUGAACCUGCUACUAUAUUAUUUAAAAAAUUAAUUAAAAAAUAAUUUAAAAACAUUAUUUUAUAUAAUUUUAUUCAACAAAACUAUAUAUAUAUAUAUUCCAUCCCAAUAAAAAAGACAAAUAAAACAUGGUAAUUUAAUAAGAGCGGCAUACUAUUUGUAUACCUAUAGCUAAAGUAUAAUUCUUACAUCUUAAUCAUCUGAGGACUAAUAAUUUACUCUCUUGUCUUUCCAGGUUAUAUUUUAAUACAAAAUUUUCUUUUAAAAAAAGUUAAACUCUUGGAUGUAUAAAUAUAAAUUUCUUUGUCAUAUCAGCUAUUUUUUUUAGGUAAAAAAUAUAUAGAACUUAUAUAUUGGAGCAUUUAGAUCUAGCUACUCAAUAUGUCAAAAUUUGGAGUUUACUAUCGAUUCUUUCGAUUUGUUUGAUUUGAGUCAGUCAAGUAUUUUGACCUCAAAAUUUGAAUACAUUGUUAAUCUUUACAGUUUUAAUUAGUAUAUCUCAUACAAUUUUCACAACUAUAAGUUCAUUAACAUAAAUAAUUAGCUUAAAUUUUAAAAUCAAAGUAUUGUUGACUAAAUCAAAUCCAACCAAUUGAAAGGUUGGUCGCUAAAAUCAAACAUUUGAUUUGGCUACUCAACCUUUCAAAAUUUUGAUUUGAAUCGGUCGAUGCGUCGAUAGUUCGACUUCAAAUUUUAAACUAAUUUCUUAGAUGAAAAUAUAGUUAUGAGAAUAUAUUGCAUGAAGUGUACUAUCUGAACCUAUAAAGAUAAAGAUAAACAACGUGUUCAAAAUUUUUAAGUCAUUGAUUGAUUCAAAUCAAGCAAAUUGAAAAGUUAAAUAGUAAAAUCAAAAUUUUAAAAAAUUGAAUACGUAGCUAACUCCGAGUAGUCUAUAAUUCAGAUAAGUUCUGUUCCUUUGUAUUUUUUUGCCCGCGUUGAGAAUGCAAUUCAACAGCUGCAUGCAAACUUCUUGCCCAAGUUUGGUUAAAGAAACAAAGUUCGUCUCCUUUGUGGAAGAACUUCAUCUCCUUCGUGAAUCAAAAAGGAAAAGAGAAAAGGCAAAGUGAGAGAGAGAUACGAAGUUUAAUUUUGAGCCAUGCUCUAGUGUGAGAAAAUAAUGUGUAAAAUUAUUCAAACCGUCUAAUUUAUUGCAUAUAUACAAUUACUCUUCCUAGGUGUUUUUUAUGAUAUAGCUGUUCCGUUAACGUGUGAUAAUUUUAUGCUAUUUUUUAAAAAUCAAGAGGUGAUUUUUUUUUUUUUUUUCUGUUUUGAAAACCUAUACAGGAUGGAUUAAUUGUCACAUAAGAUGAUUUAAAAUACAUGGGCUGUGACACUUUUUUUUUAGAAGGGUGAUCUUAAAUUAUACACGCUGAAUUUACAUAUAUGCAUUUAAUAUAAAAUGAAAAUAGAGGCUAAUGUGGAAAAAGAGACGGGCUUUUUUAUAAAAUGAUCCUCCAGAAAUUUGAAUUUGGCAAAAUAACCCUACCAAAAUUUUAUUUGUAAAACUAAUCCUACUUUCGCAACGUGGGCGUCACGUCAGGAAUUCCUCAAAAAUACGAUGAAUCGUUCACCGCCUUUAUAAUAUUUAUUGUGAAGACAAUGAAUGGUUUACCGCCAAUCCUUACUCUAAUAUUAAUAGAUAAAAUAAAGUUAAAAAAUAUAUAUAUAUAUAAAAAAUUAUAUUUCUUUGUUUUUUUAUGAGAUCGUAGAAAAUAUAUAUAUUAUAACUGUCUCGUUACGAUAAAAAAAUCUUAAUAUUAUGUAUACAAAUAAAUAGCAUAUUAUUAAUACUCAAUGUAAUCUCCGCAUAAUUUCAAACGAGAUCUUAAUAAAAUAUUUGCCAUUAUACAGGGCACUUCAAGAUUUAGACAAAAUAAAUAAAUAAUAUCCAAAAAAUGAGGCAUGUGAUAAAAGCUUAACUCAGUCAUGUAGAUCAAAAGGAGAGAGAGAAUGUGGACCCAAACCAUGCAUGGACCCAAAAAAGAGAGAGACCUAGAGAGAGAGAGAGGAAGACCAAUAUUGACCCAAAAAGAAGAGAGAGAGAGAGAGGGGGGGUUAGAGAGAGAGAGAGAGAGAGAGAGAGCACUCCUCUAUAAAAGGUCCAAAGAUGAGAAGCAUUGAAUUAAGUCAAUCCCCUUCUAACUUAUGGGUUGUGGUGACAAUUACCUUCUCCUCCAUUUCUCCUCCCUUAUCAUAUGUUAUCACCUUCACCACUAUUCCUCUUAUAAUUCCCUCGCCUCCUCCUCUUCUCUCACUUCUCAAACCCCUUCUCACCACCAACCUAAACACAUACUAUGUUAUAACCAGUUCUAACUUAGCACAUCUUAAGCAGUAGUAGUAGUAGUAGUAGUAGUAAACAAUUUAUCUCCUCUUCAACUGAUCCGAGUUUCAUGGAUUAUUCUUGUUAUUCUUUCUCGCUUCUCCUCCUCUUCUUAUUUGGAUCAGGUACAAUUAAUUAUACACUUUACUUAUCAUUUGAGUUGGAUUUUAAUUGCGAUAUGUAUUUACGUACGUGCGUGUUGUUGCAGGGUCCGUGAGUUGCACCACGUUCACGUUCGUGAACCGGUGCGGCGACACGGUGUGGCCGGGCAUGCUAUCAAACUCUGGGAGGUCGCCGCUCGAGACCACCGGGUUCGCCCUCCCCGCCGGCGGGUCCCGCUCGCUUCUCGCCCCGACCGGCUGGUCCGGCCGCUUCUGGGGGCGGACCGGGUGCUCCUUCGACCCGGCCGGGCGCGGCUCGUGCUCGACGGGGGACUGCGGCUCCGGCCAGGUCGAGUGCAACGGCGCGGGCGCCGACCCUCCGGUGACGCUCAUCGAAUUCACGCUUGCAGGUACCGAAUAUAAAAUAUCCAAAUGCCAUUCUCUGAUAGUUUAAGUCUAGAAUGUCAAAGGAAUAUAAGAUUUGUAUUAAGACAUGUUGGGGAGAAUUUUUAUCUUUUUAGAUAAUAUGGUAUCAAGAGGUUCUGAAUUUGAUUUCGUUAUUUUUAUGAUGUGACAUAAUUUAGUGAAGUGACUAGCUAUUAAUGUGUGGAAAAUGAAAAUGUUAUUGGUAAUUUAAGUUUUUAGAGUAAACGAUUAUUCGCUGGUCAGAAGGCUCCGACGGAAAAGACUUCUACGACGUGAGCCUGGUGGACGGCUACAACCUGCCGGUGGUGGUGGAGGCGACCACCACCGCCAUCAAUACAGCCUCCACCACCGCCGACACUGACACCGUCGGGUGUGCGGCGACGGGGUGCGCAGCCGACCUGAACCAGCGGUGCCCGGCUGAGCUGAAGGUGGGGGACGGGGAGGCGUGCCGGAGCGCGUGCGAGGCGUUCGGGACGCCCGAGUACUGCUGCAGCGGCGAGUUCGGCAGCCCGGACACCUGCCGGCCGUCAGUGUACUCGCAGAUGUUCAAGUCGGCGUGCCCGCGGUCGUACAGCUACGCCUACGACGACGCCACCUCUACCUUCACCUGCGCUACAGCCGCCGCCGCCGACUACGUCAUCACCUUCUGCCCUGACUCCACAGUCAGGUGAGAAAUAAAAACAAUCCCAUGACUCAUAUUUCUUCACUAGUCUUAUCAUUUUUUUAUUUUUUUUCCGCUAGUCUUCUGAGGGGUCUUCUUUUUUUUUAAAAAAAAAAAAAAAUUUUACUCUGAAGGGAUUUGAUGGAAAGGUUCUAAAUUUGGAUCAUUUUGUACUUAAGCUAAUUUGUUUUUGUUUGGUUUUAAUAUCUUAUAAUUUUUUUUUUUUUUUACUUUUGGUCAGUAUAAGUUUGACAAAUAAAAGAUUAAUAAUUAAUGAUGUAUAAGACAUACAUGACUCAUUUCAGGAACAAAAAAGAAAAAAAAAUGUUUGUGAACUUCUUAACUAUAUUUCAAUAAUUUAUUGGUAAAUGUUAUAAAAAAAAAAUCCCAUACUUUUAUGAGUUUUGUGAGUUAUAUUGUUCCCACCAAUAGGUGAAUAUGAGAUCUACUACUACUCUUGGCAAAAUCAAUGCUCAUCCAUUAGCUAUUACUUUCCUUUUUUUUUAGAUGCAUGCUAGUUGUACAUGUCAUGAUGCAUGUUUCACUUAAUUAAUAAAUAAGAGAAGUUUAAAAUAAAUAAAUAAAUAAAGAAAGAAAAGAAAGCCUGAAUAAUUGGAAAAGAUGGUGCAUGUAUGAUUUGGCCUAGCUCUUUUUUAUUUUUUGUUUUUUUAUUUGCUAUCAUGGAAUCUGCUUCUUCUGCCUCUACUUUCAAAUUGAGUAGUAGCAAAACAAGGGGAGGAUAAGAAGAACAAAAGAAGCUUUAUUCUCUCCCCCUUUAUUUCUUUUGCUUUGUUCUUUUCCCACCAUUUAUGAUGGUGCAUUGGUGCAUGGUUCUUGAAGCUAGUGGAUAUUGGUGGUUGGGAUAAAAAGUAUCUAUCUAAAGUUGGGAAAAAAAAAAAAAAAAGAAAAGAAGCUAAAAUGUGAUUUUUCUCUUCUUUUUUUUUUUCUUAAUUUUGUGAUCUAGUAACUUAGUUGAAAGUGGAGAGGGGCAAAAUAAUUUUCGACCGUAAACUUAUUUGCGUUGUCAGAUUCGCUGUAAAUUAAUUAAGUUCGGUCCUAACUCAACCUUUUCAAAAUGUUGCAAUCGGCUUUACUUUGAUUAACAGCAGAGUCAGUUAUUGGGAGCAAAGAAAAAGGAAAAUAAAAAAAAAAAUUAAUUGUUGUAACUUUUUAUAACUCUCUUGUGUGUUACUGUGAAAAUUUUGGGCGAACCAUCUAUAGGAAGUGGGAACACAUGUUUCAAAAGCCAUUGACUUGUAAACUAAUUUUCACGUAAACUUUAGUUCAUCUGAAAGUGAAUUUCAGUUACAAAAGCAGUUAUGAACUAAAUAUAGGCCCCUAAUUAAUGAUCUAACCUUCUAAAAUGGCAUUUAUAGUUUGAUAAAUGAGAAUCAAAUAUCAAAUGACUACUUUUAAAAGUCUCCACAAAAGCUGAUGUGCUUGUAAUCACAUGUGAUGUGUGCUAAUUAGUUCAUACGUAUCCUCUAAGAUACUCCUAAUACAUUAGCGGUAUCGGAGAAACCAUAUAAGAGUAUCUGAGCAGUUCUCUUAUUAAUUUAGCAGAUUAAUUUUUUAACUAAAUAGUAUAAUUAACCAUAAAUUUUUCCCUGAAUAUUGGCAGCCAAAAAUCAACAAAAAGUAGUUCACCAUCAAAACCAUCAGAAGCAGUGUUUGAUGAUGAUUCAUGGAUCGCAAGUUUGGCCACAGGGGGAGUAAGCGCAGCUACGAGGAGAAGAACAUUCUCAAUAGUGGAAGCUUCAUUAACCAUUGCAGCUAUUAUUUGUUUCCUACUCCAUUAAUUUACUUCUUAAUUUUCUUGGGGGGAAAGUUUGUUUGUAGUUUGCAUUAGAUAACUCUGUUUAAUAUAUAAAUAUAGUAACUUAGUGCACAAAGGUGCUAUAUUUGUGGUAAAAGUUUAUGGACUUCAAUCAUUUCAGCGCAAAAUUUGAAGGUUUAAUCUCAGUCGUUCAUCCUUAUUUUAGAAAACAAAAAAAAAAAUUAAAAUGAAAUGAUCGUAUGAAUGAUGAAGAUUAGUAACUUAUGGUCUCUGGAUCGAAUCGUGCCACAAGCUAGAAUUGGUUUCGCAAAAGUCAAUGUAAAUAAAGUGUUAACGGCUGACAUUAAGUCUUCAAUCUUUAUUUUGUUAAUGCGCAUUUUUAUAUUGAGCUGGACUUAGCGCCUUCAAGUACCGCUCCCUUUGGGGUUACGAACAGAUUGCAUUACUCGUGCCCGUAAAUAAUUAUACGUCCUCAUAUCGUACUAAUUCGGUAUUUAAUACGUAGUUCCGUUGAAAAACCAAAAAAGCAUAUUUCUGUACGCUCCUUCCUCAAUACCAAAUUGGCCCCACUUGUGCACAAGGAUUGGGGAAUCCCUGCAGUCUCUUUAUUUUCAGAGUUUGAUGCUUUCACAAAACAAUCUGACAGAUGCUUUUGUUCACAUUUGCUCCGCAGAGCGCUUCCAAAUGAAGCAUCUGAAUGAUGCACCCAGAGAUACAAAGAGGAAAGGGAGCAUAUAUUCCUGAAGCCUGUAUCGAAGCGCAAUUUGAUUCAGUCUUUCACUUCAACAUAUUAGUCUCUGUCCUCGCAAAUCAGAAUUCAUGUGGAUCUUAACUUUCAGUGCAUUUUUCUACCGAAAUCGCUAACUUUUGACAGGAGUCGAGCAAUUUAAACCAAACAAAUCAGAUUAAGAUUGCCAAAAUUUCAAUACACCACAGCAAACAACCCAGCAAAAGAUAAGAGAAAUUCAACAUACAACCAGUUUAGUUCUGAGAACAACAUCUUCAUUGAUAAAGCAUGCCUAAAAACAAUUUCUCUUCGAUCUGAUGACGAAUCUCAACAACCAAAGAUUAGACAAUUAAAUAAAGAAAAGUGAAUCAAUUAUAUAUAAUGUUUUCCCCAAAAACUUUAUGUGAAUAACUUGAUUUGUAUACACCAAAAGAUUAUUCGGCAAAAUACGUCAAGGGAAUCUCCUAUUUGCUUCGCGUACAAACAUUCUCCGGCAUCUCUGCCCAGGCCUCUUUAGACCAAACGGGCGGCUAAUUAAUUGCUAGAUAUAUUUAGAUCAAAUCUUUGGGGAAUCUCUUGCUGUGUCAAAAGUUGAGAGUGCACUAAUUAAGUUGAUACAAAAGUCAUAAAGCUACUAAUAAAACAAAUAAGAAGAGUAUCAUAUUGGUAGAUAAUGUACCAAUGGAGACCCAAUAUGAAGCACUCUUUAGAUGGAGAAAGAUAAGAUGAGAUUCCGAGAAGUUCACAACUCAUGAUUAAGCAUCUAAUAAUUGUCUAAGAUGACAAGAGGUUCCGAGAGCCGGUACUAAAUUCACAACUCAUGAUUAAGCAUCUAAUAAUUGUUUAAGAUGACCUUAGGGUAUUAAAGAUUAAGAGCUAACAAAACUUAAAAGCUCAUUCUAGAACGUAAUAAACAAAUCAAGAGACAAAGUUAAUCUUAUACUGUCGCACCGCUCUGACGAUAAAAGCCAGAAAUCUCACAAAAAAUUGGAAAAUAAAAAAAAAAAGUCAGGAAAAAUUAACAAUGUGCUGCUGCUUCCUUUCACAAGUUUCAAUUGGUCUCCCUGUGAUUCGACUUGGUAAUAGUGUCGUGGAAUUCAUUGUUAGUGCUCCAAAAUAUUAACCUACUGCAGCAAGAUGUAAUCAGCAAUCACUAUCCUUAAUACAUUCAUGCUCAGUUUUCAAUAUUUUAUCAAAAAAGAAAAAUACGUUCCUCUCCUGCUAAUCUACCGAAAUAAGCUUAGAAAGGAACCUAAUUCAUGGUUCUUUAUAACAUGAUUCCGGUCAAUAUCUUAAUACAAAUGCUUUCUUUCCCAGUAAUAUAUGUUCUCACUAUAGCGCAUUAAAGCAACAAAUGGAUAACAGACCGGAAUCAAUGGUCGGACAAAGAUAGUAGUUCAUAAACAACAUGCAGGCAUGAAGUGAUAUGUUACUGAGAUGAACACAAACAAAGUACGCAUGCUCUACGAUGGUCAGCAGUGGAAUCAACAUGCAAAAUAAGCUCAGAAGUGAUAUGUUAUUGAGAAGAACACAAACAAAGAACGAUCGGCUGCUUUUAAGAGCUUGAAAUGAAAAGCUUGUUUUGAUAAGCAACAACCAGAGUUGUUCGUCCAAUUACAUGCUGUUCGAAGAGUGCUGUGCAGUCUCCUUGAAUAACCAAGAGAGUUUAGCUACUCACUCAUUCAAAACUAGAGAAAACUAAGAAAAACAAUAUUUGGUUUCUUAGGUGUUUGGUUCCUCAGUAAUGUCACUCAAAUUUCCGGAGAUAAGAUGUUAAUGUGUUUGGUUCGACAACCUCUUGAUGAUAAUCGUGGCAAUACUACAGAAAAUUUCCCAAUAAUAAGCAUGACUAUUCAUAUCCUCGCACUGAAGCUAGAAUUCAAUAACAAACACACUAUUUACCCUCAUGACUAAAAAAUUUCAAAUAUUUUACCCAAAAUCAAACAAUUACAAAUGAAAAUUGACUUGAUACAAAAGUUCAAGGAAGUGAAUCUAGAGAUCUGAAAUAUUACAUAUAACAGAUUUCAACAGCAUGAAAAUCACAUAUAAUAGAAUGAACGUUACACCUUGCCAACAAGUGAAACAAUCAAAAUUACCAUCGAAAACAAACAAGCCAAACAAAUGGAAAAAAAAAAACACAUUAAAGUUUAAAAUAAUCAAUAAUAAACUUCAUUUCAAUAUAGAAAAAUCACACAACACAACAAGUCCAUGCAAUCGGUAACGCCAUCAAGAAACAAUAAGCCAAAACAAUAUCAUGCAGUGGUAGCAAGUUGAAACUAAGCACAAUGAUAUCCAAAAUUAGCAAGUCCAAGUAAAAAUAUUUACCUACAUCCACCUAUAACCUGAAGAACAAGUAGCCGAAAAGAUCAAAGAGCUUAAACAGUACCGUUAAUCAUUAUUCUAGCAAAUACUUUCACCUACGCGCACGCAGGAUUCGACUAACAUAUAACUUCCUAAGCUCCACGGGCACUAAGUAGAACACAUUCAUUUUGCUUGUGUCGCUCGAUAGGAUUACAACAGCAUCCAUGAGAUCCUCACGCGAAAGUCCAUCAAUCUUCGAAAGCUCAUCGAACAGCCUCUGCCCUCUACUCGCUUCAUCUGCCAUGUAUUGGAAACAGCUAGCUAACUUGGAGAUGCUUUCGGUAAACUUUGCAAAACUCCCUACAAUUGAGCGCAAAGUUGAGAUCAUGGUCCUGUCGACAUCAACAGAUUUCCGCUUCGUUCCUCUACGUGUACCAGACCCUCUACCUUGAGAUCGCGGGUUUGAGCAGGCUGCCGUGUUAGGCUUCGUCCCCGAGCAUGCAGAACUCUGCUCUGCACUCGCGCCAUCACUUUCAUCCGCGCCAAGGACAUCCUCCAUCUCAACCUGCAGACCGGAAGCACGCGCAGCCAAUUCUUCUUGCGCUGUGGCUACCACAGCAUUUGCCAAGGGUUCUACUGCAGCUUCAGUUGCAUGGUCCUUGCCGAAAACUACAGAUAACUCCACGUAGGGGAAGGAUUUCCCUCUUAAUCCCGCAGCACUAGGAUGACUCUGCAUAUGUUCGUGUAAUCAAACAACUUAGAGUUAACAUUUAUGUAGUUACAAUAAUAUAGUAGAGAAAUGUAAUACUAGCAUACCACGACCCAAUCGUCAUAAACGCUCCUCUCGCAUGUAAUCGUCUUAUCCUUGCCGUCCCAACCAAAGCCAUUCACGGCUGCUCCAAGCAUUUCUGCUAUAGCGUUAUACUGCCUUUUCCAAAGUUUUAUUCGCGAGGUAAUGUGGGGUCGCGCUGUAAGCCCGCAACCCGGCAAUUUCUCGCUCAUCAAUUUCUCCAACUGUUGCAAGAACCCACAUCGAAAGUUGCCGUUAUCGGCCCUCCAGUGACCUGAAUUUGUGAGACCCAAUAAGCACUCGAUAAGCUUAUCGUCUUCCUCCUUAGUCCACUGAUGUUUGAUGCCUCUAUUCCUUGGCUUUCCUUGCGGAUUUCUUCGAGCCGCCAUCCUAUCAAUGAAAAUGGCAUAAAGUAGACAUCCGAAAAAAAAUUCUGAGACAUGAACUGAAUUCUAAUUCUUUAAAACCAAAUAUUCGGCGACAUAAUCCCCGCAAUUGGAAACAACUGAUCAACGCACAGCGGUUGAUCUCAAAAUCGAACGGGUAUUCCUGCAACAUCAAACGUCAAGUAGCCACCGCGUAUUCGGAGAAUGUAUGACGGCGAUCUUACCGACUUAUGCAACAUUGAUCGAAUUACCAAACAAACAUGUUAACAUGUAAAACAACAACAACCUGUAGUUCACAUGUUUAAGCAGCUGACGAAGGAGUGGGACCUGCUUAAUCCAGCAAGGCGAACCUCGGUUUAAGCAGAUCACAUGUUUUUUUUUUCUUUUUUCUUUUUUUUUUCUUUUUUUUUUUUUUAUCUCGCCCCCCGGCCCCCCAAGGCCUUUACUGCCUCACCUCUGUAGCCUAGUUCAUAUUCCCAAUGAAUGAAGCGGGUAGCGUGCUACCUCUUUCUCAAAAAAAAAACAACAACCUGUAGCAGGAUUCGAACCGACGAGUUCUCGUGCGAGCACGCCAGUAAUGACUGCAAAAAUUACGGGCUAGGUUUAUAGCAAAACCCAACAUAUUCUAAAUUAGAACAAUGCAUAAUCUACAUAGUUAUGGACAUAACAAAAGGAGAAUUACUAUGCAUCUAUAUAUUAGGAUUUGAAGCACCAUCACAAACAUAUAUGCAUCUUUUAGUUCGCAACUUGGAUCGAACAUAGAUCUUGCAUCAAACGGAUACCUGCGACAGGAGAAAGCGCUUUCGCCUACCGAGCUCGCUCUCGGGUUCGCCUUUGUACUGUGCCCUAGCUCCCGCCCAAAUACGAAAUAGAAUUAAUGAAUUACGCAAAAAUGUGCGGAUGGUCCCUGUACUAUUCCGGAAUUGUUAUUUCGUUCCUGAACUUUCGCAACGGGCCGUGUGGCUUAGUGUGAUAUAUAUUCGUGAGGGAAUGGGUAUCGGCCCAAUAUCGGCCCAUUAUUAGCCCAAAAUUGCUUUCCUUUGUUACUCAUUUUUUGCUUCUAUAUUUUAAAUAUUGCUCCUAUAUAUUAUUUUGAGCCUCUUCGGUAUAGCGUAGCGUGUCUCUCUAAAUUCGCCGUAACUUUUCUUUCAUUUUUAGGAGUGGGCUCCAUCCCAAAACAGCGCAAGUCCACAUACUUUUUUUUUAUUUCGCUCGAACCGAAUCGAAUUUUUCUUUCUUUGCUUAAAUCGAACCAAUCAUUUAAAUGCGGGCUCCCCCGACCCAGCUCAAGUCCUCCAUAUAUAUAUAUAUAUAUUUUUGCUUGAACCAAAUUGGGUUUUCCUCUUUUUUUUUCCUUGAAAAGAAUCAAGUCACACCUCUGCAUUGCAUUGGACCAAACUGUUCUUCUUCCAUUCCCUAUUUUUUUCUCUUAUUAUCUAACCGUCGAAUCACAUGGAUUACUAUAGUAGUAUAUCAUAUAAGCUGUAGAAUGAGAAGGUUGUUGCAUAUUAGAGUAAGGCUCUAUUUGGGAUUAUAAAAAAUUACGUUACGGAUAGUUAGAAAGUGCGAUAAAAAAUAAUAUUUAUUUUUGUAGCGUAAUAUUACUUUCUGCAUAACAAAUGAAUUGAUUAAUAUAUACUUUCUGUAAUCCCAUUGAAGAAAGAAGUAUGUUCUUAUAUAUUUUUAUUCUAAUUCUGUUUUUCCUACUAAGCACACUAAUACAUACCUAUAUAUUUAAGUUUCGAGCAUGUUAAAUUAUACAAAACAGACGGUGUUCUUCAAAAUAUUAAACUAUCAGAAAAUAAUAUUAUUAAUAUUUAUAUUUAACAGAGUAGUACUAUAGAAUUAUCAUUGAUCUGUGACUCAGUAAAUAUCAUUGAUGAGUUAAUAGUUUCACAUAAUUUUGACUGAUUAGUGCUUUACCUUUAAACUUAUGAUCUUAUUAAGGUGCCACAAGAAAAUGCUCAAUCAUCAGCAACAGUUCGAAAUUUUCAAGCAUAAAAUUAUUCCAUAUAUGGCUAUUGAUAGCUUCAGCAAUUGUUUUAUAUAAAACACAUGGCAUCAGUAGCAUCGUACAAGAUAUUCUACAAAGAGAUAAAAGAGCUUUUUUCUAAAUAGUUAUUUUUAUUUUAUGUAGAAAAAGCAUAAUUCACAAAAAUAUUUUCAUAUUCCUUGCUCAAAUUAUGCAUACCCACUGUCACAUCAUGGCAAAAUAAAAUUAGUUUGCUUUAUACAUUUUGUGUGAAUAUGCUAAAAUGGAUGUGGUAACAUCAAUUACAAGAACUCAAACUUGUACAUAUCUUCUAUGCGACCCCACCUUGCUGAUCCACCCAUCCGAGGAAGAGAUUGAAAAAAAAAGAAAAAGAAAAAAAAAAGUGUAAACUUAUUUUGGCUCUCAUAACCAAACUUAUUUCACAAUCCAAUCCCACUUCACCUCUAAACUAAUUUAUUACUAGCAUUCGAAAAGGUUGAAAAAUUAAGGGGCAAUUGUUUGUAUACUCUUGAAAAGUUUUCAACUUUCUAAUUUAAUUUUCUUAGAAGGUUAAUAUUGAAAAAAAAAAAUUUACGUUCAAACCUAUUUCAAAUAUGCCUCUAGAGUUAAAUUUUAUUAAUAAAUUAUUAAUAAUAGCUGUUAUCUAUAUAAAAUUACUAUUUUGUCCAUUCAAAUAUACCCUUUUAUCAUCACUGACUUUUCUUAUUUGCCAUUUAGUUAGGGGCAUAAAAGGUAUUUUGAUUUUUGCUCUUUUCAAAUAUAUCCUUCUACUAUUACUAAUAUUUCUUAUUUGCUCUUAAGUUAAGGGCAAAAGAGGUAUUUUAAUUUUUUAACUCUAAUAGAUAUUUAACUCACGUUUAACUCAAAUUAACUUAACGAGUAGCAACUGCUGAUGUUUUUUAUUUGCAUUCACGCCUUUUGGAAAGAGCCGCUAACUUCGAUCCAAGCAGUUUAUGUACCUGCGGAUAACGGAGGGUAUAUAUGAGAAGUAUAUUGGAAAGGAAAAAAAAAAAAAAGAAAGAUAUUUUCAAAAUUUUGAGAGAUAUACAGGUAAUUAUUCUAAAAUUAAAAAAAUGUAGAUAUGCACGUGAGGGAUUAGAAUCUUGACCUAUAUAAAAACCUCUCGAAAUAAGAAUUAGUGUACUAGGAAAUGGUUAUGAACCAAACAUUGCUUUGAUGUAGACCCAUUCAUCAAAUGUUUCUAAUUUUAUAAGUUAGGUAAUUGGACAACUCAAUCCAAAAAUAGAAGUGUGAGAAAAGCACAUCAGUAACUUAAAUUCCUUUUGUUAUGUGGUCCCAUCAAUUAUUCAUUUGUUGGGUUCUUUAUAGUUGCAUGGUAGUAGUGAUUCCUUGCACUAUAACUUGGGAAAUUCCUUCCCCCAUCACUUCCCUCUUCUGGAGAAUAUGAUUAUUCUUAAGAAAACACCAAAUACAUAUAAAAUAGCACUUUUGGUACACCAAAUAACUAAUUCUAUUUAAGCCCCUAUAUUUUAAGUAAAUUAUUUUGAGCUCUUGGUUUCUCAAGAUCUCAUUAUAAAUGUGGCAAAAAUUAAGGGGUAGUAUGUAAACUGUUUAAUUUUUAUUUAAUUAAAUUAAGCCUCUAUAUUUAAUUUUUUUUUAUUUGAGCAUAUGAUUUCUCGACCUAACACUCAAGACGCGGAAUGCUUCAACACAAACAUUCUAUAUUGUGCAUGGGAUGAAAGUGACGACAUUGAAUAUGAUGAGAUUAAGCCUAACACAAUGAAUAAGUAUAAAAAACAAAAGACUUGAGAAAAAGCAAAUUAUCCUAAAAAUUAAAAAUGUGAUAAUAAAAAUAAAUUCAGAAUUUAAAAUCUUAAAAAAAUCAGAUAAGAGUUAGCAACUAACUGUAUAAUUAUCCGUUUUUUGAAAAUGUGACGUGGAAGAAUGUUAGCUAUUUUGACAUUUUUGUCCCUAUCCAUCUCGUACCUUACGUGGAACAGAAACACCACCUUUUCCCUCUCCCUCAACUCCUCGAUUCCUCUCUCUCUCUCUCUGUUUUAUAUCGCUAAUCCGUGGACUCGAAGCGAAGGCACAUCGUGAGAAGCACGAGAAAUAAAAAGAGAGGGGGGAGAAGAGAGAGAGGAGAUGGACUUGUACCAGGAGUUUCUCCUCACCGCGCUCGUCUCGCUCCUCCUCGCCUUCCUCCUCGGCAAGCUCGCCGGCGCCGGCGAACCCGAGAAGGUCCCCGCCGUCGCCGCCGACGGAGGGCUCGACCGGGUCGAGGAGAGCUCUCCUUCCCUCGACGAGGCAGGCGACGAAGCUACCGAACUCAGAUUGGGGGGAACCCUUGCGAAGGCGAUGGAUUCGGUGGUGGAGAUCGAGAGGAUCGGCGCGGAUCCCGCCGCGGAUGAGAUCAAAGAGGUGGUGGCGGAGGAGGAGGAGGAGGAGGAGGAGGUUCGGGAGGAGAAGGGGCGGUCUCUGCUCCACGGGGAGGACGAGUGGGAGGGGAUCGAGAGGAGCGAGCUCGAGUUGCUCUUCGAUUUCGCCGUCAAGUAUGCGAGUAGCGAGAGCGGUGCGGAGGCGGUGGCGAAGCUCGGCAAUGGCGCUCGGAUGCGGUUGUACGGGCUUUGCAAGGUCGCGACGGAGGGGCCGUGCUACGAGCCGCAGCCCAUGGCGUUGAAGGUCGCCUCCCGUGCCAAAUGGUUGUGCUUCUCCCUAUCCUUUAACAAAUUCCUCAUUAUGUUUACAAGGUUCAUUGUUUUGCUCUGAUUUGAUUUGAAUCUUCUGUUCAUGCUUGAUUCAUUUUUGUCUCUGAGCUUGUUUGGUGUUUAAUUGAGGUUUUGAUUUAAAAUUUUAAGCAUUGUUUGCCAUUUGGAUCAUCUCCAAUAGAAACAGCUGAACACAAAAAUCAGAAAGCGUUUCUGAAGAAUGAACAGUUAUUAGAGAUGUACAUGAUGAGGCAUCUAGAAAAGGAAAGCACAAAAAAUAAUAUAGUGAAUUUCAAUUUGACCCGUACGUGUAGGGAUGUCGAUGGAUAUAGAUACCCGAAAUUUUAUCCAAACCCGAACCCGAACGGGGUGGAUUUACCCGAUGCUAAAUGGAUAUAGUUUUGGAUAUGGAUAUAAAAAACAAAAAUCCGACGGAUUUAGAUUCGGCUAUGGAUUUUGAUUGUAUCCGACCCGAACCCGAACUCGAAGUUAUUUUACAUUAUUUAUAAUAUAUAUGUUUGAUAUUGUACUUAAAUUUGUAUUUUGAAAUUUUGAUUUAAUGUAAUAUAUUUUGAAAUAUUGUAAAGAGAAAUAAUUGUUUCUGAGUUCCGAUUUUCAUGUUUGGACUCGGGGUCGGAUUUUAGAUUUUUGGUCGAGUUCGAGUUUGGAUAUGGAUUUUUUUAAUUCGUCGGAUUCGGGUUCGGUUUCAGGUUUCGGGUUUGGUAGUUGGGUUCGGGUUCGGGUUUUUGAAAUCCGCCCCGAAUCCGACCCGUUGACAUCCCUACCUUGUGAUUUAGCGCAUUUUACUUGUCAUACUUGGUUUGAAAAUUUGCACUAGCUACUUUGUAAUUUUUUUUUUAUUUCACCAAAAAACCCUUGCCAUCAAAUUGGAUAGUAAAUUGAAAUUUCUUGAAAUCCACCGGUAUCAUUUUUUCCAAUAGAUCCUUACAGUGAAAUAAAAAUAAAACAAAAAAAUAGUUAAAUGUAACUUUUGAACCAUCAGGGUAUCAAAAUGAAACCGUGCUAGAUCAUAGAAUAGUUAAGUAUAACUUUUUGAAUUACAGAAUGAUAAAGUAAAAAUAUGUCAAAACCAUAGUGGGAUAAAUCAAAGUUCACCCAAAAAGAAAAAAGAGUAUUAGGGGACAUCUAGGAUGGAUAAUGUCAAUAAGAUGAAUCUAGGAAAAACAAAAAAAUGUAGCUAUAGUUUGACGAUAAUCGUUCAUGAUGCUUUGUAACUCAUAUUUCUUGCUGCUUUCGAUAUGAGACUUCCCUAUUUUUGCUUUCCCGGCAUGAGCGAAGACUAUCCGUGAUCCAUGUUCUAUCAAGUGCUAAAGGCUUCACGCAUCUACUACAAGGUGCCAUGCUGUGUAAAUUUGAAAAAAAAUGCAAAACAGGACGGAGCAAUGAUUCUGUGUAGAUCUAUACUGUUAUCAGAUAAGCAGAGUAUGUACUGUUGUUGACGACUUAACCGAAGGCUCUCUUUGGUCUCUAGGAAUGCUUGGCAGAGACUGGGUAACAUGAAUCCAGAGACGGCUAUGGAGCAAUAUGUCACUCUUCUUUCUGAAAGCAUUCCUGGAUGGACGGGUGAAAAAAUCAGAGUAGGUUUAUUCAAAUUCUUGUUCAUAGCUUUGAGAUGGAAAAAUGUUUAACUUUCUAGCAACACUUGUUAGGAGGAUGCCACAAACUCUGAUGGCAAUGAUUCUUUGUUUACGGUGGUCUCUGCAACAGAGACACCUGUUACAAGUUCAACUAUCCACCACCAUCCAGAGCCUGCUGUUGAAAGGUAACUAACAACGGAACAAAUGUUUAAACGAACUUAAUGGCCAGUUGACUAGCGAAAUGCCUUACAGAUUACUAGAAGAUUCUUCUUCCAUUGGAAUUGAUAAUGCAGGCAUUGGUCAGAAAUUUUCCGACCAAGGUAUGGUGACUUCUUUUUUUUUUUUUUUUAUCUGUUUUGGUUUUAUAUACCAUAUUUCAUAUUUCAUAUUUCAUAUUGCAUGUAUGUAUUUCCUAUUGUAUGUACCUGAUAUGAUGUUUUAGUACAUUUCAUUUGCAAAUGCCAGAUUAGGUUAAACACAUUGCGUUAUCUGGGAGUUAUUCUCUACAUUGUGACAACACUUAUGGUGUAUAACAAAUUUUUAUAACAAAUUCUUAUUUACCCCUAUGCAUUAAAAAUUGCGCUAAUUAUCUCCCUACAUUUUGCCUUUGUAGAUUUGGGAUAAAUGGUGACUUAUGUUGAAAAACUUCACUAAAGAGAGUUUGUUUAUCAUAUUAUUCUACAUCUCAAAAAAUUAUAAAAUAUUAAAUAAAAUAGAUAUUUUAUUUUGCUAAUAUUAUCAAAAUCAAUAGUUUAUCUAAUAAUUUUAUUAAAUUUAUAUGAUUCUACUGCAUUAAUUAAAGCUAUGUCUGUUUCGACAAAGUUUUACAGUUGAAUUCAAUAAUUAUCUUAAUUUUUUUGAAUCUAUUUAAAGGAAUGGUAAAGUGCAGACCGGCACCGGCACGACCACCGGCCAGCACGACCACAGUACGGAUGCUAUAGUACCCGUGCCGGUUAGGCCCGAUCCGGCCCGUUACACUUGGCUGUGCUGGACCGCUGCUCUUGGGCCCGUCGGCCCAGCAUGGCCCCGCCGGAAACAGGCCUAGGUUGUGCUGUGCUGGGCCAAGGGAGCGUCCUGCGGCCCAGCACGACAUGGCCCACUUGGGUCUUGCCAACUGGGCCGUCAGGGGCCUGGGCCCUAAGGCUUGCAUUGGGCCUCGGGGUGUAAUCUCCUUGUGAGAAGGGCUUGGCUCCAAGCCCUUUUCCCAAGGAGCUCUCUUUGAGUAGUUUUGGUCCAAUGGACCAAACCUCUUUUGGUCCAUCGGACCAAAACCCUCCCAAUUCACCUUCUUUAAAAAACAAAAAUAAAAAUUUAUAAUUUUUUUUAAAAAUUAAAUAUUUGUUAUUUUAUAAUUAUUUUUAUAAAUUGUAAAUUCUUUUGAUCAAAAUAUCAAUUUAAAUAUGAAUAAUUUAAAUUUUCAUAUUUCUAAAUUUUAUAUAUUUUUAAAAAAAUAAAAAAUUAAAGUGGCCGGGGUGGGCCAGGCUAGCCGCUAGCCCAUUUUGGCCUCGAGUAAUUGACAUAAUUUUUAAUACAGGGAGGUGAUUGAGACAAAGGGCUAAAGUGCAACGGGUUUGUUUAAAAUUUAUUCAAGUGUUAACCACUUCAAGUCUUUAGAAUAUUCUUUGUUUCCAACUUAUAUCUUCCAGAGGGCUGGUUUUGUGCAUGCCAACAUGUGUGUGCGCAUUUUCCUUCUUGCUCUUUUUUCUUUUUUUAAAUUCUCAGCUUCAAAGUCAUUACAUGUCAGACAUAUUAUUAUUCAGCAUAGAAUUUCUUCACCUGAAUGUUGUCUGGAGUUAUAGAUGAUACAUUAUAUACAUUUGCAUAGGGCUGUACUUGGUUCAAUUUGGUUUAGUUUACGGGAAAUGUUUAAACCUAACCAAAAUUUUCAGUGUGGAGAAAUGCAGAACCUAAUCAAAUCCUAAAUGCUACUUCGUCUGGCGCAGGAGGAAUUGCAUAAUUAAUUGAAAGCAUGUUUUCUUUUCGAGUAAACAAUUAACCGAAAAUAUCACAUGCUCGCCUAUGCUUCUAUGUUAUUGAGAAAAAACUGAAACAAAAUUUUGAUUUGGAAAUCUGCUUCAAAUACUGUGCUAUGCAACCAUUGAUUUUACACCCCUGAUGUUUGAUGUGUGUCUCAUGACUUCCAUAUACGUCAAUUGUAACCACUUCUUUACGUAAGCAGAUGGUCUUUUUCUUCCUUUGCUUUUAACUGUACAAAAUUUCAUACUUCAUCUCAUUUUUUCCUUCUUUUAACUCAAAUAUGCUAUGCAUCAUCCACUUCCUUUUGUUUCUUUUGCUUUAUGGGCCUACAUUUUGUUGCAGGACACUCAAAAAUUUCCUGUUUAACCUGCACUCUCCGACAAGAGCUACAUUCUUAACUUUUCGUCCGUAAGAUGGACUUGUCCUGCUUCUGAGGAUUCGGAUAAACUGUGCUGCAGCUUUCCUUAGAAGAAGCACUUCCUAAUUAUAUCAUUGCAAUGCUUGUUCGGCAUGUAAAUUAUAUAGCAUUUUAGAUGCAUGUACAUAAAAUGUUCCCCCGUGCGUAUUGCAUUCUUCAUUUUACUGUGUCCAGCUUCUCUCAUUAGAGAAAUUAUCUCAGAUGAUUUCUACGAGUUCUGUGAAAUAAAAAAGAAGAAAUGCUUCUUAACUUACAAUGCAAGUGAUUUUUCCUGCUUCAAUGCUAUUUCUCUCUGCAAUGUAAGAAGCUUGGCCUUGUGCAUUAUUAUUUAUUCCAUCAAUAGUGUCUUAUCAAGUAACACGAAAAAAUCCUUCAAGAAUCAACACAUGCAGGUGAAGAAAGUAUAUGUAGUUACAGAAGCCGUAAACCAAGAUUAGCUCUUAACCGUCUGAUCUCCCGCCGCCGCCGCCGCCGCCGCCGCCGCCGACCUCUUUGAAUUCUUGUUCAUGUGGAUUCUCAGAUACACCUUCUUUGUCCGGACCGUCAAGAGCACGUCCAAUCCGAACCCGACGAGGCACGCGAACGCCAUGACGAAGAACACCAGGCGGUAGCAGUGGGCGCCGACGCAUGUGUUGCCGCCGCCGGCCGUCUUGGUGGCCUCUGCGUCAUAGAGGAGGCCCGCGAGGAGGCCGGAGAAGAGGAAGGAGCCGAGGGGGAGGUUGAGGAUGAGGAUGUUGUAGAUGAGGCCGUAGUACUUGAGGCCGAAGAGCUCGGAUGCAGCUGGGACCGUGAUGGCGAGGCGGAAGCCGUAGCAUACUCCGACGAUGACCGAGCCGAUGUAUAGAGAGCCCGGCAGGGCCAGGGCCAUCACGACGUACCCGACGGCCAUCAGGAUCUGCGAGGCUGCGUUCCAUAACGGCCGCGGAAUUGCGUUCUUCCUGAGAAGAGGUGGAAAAGGUGAGAGAGGUUAGGAGGAAAAAAUUCUUGACCAACUACAAUGCAAUCAAGAGAUAAGCUGCAGUUUUUCUUAAAACCUUCUCAAAAGACAAAAAAAAAAAAAAAAAAGGAAUCAUAAAAUUGAAACUAGUAUUCUCAAUAUUUGUAGAAAUAAGGAAUACGCACUUGAGGAAGUACUCGGAGAGGGUUCCCGAGCCGAUGCGGCCGAAGAAGCCCCAGAUGCUUAUCAAAGAUAUGAAGACGGAGACGUCGGCGUAGCCCAUCGCCGCGCCGAUCUGGCCCAUAUUGUUCAUCACCGUCAGCCCCGUCCCGACGCCGCAUAGGAACGAGAUGAACAGCACCCAGAAAUCCGUCGUACUCAGCGCCUCCGCUAUCGUGUGCUCAUCGCCAAUCCUUGGCCCCCUCCUCUUCCCCUCUGCCUCUGCCUCUGCCGCCGCCGCCGCCGCCGCCGCUGCCGCCGCCACCGCCAAUACUACCGCCUCGUCUCCCGCUACAGCCACCACCUCCUCCUUCUCCUUCUCCACCUCCUCCUCCUCCUCCUCUGCAUGCAGGAGUGGCUCCGAACGUUCUUCCAAAUCCAACUUACUCUGCUGAAUAUAAAAUAUUAAUUCAAGUACACGUCUUAGAUUUUAUUAAACAGUGUCAGAAUAUGAAAUAGUUAAGUAACGGCAUAACUCCUCAGCAUUAUGAAACAAGAGAUUUUCAAAUUAUGCCCUUUCAUGCUUUUAUUAGAUAUUAGAAUCUUUUAAAAAGUUAUUUUGAAAUAUAAACAUUGAGAAAAGAUGUUAAAUAUAACCGUUAGCUUAAGUUUUUAGAGAAAUUGGUACGCACAUUCCGUGCAAUUCUCGCCUUAACCGCCACGUAGACGGGCACCGCCGCCGGCGCCGCCAGGAGCAGGAAAAGCACGGCCACGAAUGCGGAGAUGGCGGCAACACCGGCCCCUCUCACCACCCCAGGGGCGAGGUCGAAGGCGAGGAGGUACACCGCGAUCACCACCGCGAUGGUGUUGAUCGCUGCGAAGCACCGCCCUUCCUCCUCCUCCUCCUCAUCGCGACCGCUGUCGCCAUCGGCGGGGGGAAAAUCGCGUAGGAAGAGCAUGGCAGCGGCGCAGAUGGCGGCAGGGGCAAUGGCGAGGAGCAAGAGGAAGGCGGCGGGGUUGUCGGGAAAGAGGGCAGCGGAGAUGUCGGUGAAGAUGGCAGUGCUGAGCCCGACGUAGCCCUUGAGGAUGCCCGACACCGGGCCGCGGUUGCGCCGGAAGUUGCGUAUGCACGUGACCAGCACCGCCGUGUUCAUCCACGUCGAGCUGUUCCCCCCCAUGCACAAGAACACGCACAUCUGCAUAGAGUUCGGAUAAAAAUUACUUUCUUUUCGCUAUAACUUUUUGUAUAAUUGUGAGGCUGAAGUUCCUAAGAUUUUACUCUUAUUCGGUAAAAAAAUAAACAACGUAAAAUUGAAAGCGUAAAAGAUGAGUUAAUAUUUAGCAUGUUCGAGGAAAUGCCUCAAAGAAAGAAACAGAGAAUGGAGACAAGUGAAGCGAAGCAUCUUCUCAGGUGUAGCUAGAUUGCACUUUUUCUGUUAUCUAAUUUAUGAUUAGCAUUUUCUCCUUUCUAUGAUUGCUAUUUUGUUCUUGCUGCAUGCAAUGAUGAGUUUUUCAUAGCAAGUAGUAAAAUAAUAUAUUUUAUAAACUGCAUAAUACUAAAAUAAUAAUAAGUUCAACUCAAAUUAAACAGUAAUAAUAUAAAGGGAAAUUGUCGUAAUUUUUUAAAAAAAUUAAACCGUUAUACCAUAAAAUUCAAAUUUAAAAUACCAUCGAGCAAUAUAGCACAAGAGUAUGUAAUUCAACGAGAGGCUAUGCUUAAUUUGAAAAUAAAUCGGAGACAAUAAAAUUUAUUCGUGCUAUUCUGCACGGUCUUUAAAAAUGGUCCCGACAAUUUUUUCAGUCAAAUCGGAUUAUUCUAAAUAAUCCUUCAAUAAUCAAAAAUAAUUAUUUUUAUUUUUUUUAGUGGAGUAACUAUUCUCAUGCUUAUAUCUGGCUAAUUUAAAAUACAAAUAAAUAAUAAUAAUUUUUAAGUUUAUAAUAAUAAUAAUGAUAAUAAUAACUGUUGUUAUUAUUAGUAGCAAUUGUACCACAACUAUUAUUAUUAUAAAUAAAAUAGGAUGUAUUAUAACCUAUAAUAAUAUGUUAAAAUAAUUAUUUUGUAUUAUUUAUAGGUAGGAGCAAUGUCAAAAGGACCCCUCAAAAGUUAUAAAAUAUUGUGGGUACCACAUCAAAAUUGUGAAUAUCACUAUCACUUUUGCCCCUGUAAAGUAAUAAAUUAUAUUAGAAAUACAUUUCAUCACAUCGACUAAAAAUUUUGGACUAAUUUACCCUUAGCUACACCUAAUUAUAAAUAAUUGUUUAGCAUCAUGUAGGGCUAUAUAAUAAAUUUAUUUUUUAACAGAAAAUAACUUGGUUUUCUUUUAUGAUUCAAUUUAUGAACAUGUUUUUUGCACACUUAAACUAAUUUAUUUUUUUAUCAACAUCAUAUAGGUCUUAUGUUAAUCAUAAUAAACAAUUAACUAUAACUAAAAAUAUUUCUACUUUUUAGUGAAUCUAAUUUCUUCUUUUGUAUAAAUUAAUAUGAUUUUUUAAUUCACUAUUUGUAUAGUAUAAUUUGCUGCAAUUAAUUACUUUUAAUAUGGUAUACAUUCAAUUGUACUUACAAUAUUUUCAAACAAAAUAAUAUUUAACUUAAUUAAAAAGGUAUUUACAAUAGAUGAUGGGCAAAAUAAAAUUUUAUUUAGUUUUUUAUGAAUUAUUGUUGAUCUAGAUAUUUACGAUAGUUUUUCUCAAUUAGAAGGGUAUUUUCUAUAUUGACACUUUUAUAAGGGAAUCUAUAUAAUUCAAGAUUGGAAGAAGAGUAUAUAUAAAAUUUGCUCUAUUUAUAUAUAUUUUGUUUAUUAUUUUAUAAUAUCUUUGAGAAAACUACCAAAUAAAUUUUUAAUUAUUCUUAAAUAAAAUAAAUCUUUAAUCAAAAAUAAUUUUAAAACUUAUUUUUCUAUAUUUCAGAAUAGUGAUAAUAUCUAAUAUGUCCUUUAAAAUUUUCAAAAAUAUCUUAUUUAUUUUCGGAGGACCAAAAUACCGGUAUUGAUUUUAAAAAAUUCUUUUCAAAUAUCUCUAUUUCUUUUAGAAUUUAAUGAUAAAAUUGAAUUCUACAAAGAUAUUUUGAUAAUUUCAGUUUAAAUUUAAAAAUUUUGAAUAGUUAUAAAAAGUAAGUAAGCAUAAGUGCUUUAAGAAUAACUAGUUAUUCCAAAAAAUUAAAAAAAGAAAAUAUUUUUAUGAAUAUUAACCCCCAACGAAACAUAAGUCAAAAAUUUUACAUCUUUAUGUAGGGGUAGUAUAUCUAAUAUAUCCUACAAAACUUUAAAAUACCUUAUUUAUUCUUAAAAGACCAAAAUAUCCUCCAUGAUUUUANUUUUUUUGAGAAAGAGAUAGGUAACACGCUACCUGCUUCGCUUAUUUCAUUUAAAAAUAAACUUAGCUGGAAAUAUGAAUCAACUAGAAUUCGAACUUGAGAGUUUGCGUACCAACCACAAAACCUUUUGCCACUUGCUCUAAGGAUGGUCGAUUUUUUUUUUUUUUUUUAGUUUGGAAAAAUAUUUUGAUAAUUUCAGAAUAAAUUUAAAAAUUUUGAAUAGUAGUGAGGGAUAAAUAAGCAAAAGCUAGCUCUCCUACCUGCCAGUAGGGGAGCGGCGCGAUGGCUCGGCGGACGACGAGCCACUGGGCGCCGUAACCGAUGAGGCCUUCGAGGGAUCCGAUGAGGAGUAUGGCGGGCAUGGGCAGGCGGUCGGAGGCGAGCCCCGCGAGCAGGCCGAACGCCUUGCCGACGUCCUUCGCCACCGACAGGUUGUUCAGCUGCAGCUGCGUCAGCCCCAUCAGCGACUUGAGCGCGUCCGAGUAGUUCGAGAACGUGUAGUUGUUCCCCGACACGCACUGCACCCACACCGCCGUCACGAACCCCAGCCACUUCCACCACGUCCCCCGCGACAACGACGACGUCACCGUCGCGGACGCGGUCGCCGCAUUCUUCGCCAUUUUCGACGUUGAUAACUUUGCUUAGAAGACGAAGAGGAAAGAGUUGUGGGGUGGGAACGAAAAGUGAGAGAGAUAGGAGAGAGGUAUUUAUAGACACUCUCACGAAACAAAUAUCUUUGAUGAUCACCAAGGGAAUCUAUCUAUAUUCUAAUAAUUAUACUGCAUCGUUAAUAACCAGACAAUUAUAUAUUUUUUUUUUAAUAAAUAAAAAUAAAAAUAUUUUUUAAUAGUCAUAGCGUGAUGGGUGUUGAACUCAAUAAAAUAAUCUUAUUAGUUGGAAACGCUACAUCAAUAAUAUAACUGUUGCAUUCUAAACUUUUUUCAUUGUAUAUGAAUAAAAUUAUACAAAACUUAUCUGAAUUUCGGACUAUUUUAAAUCGGCCUGGUAAAUUUUUUAAAUUUUAAUUUAGCUACUCAAAUUUUUAAUUCAUUUAAUUUUAACGAGUCAACGGCUUUCUAAUUUUUAAAGUUAAGCUAAUUAUGUACCUUACGAAUUAAGUAUACUAAUGAAAUUUGUAAAGAGAAAUACAAUAUUUAAAUUUUGAAGUCAAUAAAAAAAAAUUGAAGGAUUUGAUAGUAAAAUAAAAAUUAUAAAACGUUGGGCAACCAAAUUAAAGUAAUCCAUGAAUGAUUUGACUCCAAAUCCAUUAUUUGCGCCCCUAAAACUAUAUACUUGAUUAAAAAAUAGGUAAGAAUUGUGAGAAAGUCCCCUAAAUAAUAGAUUAUUUUUGAAUAUUUCUCUAAAUUUAUUACUUAUUCAUAAAUAUUUGUUUUAGUCAAAUUAUUCAACAAAAUUACUGCUUUUCAGCAAAAAAAAAAAAAAAUGUAAAACUCAUAAUAUAGUUAAUGAUCAAUAAUAAAUUUAAAAUCAAUUAUAUGCCCAACUAAGUAAUGUAAUUUAAAUUUAAGAAAAAUAAAAAUAUUUUAAAAAUAUUAAUAAAAAUAUCUCUAUUUUUUUACCUAAAUUUAGAUAAUUUUUGUAGAAUUCUGAAACAGUUAAAAAGACAUGAAUUAAGGAAGAAAGGAACAAAAAUUUGCGUGAAUACAGGAUCGGAAAAAGACCUUUUUUUUCUUUUCUUUUUCUUUUUUUUCCGCUACUGUAAAAAUCGUGCUCAGAGAGAAAAGGAUAGAGAGGGAUUAAAUAAAAAAUAUUACAAAAAGUAAGGAACCAAAAAAGAAAAAAAUGAGGAAAAAAGGGGGGUUAUGGUGGGGACAAAAUAAUGGUGGAAAAGCGUGUGAGAUUUGCUUCGGCCGUUGCUUCUCAGCUUCCCACCGCAGCGGUUUACUUAAGCCACUGAAACUUUGCCUACAUAGCCGGCGCAGAAAUUCGUGCUUGUUCAUGGUCCCAUUUUCCUAAAAAUGGGACACAUUGAAUGUACGUACAUUGACCAAAAGCGUGAUUUUUUCUGAUAUUAAUUUUUAAAAUCAUUAUUUAUACUGGUACCGAUAUUAAUUAUGUGAAAGAUACAUUGAAGGAGAAGGAUACCUAAACUAAUAUUUUAUCUAUUUUAUUAACAAAAUGUAUCUAAUUACAUCUUCGUUGACACCCUUAGCCAUAUACCGUCAUGUCUAUUGUGGCUAAUUCAUCUAAUUAAUUGACGUCUAGCUAUAUAUAUAGCUACGAAGUGAUAACUGAUGAUAACUUCAAUUUUUAUUUUAGCUAAUUAUAAAUUUUACUCUAAUUACAUAAAUUCUUAAACAUAAUCGAAUCUAUAAUUUGGAUAAGUUCUAUCUUCGGCUAAAUUUUUUAAUAUUGAAUUAAGAUGAAAAUGCAAUGUAACUAUGUCUUAAACUUGAGAUCUAAGAUAUCAAUCAUCAAAGACGAUUGAUGAUGAUAAAUAAUUUAAGAGUCCAUUAAGUUGCUAAUAACUCAGAAUGGUUAUAGAAUGAAUGGUUAAAUUUCUGCACCAGUGUGGUCAUCUCAAUCUACCCUUUGAACUUGUCUCUUUUGGAAAAAAAAACACACAUUUUAAACUAAGAAAAGCUUCCCAUGGUGGUGUUUGGGAAUUUCAUCGUUUAGUUAGGCUUCGUUUGGUUCGGAUAUAAGUAAGAACUAGCUGAUAUAAGAUUAGAACUGCUCGAACAAUAGUUCUUCUUUUUCUAGAACAAGUUGAUAAAAGAUUAGAACUGCUAUUCCAUUUCUUUCUAGAACAAGCUUAUUCGGGAAGAAGGUUAAUUAAAAGCUAAAUUUAAUUUUAAAUAUGAUAUUAAAAAUUAUUAAUUAAUCAAAUUAAUGUCUAUAAAUCAUUAUCUACUGCUUAAAUAAUAAAGGAGUUAAUUAAUUUAUUAUUUAUAAUUAAUUAGCUCAUUAAAAAUUAGUAAUUUAAUAUAUUUAUUCAUAAACUAAUAUUUAUAUUUAUCAACACUACUCUGGUUAAUUUUUUUACUAAUAAUCUAACUAAAAUAAUUUACUAACUACUUAAAAAUUAAAUUAUUUUUUAUAAUCAAUUAAUUAAUUAAUAUAUUUUCAUGAUCUUAUACAAUAUUCAUAGCUAAUAAAUUGAUUAAUUUAUUAAAUUAUUUUUAAUUUAAGAUUAUAACUUUUAUUCCUUCUAUUCCAAUUUAACCAUUCAAAUACUAUUUUAUCUUAUUCUCGGAAACAAUUCAAUUUUCAUCCAAAUAGAAAAUUGGUCUAAUUUCUACUUAUGGCUGAGCUGUACUUAUCUCUGAAAUAAGCAGUUUUUAUUUAUACCCGAACAAAACGCAGUCGUAAGAUACAAUUACAUUUCUUUUCUAUUAGAAUAACACUAUCCAUACGCUCUGUAGUUAGGUAUAAAAUUUACACCCCAAUUUCUUUGUAGCCUUUAUUUUCUCACUUAUUUUAUCAACUUUUUUAAACUCAAAAUAAAAAAAAAAUGUAAAUCUUUGAAUUUAAGGGUGUAGGACUUAUUCCCUAUAAAAAGUGUAUAAGUAAUAAUUUUCUUUCAGUUAUGGUUACUUCAAGUGAUAAUACCAACAUUCCAUAAAGUUCCCAACAUUACACACAAGUGCAAAACAUAUAAUACAAAUUUUUAAAAAAAACUGUAUCAAUUGCCAUAUAACCUAAGUUUAGACCUACUGCCACCUUACAUGGCCCAAAAACAUUGAUUUAAAGUUUAAAUGUGUUUUGGGCACCUGCUGUUUUUCAAUUGUGAACUUUUUAUUAUCAUUAUCAUAAAAAUGUUAAUGGCUAAAAAAAAAUUAAAAAUUAAUUCAGCAAUAAAUUUUUUUACAUUAUAUUUUUACUAGCAUGGCUAUAACUGUUGUGGUGGAUAGGAAUACAAAUAGCCUGACUUUAUCAGUUAUAACUGAUCGGCACAUAUUUAAAAGUUUAGUAAAUUAAUUCAGUCCCGAUCAGUUCCAAAUAGGGUUACAAGUAAGAACUAAAUAAUAAGAAAAAAAAAAAUCAUUCCGAAUUUAUUCCGAUCUGUUAAGAAAAAUGAGUGGGCAGUAAAAGACCUCUAUCUUUUCUUUAUUUGUCCUCGUCCACAAAAAAUUUAUCAAACGUUUCUUCCAUCACAACCCACCCUGAAGGACAAAAGACAUGAUAAGAAUCGACUCAUUCUGAAUCAACCCCGACCUGCAGAAGACACUAUUGGCUAUUUACACUACAACAGAAUUAGGUUAUAGGGACACAUGUUUGGGAUAUUUUUAUGUAAGUAUCUCAUUUAUGUCAAAACUUAAAAAAAAAAUCUAAUAAGGCCUAAAUAUAGAGCACAAUCCAAUCAAAAAUAAAAGGUUACUCUACUCAACCCACCCCAUCCAGUCCAUUCAGUCCGAUUACAAAUAAAAAAGGAAAAAAAAAAUCGAUCACCAUCUUCCCUUCUCCCCUCAUUCAAUCCACCGAAACUUUAGAGGAAGAGCCCUUCGCUCUCCUCCUCUUCCGCCAGUGCAGCCAACAAGGUAAAGUUCCGGUGAUUGCUAAAAGUUUAAAUAAGUGUUGGUAAAUUAGCAGUACUUUUUUUAGCUUAUACCGACACUCUUAAACUGUCACUAUAUGCCUAGUGAUCCCACAUAUAGCAACAAUUUUAAAAGUGUCGAUAAUUUAGCAAGCAGCAUUUUUUUUGACCUAUACCGACAUUUAAAAGUGUCGCUAUACACUGUUUUUUUUUGUAGAGUUAUCAUUUGGCUAAAAUAUGUCCAAUAUUUUGCUCCAUAAUAAUAGAUCCAAGAGACUAAUAAGUUGAACUGAUGAGUGUAAUAAAUUGAGUGGGAUUACGAUCCAACAGUGGACCUAAUAUCCAGAUAUGUUUAAUCAGGUCGAAACUUGUGAAGUGUUAUAACUAAGCCUUUAAAUACAAUAUAAAUACACUUAUUUUAUCAGCACGUAUUUUUUGAAUAAUUAUUCAGCAGUAAUAAUCCACAGGUAAGAAGGAAUCCAUUGGCCAUCAGAGCUGCCCUACUUUUCUUCCUUGUGUAAGCAAUAAUUUUCCCCCAUUAAAAGGCAAAAAUUGACAUGCCGUGGAAGAAUCACCUUUGGUGCCCACUUGCAAGUUGCAAGUGCUCGACCUUGUCACCCUGCUUUAUUUAUUUUUUCUUUUUUAAAGUCUUGCUUCUUUUGAAUUUUGAUUGGGUGUGGAAUUUCGAAAAUGAUGCACUCAAAUUAUGACACAGUAAAUAAAUUAGAGAUAAUUGCCCACGAUUAUCUCUAAAGUUAUUAAAUAACAAGUAUAUUCCGACCACACUUAAGUUAUCAUAUUUAUUUCUCUAAAAAUCGUUCCGUCUGUAAAUAUAUCAUUCUGUCAGCAAAAUUUAGAUAACUAUAAAUUAAAAAAUAUAACCACGGUUAGUUAAGAAGUAAAAUAAACUUUUUAUCCCUUACAUUUAUAAUUUGUAUUUCAAUAUUGAGUCAAGUUAUCUUUCUCAUCCUCUCCUCUUUAUACAUGGUGACGGCGAGAUAAACAUGAGAUACGUCGCAUGUACUGCAAAAAAUGCGAGGAGAGAGAGAGAAAAAAAACUUUUUGCAAGAAUAAACUUAUAAGAGUAAAAUAGUUAUUUUAUGCAUCCAUCGUUAAAAAAUUAACGGUGAAUCAAACGACAUGAACAUAAAUGAAUGAAUCAGAAUUUUUGAAAAAAUAUAGUUGCAAAAAAAAAAAAAAUUAAAAGAUAAAUAUGAUAAUAUAAAUUUUAUAAGAAUAUAUUUACUAUUUCAUAUGUUUGCAUCAGCAUGUAGGAAAUUAACCCAAUAAAUUAAGUGGCUAAUCCAAACAUUGACAAAAUCACAUAUGCAAUUAAUUUAAUAGUUAACAUCCAUGUCUCAAUCAAAGUGAAUUAUAACCUUGUUUUUAUUGCAGAGUGAAUAUAUAAAUCAAUAGUCACAUCCAUGUCUAAAUCAAAGUUAAUUAUAACUUUGUUUUUUCUGCAGCGCAAAAACAUAUAAAUUUAAUGAUUUGUGCUAGUUUAAAUGAGUCAGUAUUUUGUUCUUUGACGAAAGGUCAAGUGGGCUAAGUUAUUUCGAAAUAGCAUUAGACUGGGUUGGGUCGAAUCAUAUUCAAAGUGACAUGAGGCUAGUUGGACCGAGUCACAAUCGAGAUCUGUGGAUGCUGUAUUUAUACGCUUUAAGUGAAUUGGAUGUGUAUUUCUAACAGCUCAAGUUUUUGGAAUUAAUGGUUAGCGCUAACGACCUGACAGCUUGUUUUAUAGCUUCAUGUUGAUUUUAUUUUAUUUUAUUGGAAUCAUGUUAAGAGAUUUUAACUCUAAUAAGGCUUCAUGCAACCUGUUAUAUAGAUGAAUAGAACUCGUGUGUUAUAUAAUAAUACACUUGGAAUUUUGGCUAUGCAAUGUACAAGUUAAAUUAAUUCGAAUAACAAUAAUAAAAAAUUGACCUUUUAAAAUUAUUUGAGCAAUUUAAAAAAGAUUCCUGCAGAAUAUAUCUAGUUGGUAGAAAAUAAUCUAAAUUUUAAAUUUAGAAUAAAUCUGGAUCACAAACUUUUAAUAAUGGAAUAUAAUUUAAAUUUUAAGUUUAGAAUAUUUAUGAAUUAACCAUCACGAGACACUACUUUAGUAUAAUACGAUUAUGUGACCUAUUUUAGCAAUUUUUGAGGUAUUUAAUAACCUGUUUAAACACAACCUAGGGGUAAAUUGGGAUGUUUCGAAUUUAAGUUUUUUUUUUUUUUGAAACAAAAUUAUUUAAGGAAUCAUAGAAAUUUAACAACAAACCAAAUAACUGAACUAGUUGUUUAAAAUUGGCAACUAAUAUACUGAGUUGAAUUAAAAAAUAAUUGAAUUAAAAGGCUCAUGUUUAACGCAAAAGCUUAAACUAAUAGAUGAAAAACUUCUUAUGUUCUAUAAAUAAUGCCAAAAUUUUAGUUUAUAUUUAAUACAGGGUGAUUUUUUUUAACACUAGCAAGGUAAAAGGGAAAAAAUAAAAAUAAAAACAAAUAUUUUUUGUUAGCACGAAAGAUUUUUUUUGAGAGAUAGGUAGCACGCUACCCGCUUCGUUUAUUUUAUUUAGAAAUAAACUUAGCUGGAAAUGUAAAUCAAUUAGAAUUCGAACUUGGGUCUCGGGUACCAACCACCAAAUCCUUUGCCAUUUGCUCCAUGGACGGUCGAUUGUUAGCAUGAAAGAUGAAUCAAUAUUUGUUCGAUUUGAGAGGUUGGGGGCAAUAAUUAAGUUAAUUUCAUGAGUGUUCCUACAAAAAUAUCGAAUAUCAGAUAUAUUAUUAUAAAGUUUAAGUUAUCACAUUUGUUCUUUUAAAAAUUCUAGCACAUUCAUAUUUGUCUCCAUGAUUUGCUGCUAUUAGUUUACUGUUUGUAUUCAUAAUUCGUAAGUGAAAUGAUAAUUUUAUUAUUAUAAAUUUAUCUCUUCAAACAUUUCAAUAGUUAUAAGUGUGGUCCUUUUCUCUAUUAAAAUCAACUCAACUCUUGAUGGGAGGGCUCCGCGGGACGAUAGAAAGCUUUGUCUACGAGCAGCAUAUAUCCUUUUUGUCGCACCUUUUGAGUUUACAGGUCGCUUAGAGCACAUUAGUUAGUUAAUAAGAUUUUUUAUAAGAGGGAUGAAAAUAUGAUUUUAUUUCUUAAGUAACUAUUGUUAAGUAUUUUAUUCAUGAUUAAUUAAAUAUUUUCUAAUAAAGACUAACGGUAGGAAUAUACUUGCAACAAUAUUAAAUAUUGAAGGAGAAAAUCUAAUAUCUUUGUAAAAACAUAUAUGAAUUAUUACCAUAUAUAUAUAUAUAUAUAUAGAGAGAGAGAGAGAGAGAGAGAGUUGAACUGGGCUACUAUUAAAAACAAAAUUCUAUUGUUGCUACCAGUUUUUUAGUCUUUGGAUCAACUCUUUUCAUUAUUUCUAACCAUUGGAUUAAAUACUAUAACCCAGUGGGGACCACUCAACUCUAACCGACUAAUAUCAUUCUGAUCCUACAAUUUUUCAUCUAAGGGUUAAAAACUUGAUAGCAAAAAAAGCGUUUUACUAUUAAUAGUAUUCCAGACUAAUUUUAUAUAUAUAUAUAUAUAUAUAUAUAGAGAGAGAGAGAGAGAGAGAGAGAAAGAGGAGAGGCUAGGCCUGGUAUACUAUCGGUAGCACAGAGGCUCCGUGCUAAAGUGUUUUCAAUGAUGCGGCUUUCAAAUCGACAAUGCGCUUUAUUAGACUUGAUCUACACUAUAAAAGGUAUUUGGAAACUAAAAUUUCAUAAUUUUCGACAUCAUUCUGCUAGUGAUCAAAAGGUUUGCAAAAUAACAAUUUUAAUUGGUAGAUAUGAUGCGUUUUUUAAGUUCAGCGGUGUAGAAGUAUUCAAAUUAGAUGAAAUUAUAAUAGAAAUUCUACUUAAACAUCAAUAGCAAGACAUACUUCCGAUCUGAAAUUUGAAUUCUUUAUCAUUGUUUUUUAUGAGAUUUUCAUUUUCAGCCGUUCAUUUUAAACUACUCGUUUGAAUUGGUAAAUGACGCCGAAAAAUCAUGAAAUUUAGUUUUCAAAUAUUUUCAAUAAUGUAGAUCAAAUCUAACGGAGCCGAUCGUCGAUUUAGAAGCCGCAUUAUUGAAAACAACUUGGUAGCACGGAGACCUCUGUGCUACCGAUAGUAUACCAGCCUAGGCUCUACUCUCUCUCUCUUCUCUCUCUCUCUCUCUCUCUCUCUCUCUCGCUAUAUAUAUAUAUAUAUAUAUAUAUAUAAUUAUAUAUAUUAUAUGAGUAGAGCUACUAUACUAUCGGAAUCAUAAAGUGGUUGCUGCUUCUGAUUUUUUAGCCCUUAGAUCAACCCCAUUGAUCAUUUUUAACCAUUGGAUUAAUAUUAUUAACCAAUGAGGACCACUCAACCCUAAGUGAACCGCUAUCAUCCCAACCGUAAAAUCUUUGAUCCAACGGCUAAAAAAUCGGAAGCACCAACUACUUUAUGCUUCCGAUAGCAUAGUAGCUCUACAUUAUAUAUAUAUAUAUAUAUAUAUAUAUAUAUAUAUAUAUAUAUAUAUAUAUAUAUAUAUAGCAAACAGGCUCCGUUGCCAUCCAUUUGUUUUCGAUGAUGGAGCUUUUAAAUCGACGAUCGACACCGUUGAACAUGAUCUAUAUCACUUAAGGUAUUAGAAAUCAAAUUUUAAAUUUUUUCGACAUUAUUGACCUAAUGAUCAAAGAGUUUCAAAAUUUAUAAUUUUAAUGAUCGAUAUGAGGCGUUUUCUCGUUUAACGCUGUAAAACUAUUCAAAUCAAUUGAAUUUUGGUUAGAAAAUUCUUUAAACUAUUUAGAACAAGAUCCAUAUUCUCGAUCUUGAUUAUAAAAUUCCUAUCAUCACCUUUUAGAGGAUAUUCAUUUCAGCCAUUCAUUUUGAUGCCCACUUGAUGAACAAGAGAACAAUAUCGGAAAAAUAUAAAAUUUGAUUUCUAAAUACUUUAAGUGGUAUAGAUAAUUUUCAACGGUACCGAUCAUCGAUUUAGAGGCUCCAUCAUCGAAAACAAAUGGAUGGUAACGGCGUCCGUUUGCUACCGAUAGUAUUCCAGCUCAACUCUUUAUAUAUAUAUGGUAUGUAAUAUAUAUGGUAACAUGAAUAACUCCUAUAUUAGAAAAAAGUGAUAUGUUGGAUCAAAUAUGAAUAACUCCUAUAUUACAUAGGAGUGAUAUGUUGGAUCAAAUAUUCUCACAUGACAAAAUUUUAGAUUUUUGGCUUUUGGAUGAAAGGAUGUGCGGUUAUGAUGAUAGUGGUCCUCUAGAGUUGAGCGAGUAGUUAGUUGAAUAGCAUGAUUUAACGGAAAGAAAUAGUAAAUGAAUAAAUCUAAUGGUAGAAAAUUUAGUGGCGCACCAGGUGCCUUGGUACUAUUAGAAGCACCUCGACAGGACUAUAUAUAUAUAUAUAAAGAGAGAGAGAGAGAAUAAUGUUACUAUACUAUCGAUAGUACAAAACGUUUGGUAUUAUCAAGUUUUCGGCCGUUGGAUAAAAGGAUGUGGGAUAAUAUUAUGAUAGUAGUCCCCUAUAAUUGAGUGGGUUGUUGUUAAAUAGUAUAAUUUAACGGAUGAAAAUGAUCAAAGGAUAGAUCCAACGGCAGAAAACUUGAUAGUACCAAAAAUUUGGUACUAUUGAUAGUAUAGUAGCCGGACUAUAUAUAUAUAUAUAGUCUGGCUACUAUACUCUUAUGAGUAUAGUCUCUUUUAUACUCAUAAAUUUUUUGUCGUUAGAUCUAUUUCUUUAAUUAUUUCUAUCCGUUAGAUCGUACUAUUCAACCAACUACCUACUCAACCCAAGGGGACCACUAUCAUCCUAACCGCACAUCUCUUUAUCUAAUGGUUGGAAACUUAUGAGUACAAAGGAGGCUAUACUCAUAAGAGUAUAGUAGCCCUAGCCUAUAUAUAUAUAUAUAUAUAUAUAUAUAUAUAUAUAUAUAUAUAUAUAUAUAUAUAUAUAUAGAUAUGAAGAGAGUAGAGAGAGGAGAGAAGAGAGUAGUGCUAGCUGUAUAGCUUGGUAGUAACAAGGCCUCCGUACUACCAAAGUGUUUCUACUGAUCCGAAAUGUCCAAAUUGACGAUCAGCUACGUUAACUUGAUCUAAUACUAUUGAAAGUAUUUAAUAAACUAAUAUAUAUAUAUAUAUAUAUAUAUAUAAUAUAUAUAUAUAUAUUAUAUAUAGUCCGGCUACUAUCCUAUUAAUAGGAAGAUUGGGACCUGUUUGUGAUCCUAUGCAAAGUCGAUUUGAAUGAUCGGCUAAGCUCAAGAUUGAUAAUCAACACCUACGUUGAAAUUGAUCUAUCAGCAAUUAGAAUGUUUAGAAACCAAAAUUUUUGUAUUAAUUAAAAAUUCAUUAUCAGGUUCAUCUAUAAAGAGUUGAAAAAUGAACGCGUCAUAAAUGAAGUAAUCUUCUAAAGAUCAGAGGUUAGACUUUCUCAGUUCGUAAUCAGAGUUAUCAAACAUUAUCUAAAUAGUAUAAAGAAUUUUUUAUCAAAAAUUUAAGCAAUUUGGAUUGCUCUACACCGUUAAACAAGCAAACGGCUCAUAUAGGCCGUCAAAAGUUAUCGAUUUUACGACACUUUGAUCACCAUGUAAAUCAGUAUCAAAAUUUAUGAAAUUUAGUUUCUAGAUAUUUCAAAUACUCUAGAUCAACUUCAACGGCUCCGAUCAUCGAUUCGGAAUCUCGAUCAUCAAGAACAACUUGAUAGGACCAGUACUCCUAUCCUAUUAAUAGGAUAGUAGCAUUAGCCUCUAUAUAUAUAUAUAUAUAUAUAUAUAUAUAUAUACAAGUCUAUAGGUUAAUUUGAUGUGAAAAAAUAUAAUACAACAAGUAUAUAUAAUAUCUUUGACUUUAUUAAUGAGCAUAUAAAAAUUGAGCUUUGUGGUCAAUACUGAGCUAAAAUAACGGAAAGGUUAUUAGCUAAUUAUAGCGAAUUGAAAUCCAAUAAAAAAUAAUUAUAUACAAUUUUAAAGUCAAAUUUUGGAUUCAAGCAUUUAAGCCGUACUAACAAUGAUUAAAAGUUCAACAAACGUACAAAUAAAAUUGUGGCCAAUUUGUUCUCAACUUCGUACUGAUAGGAAGGAAAUUGAGAUCGCGUAUAUGUCUAGCUAUACUAUAUUUCAAUAAUUUUUUUAUGUAACUGACCGUUUCUAGAGCAAGUGGCAAAGGACUUGGUGGUUGGUACUCUAAAUCUAAGUUUGAAUCUUAGUUGAUUCACAUUUCUAGCUAAAUUUAUUUCUAAAUGAAAUAAACGAAACAGAUAGUGUGCUACUUAUCUCUCAAAAAAAAAAAAAAUCUCUUAUGUAAAAAACAAAUCAAAUUCAAAGAAUUUACUGUCCCUUUCCAUCAAUUUAAUUUAUGAUAAAUAAGACGACACGUUGUUAGUCCUUUUUAGAACGCACUGUCUCUUUCUAUGAAUAAAUUUACGAUAAAUAAAGACGCCACGUUUCUCUUAUUUAAUUCCAUCAUCAACUUUAUAAAGUUAUGCUGUGUUGGACAGCUAUUCUUGCCAAAAUGUUGUUGAAUCGAAAAAUAAAAAAUAAAAAAAAAAUCUUCUCAUGUUACAAAAUUUUAUUUUCUAAAAUUUAAUUAAAAGAUUUGUCAUCGAGUUUUAAAAAAAAGCUUUGCAUUUUCAUCUUUAAUCGCACACACAAAAUUAUAACAAUAACAGUUGUUUUAUAAGCAAAUAAUAAUAAUAAUAAUAAUAAUUAAAGUGCAAUUGAUUUAUUAAUGAAAGGGGUUUAUUCUUAUUUACGCCUGACUACUAUUCGAAUUUUUAAAUUUAUCCAUAACUUAUCAAAAUAUUCUUCUAAACCCAAAUUUCAUUAGGAAUUUAGGGAUAUUUGAAGGGAUUUUAAAAAUAAAAAAAAUAUUUUGAUCAAUAAGAAAUAUAUUAGAUAUUUUUAAAAUUUUAAAGGGUAUACUAGAUAUAAUUCUAAAUAUUUAUUUUAACAAUUGGUCUAAUAGAGAGUUUCAAAGUCACAAUAUGAACAGUCAAAAAAUAUAUAAUUAAACUUUAGCAAAAAUUAAAUAUAAGUAAUUAGUUAAAAAUAAAGGCCAAUUUGCAUAAAAAUCCAUAAAUUUUGAGCAUUUAUAAAACUGGGCCGUCAUUUUCGAUUUUACAGAUUCGGACCGGAUUUUUAAAAAAUUGAUCAAAAUAUUCUUAUUCUUUUCUCCCUGUCUCCCUUUUUUUUUCCUCUCGUUCUUUCUUUUCCUUCUUCGAGAGGCGGAGGCGGAGACGGAUGCGGCCCGCCUCGCCUCUACCCCCCACGCCCUCACACACGUCCACGCACCACCCGCCCUCCUAGCCGCUAACCCCACCAAAGCUGCACUUGUCGCCACCCUUCGGGACACCCCUCCUCGCAUCCACCCCAUACGCCCUCACUCACGCCCGCUCACCCCCCACCCUCUUCGCCUUCGACACUGCCGAGGUUGCGCCGUAAUACUAUUUUUUCCUCCUUCCAAACCUCCUCCACCGCCUCCGCGGCCCUUCGCGAUGCACCUCCACCUCCACCUCCACCCCUACUACAGCAGGUUUUUCACCCACUAAAUUCACUUCUGGGAACCCGCCGUCCUCACUACCGUCAAUAGCGACAAAGAGGAAGAGCUUUUCGGCGCUAAGAAGCUCGCUCGCUAGGAAGGGGGCAUGCAACCCAUAGGGCCGAUGACAAGCGAGGUGGAGAUGGAGGAGAGCGUGACAAGGCUGGAGAAAAAGGCGAGGCUGUGGCGAGCGCGGCAUCCCAGAGAGCAGCGGCGAGUGCAGCCUCGCGGGGUCGGAGGCAAGGAGGGCGAAGGGUGCAUGAAAGCAUCUCUACUCAAGCACUUUUGUUUGCUUAAAACAAAAUAAAUUAGCUAUAAUUAAAAAUUAGAGAAUAAAAAAGAAGAAUUAGAGAAGAAGGAAAAAGAAGAUAAAGUUGUACUAUUAAUAUAAAGUUACACUAUUUUAGAAGAAUGUUGUAAUAUUAUAGACGUAAGUUGCACUCUUUUAGAUCUAAAUUGUAUCCUUUAAGAGAAAAAUUAUACUCCUUAAACGAAAGUUGCACUGUUUGAAAGAUAUUUAUACUAUUUUUUUCUUCCAAAGAGUUCAACUUUCGUUUAAAAAAUACAGUUUUUAUCUUAAAUGGUGCUCUUUGAAAAAAAAAUAGUGUUAACUAUCUUCCAAAUAGUGCAACUUUCGUUUAAAGAGUAUAACUUUUAUCUUAAAUAGUGCUCUUUGGGAAGAAAAAUAGUGUAAUUAUCUUCAAAAGAAUGCAAUUUUUUUUUAAAGAGUGUAACUUCUAUCUUAAAAGGUACAGUUUAUAUCUCAAAAAGUGCAACUUAUGUCUAUAAUAGUGUAACGUUCUUCUAAAAUAGUGUAAUUUUAUCUUAGCAGUGUAACUUCAUCUUUUUCUUUCUUCUUCUCUAGUUUUUCUUUAUUAUUAUCUAGUUUUUGGUUUCUAGUUAAUUUUUUUUGUUUUAAGAAAACAAAAGUGCUUGACCAGAGAUGCUCUCGUGCACCCCCCGCCCUCUUCGUCUUCGACCAAGUCGAGGCCGGGCUCGCCGCUGUCCUCUGGGAUGCCGCCGCCCCGCCCUCUUCUCUGGCGUCGUUGCGCUGUCCUACGUCUCCACUUCNCUGUGCUCGCCGCUGCCCUCUGGGACGCCACGCUCGCCGCCGCCUCGCCCUUUUCUUCGACGUCGUCAUGCUCUCCUCCGUCUCCACCUCACUCGUCAUCGGCCUCGAAUGGGCGCGAUGAGUCGCAUCACUCCUCCCCCUCCAGCGAGCUUUUUGAUCCCAAGAAACGCUUUCUUUUCGUCGUCGUCGGUGUAGUGAGGACAGCGAGUUCCCAGAAGUGGGUUUGGUGGGUGAAAAAUCUACUGUAGUGGAGGUGGAGGUGGAGGUGGAUUGCGAAGGGUUGCGGAGGCGGUGAGGAGGUUCGGAAAGAAAAAAAAUAAAGAGGACCGCGACGCAGCCUUGGCGGGGUCAAAGGCGAGGAGGUCGGGGGGUGAGCGGGUGUGGGUGAGGGCGCAUGAGGCAGAGGCAAGAAAGGGCGUCCUAAAGGGCGACGGCAAGGGCAGCCUUGGCUAGGUCGGAGGCGAGGAAUGCAGGUGGUGUGCAGACGCGGACGAGGGCGCUGGUGGCAGAGGUGAGGCCGGCCGCUUCCCUCCUCCGCCUCUCGAAGAUGGAAAAACAAAGAACUAAGAAUAAAAAAUAAAAAAAAAAGGAGAAAGAGAAUAGAAUAUAGAUAUUUUGGUCAGUUUUCUGAAAAUCCAAUCCGAAUUUACAAAAUCGCAAAAGACAUUCUAAUUUUACAAGAGCUCAAAACUUAUAAAUUUUUUAUACAAAUUGGCCAAAAUAAAUAUUUAAAAUCAUAGGACAUGACAUGAUAUGAUGGGAUGAGAAGUCGAGCUCCUUUCACUCCGAGUCAUAACAAUAAAAUCAUAUAAAUUUUAUUUUCACUAUCAUUUAUUUUCAUCGAAAUAUUUUAUAUUUAAAAAAAUUUUAUUUUACUAUCAAAUUUUUAAUUUAUUUUACUUUAGUCAUAACUUCAAAAUUUGAACGGACUAUUUAUCUUAUGGAUUUAAUUAAUAUACUUUUAUGUAAUGUACGUAACAAUAAAUUUAUUAAUGUAAGCAAUUAGUUUAAAUUUAGUAUCAAAAAAAUUAUUAGAUUCUUUAAAUUAAAUAAAUUAAAAAAUUAGAUAUUAAAGAUAAAAUUUUGAAAGGUUAGAUAAUCCAAUCAAAAUAGACUAUAUAUAGUUCAAAUAAAUUUUUUAUAUUUUUACCUCUUUUUUUAGAUGACUCAAAAGAAAUACGAUCCAAUUUUACUACAGGUGAGAGAAGAUUGGACCGACAUUAAGGAGUUGUUUGGUUGCAUGUAAUUGCAACUCCACUGUAGUUGCAACUAUAUACAAAUCCAAAUUCGACAUUUGGUUUGAUGUGUUUGAAUCCAACUGCUGCAGUUGAAACUGCAUAAGAGAGCCCAACUGCAGUAGUUAUAACUGCAUCUAAACAGCAGUUCCAACUACAGCAGUUGGGAAGAGUUAUUUUCAACAAGAGAUAAACUUACCACUUUAUAUAUUGGAGGUAAUUUUAUUACAAUAUAAAUAAAUGAUAAAAUUUUAUAAACACGCUUAUCAACUACAUGCAACCACACAAAUUUUUUAUAAUUGAAAAUUUUUCGGCUGCAUCUAUUUAAACAAGACAUAUAUAGUUAUAACUGUUGUAUCUCUAACUAUAUGUAUCUAUAACUAUACUAUAUUUUUAAUUAUAUCAAUCCAAACUGUUCUUAAGAGAUCACAAAAAUUCACUACACUACCACAGAAUUUUUGUCAAGAGAUAAGCGUGCUUUGAUUGUGCUCAGUUUCGGAUGAAGCUCGAGCUUCUUCGGUUUUUGUGGCCUUUUUUUUUUUUUUUUUCCGGCGUUUUUGUAUCCCUUUUUUUCUUGAUUUAUUAAUGUUUCUUUCUUUCUUCUUUUCUUUUUAAUAUAUUUUUACCGUGACUAACUCCCCAUAUCUAUUUUUUGAACUCUUGAUUUAAUUUUUUAGCUUUCAUCUCUUGGAACCAUGUUGUUUCACAUGUCUAUUUAUUCAUUUACCCAAUAAAUUCACUACUUUUCUCAAAAACAAACGAUUUUCUUUAGAAGCUAAAAUUUUUCCUUUCCAAAUUCUCAAUUUUUUUUUUAGCCUCAAUUAAUUCAGCUGAAAAUUAAGGUCUUAGAUUUUUUUUUUUUUUUUUUAUGACACAUGGAACAUACUAAAACUCAGAAACUCGAAACUCAGUUUAGUUGACUCAACGUAGCCAGAUUUUGAGGCUAAUUCGCUACAAAAAUAUGGCAGCACUAAAUUCGGAGUCAAAUAUAGUCAAACUCACCUGGCUCAAUCUAAUUACUUCAAAUUCAGAUGGAGUUCGAAUUAUUUAUUAAAUUUCACAUGAUGAUAACGCAUAAUAAUUUUCUGCUUAAUAGUUAAUAUAUUACGCCACUUGGUAUCCAGAGGUAUGAAACAGUAAUAUUAGAACAUUUUUAUUAUUAAUAAUUAAAAUACAAUAAAUAAAUAAAUAAAUAAAUAAAUAUAUAUAUAUAUAUAUAUAUAUAUUUGUUAGAGGAUUUGAGGAGGAAGGAAAAAAAGUGACACAUCUUCUCUGAACCCUUAGACUAUAGCAAUGAAAAUUUGUAGCUAUUGUCGCGUCCUAUUUAAUGUAGCUUUUAUUUUAAAUUUGUACUCUACCAAUUGUUCAAAUUUUUUUAAAUUUGAAAUUUAAUUGUACUUUUAUUUCUCUCCAUGGCCAAUUUAUUAUCUUUUGGCCAGUCACAGCAUACAUGAUAGCUAGGUACAAAUGCAGGUCCCUGGGCUUAACGAGCAAUUUCGUUUGUUGCUUUCAACAUCACAAAAUGAACUUUUUAGGUAUAGUGCAAAUUCUAUUUACAUUAGUGGAUAUUUUAGAAGAGAUUUUGUAGUGUCUCGGGAGAUUAGUUGUUGAACUCACUGCAGCACCAGUGGCUUGUCGUUAUAUUUGUAAAGUGUUGAGACGAGUUAGAGUCGUUUUGGUGCGAAAGAGAAGCAAAAAUGGACUUGGAGCUGUAAGAGUUGGUAUUCGGACACUGAAAUCUGCAAAAAUAGAAUUUUGAGUGUUGAGUACCAGUAUCUGAGAAGUGUACCGGUACUCCAGAAGGAUUACGCAAAGGGGAACCCUUGGGUUUGUGCAUAUCUGUGUUGAGUACCGGUACCUAACCGGUGAGUACCGGUACUGCACUGAGUCAGUACCGGUAGACGACUGCAGUCCGUGUGCGGGGUACAGGUACCCAAAUUGAGUACCGGUACGUACCCAGGCGGUAGAUUUGAGUUGGUAAGAAAUCUUUUGGUCAUUUUUGUUGUUGGGAUUAUUCCAACCGACCCCAGCUUGUAUAUAUGUAUAGAGAGAGCUUGGAGAACGGGUAGUUCUCUCCUUUUUCUCUGUCUCUAGCUGGUUUUUCCCAAGUUUAGAGGAAUUUGAGGAUUAAACUCAUUUCGAUCUCCUUUGCUUAGGAGGAUCGUUCGCGCGUCGUGGGGUUGCUUCCGGUUGAAGCUAUUCCGGUGCGGGGUUUCUUCUAUCUACUUCUAGCCGGUGUUGGACGAGCGUUCGAGGUGGGUUGAUAUUGACCGAACACUUUGGAGUUCCUUCUUAGUUGUCAGCAUGUGUUACUUGUUGUAGAACCUCAUAUUAGUAGUUCAAAUUUAUGGAUUUACAUGUUUUAUAUGAAAUUUGAAUUUGGAGCAUAGUUUAUUGAUAUUAGAUAAAUUUUUACAUACUGAACUGUGAUUUGACUUAGGAGAAAACUCGGUAAACCUACACCUGUCAGUUUUCAAAAAGUUAACAAUAUUAGCUUUACGAACUGCUUUUCUUUUGUAUCGCUGCUCUUAGUGUGCUAUGAAUACUUAGAUUAGUGUAGGUUGAUAUUGCGCUCAUGCUAAGGGGCUGAGCUGAUGGUUAGUAGAGUUGGGUUGUUCCGUACUGUCGGGUGCCAUCGAGGCUGACGAUGGAUCCAGAUUUCUAUACCUUACGUUAGAUUAUGCCGAGGGCACGUGAGCCUUGAUUGUUAGACCAGUUUAACCCAUUUGCAUUGACUAUAGCCUGAGUGAGCCUCAUUGAGCUCGACACAGAUACGCUUGCAUACUCGGUUGGGUCCCUGCCACGAAUGCCACUCCGAAGUGAGACUUUACUUGCGUUGAUAUCGCAGCAGUCCUGUUUGGACAGUUUUGGACUGGCCACCUCCGUGGGUGGUGUGCGGUAUAAUAGGGUACAAGCUGUACUGGUCAGUCGGCGGUCCUUAAGAUUCGGUCAGUGUGAGUGAUUUGUGGCUAAUGAUGCAUUUUUAUAUUUAUAGAAAGACUGGUUUGAAUAGCAGUAGUAUGGUAACAUAUAGCUGUAGAGUUAUUUUCAGCUUAUUUACUAUCCAUUAUCUAAUUGUUCAGAUUGGUACUGUAGACUUAGUGAAUGGGCCGUUGGGGUCGAUAAUGGUACCCGCUGUGAACUACUUUAUUUUGCAGUAGUUCUCACAUCCAAUUAUUGCCACCAUUUUGCAGAGCCGUCCACUGCUACUGCUGAUUCUGACCGCAGUAAGGAAGUCGCGAACUAGAUCCCUACCUUCCUUGGUUACUGUACUAGAGUUAGUACCCCUUUUAGAGAUAGUUUUGGAAUGUUACCAUGUACAUAUUGUUUUGUUCUGUUGUACUCUCUGAGUCGAGAUUGUAUUUUGGAUAUUAUAUGUACAGUGAGUUUAGUAUAUAUAUAUAUGUGUGUGUGUGUGUGUGUUUGUUUAUGUUUUAGCAGCUCUGUGCUUUGGUUGUAACUCCUAUUUAUUUACAGGUACAGUUAUCGUUUUGUAUACACAAAAAAUUUUUUGGUAUACGACGGAUCUGUUGACGGGCCUGAAAAACGUAGUAAUUCGAGACGUGAUAGAUUUAAUAUAUCAAAUAUCAAAUAUCAAACAUAGCAAAUGAAUCUCACGGUACAACAAGUUUGAGAAAGUUGACCGUGUAGUUGGCUAACUACGUACGUACCAUAAAAUAUAUGCAAUAUAAUUUGAGAAACCCACUAACAAGUAGAUAAAUGACAAGAUAAUAAAGUACAACAAGAGCACAAGUAAUUUACAUUAUUGGACUAAUAAUAUGUCGGUCUAUGUUCAUGGACAAGACCUUCUGAAUACGUUGUUGUUAUUAUUAUUAUUAUUAUUAUUAUUAUUAGUUCACCUCCUGAAUAAAUUUUUUUUAUUAAUUCACAAUAAAUAGAAGGAAUAGUUUUGGAUACAAGUAUCUCUCUUAUAAGAUUCUUCCAUGUUUUCUCUUUCAACUACCAUUUUAUAAUGAAGCUCCGAAUUCUAAAACAAGGAUCACAAUGGUUUAUAAAAUCUAGAAAAUCCAAAACAAGUAGAAAACGAUCACUAGUGUUGAUAUAAGCCUCCAAUUCACCUCUUGCCAUCUAUUUUCGCUUAAAUAAAUUUCUGACAAUUAUAAUUACUACUAAAUAGUUUUGUGGUAAUUAUAAUAAUUUUUAUUAUUUGUAGAAUCGGUAAACAUUAUUGUGACAUUAUUUCUGACAGUUGGUAAAAUUUUAAAGAAAUACCGUUAUAUAAUACACAAUAGUAAUUAUUAUAAAUGUUACUAUAAUUAAUUAUAAUUGUCACAAAAAACAUACUAAAGGAUUGCUAAAUAAGACUUAUAGCGACAAUUACAAUUAGUAUUAAAAUACUCGAUCAACAACUAAAUACUCUAAUGAACUGAAAUAUUAAGAAAUUGUAAUAACCAAAGAGUAGUAAUAAUUCGUAUAACAAAUACUUUUUACUCUCGAAUUAUAAUCUCGAUUUUCAAAUUAAAUUUCGAAUAUGAGUUCCAACAAUAAAAUAUUUGUUUGAAUUUUAGCUAAACAAUAAUAACAAAUUCUAAAUGAUACUAAACACCUAAAAAUUUCAAAUUCUAAAUUUUUAAGUCUCGUUGUUUCGCUUCGAAAGUUUACUCAGAUCGAUGAUAAGGAGUGGAAGAACCUGCUUAGAAAGUAACAUUUGCAAUUAAUACUAAAAAUAAGCGAUAUUAGUAAUAAAAAGUAAAUAUGGAUUACAAAGAUAAUCAAAUUGAGGAUAGAAUCCAAACAAAAUCAAAGCACCAAAAGUUUGCAAUAGUCAUCGCCCUCUUUGAUCACAUUAUAAUACUUCAACUGGAAAUUUAAUCUAGUUAUCGGCUAUGAAUUCAUAUAUAAAGUAAUGAGAUUAUCUCCAACACAAAAAAAAAAUGAUACUUAAAUGGUGAUUAGAUAGGAAUUGUAGUUCUUGUUUAAAAUUACUCUCUCUAACUACUAUAAUUUAAAUUAGCAACCAAUUUAGACAUAAUUUCAAAUACUACAGUUAAGUUUUCUUAUACAGAACUAACUACAACAAUUGAAUUCAAUUACAUCAAAUUGAUGACAUCUAAUGCACAACUAGUUUUUUUUUUUUAAUAAAUAUUAAUAAGUCAAGAGUAAUUUAAGUAUUAAAACUAGUGACUCAAAUCAUGCCAUCCUCAUAGGCUCAAAUUGAUGACAUCUAAGUGCACAACUAGCAUUUUUCUUAAUAAAUAUUAAUAAGUCAAGAGUAAUUUAAAUAAUAAAACUAGUGACUCAAAUCAUGCCAUCCUCAAAGGCUCCAAUCAUGUCAUCCAGCUCCUAUAUCUAGACCUGGCAUAUUUUCUUAAUUAAAAUAUAUUUAUUUAUUUAUCCAUUAUAAAAAUUUUAAUUCUAAUUUUUUAUUGUGUCUUUUAUAUUAUGAAAUUUUUUUACUUUAAGAUUUUAAAUAUUUUUAUUAUAUGUUAUGAUAUUUUAAAUAAUAAGUUAUGUUACACAUUUAAAAUUUAUAUAUAUGUAUUUUGCAUUUAAAAAAAUAUAAGAGCGGAAAUGAAAAAAUUUGCUGGUAACCCGCAUACCCACUCGCCCAUCCGUGGGAGGGCACGGAUAAAAAUGUUGGCUACCCAAAAAUUUAUGGAUAAAUUUUGUCUUGUCCAAGUAAUCUGCGGGUAUAAUGAUUCGUCCGUGGGUUAUCCAACCCGCCCGUUUAUCAAGCCUAUCUAUAUCUGUUAAUUCUCCCAAUACUCUAGCAGAAUCUAAACCUACAGCUUUGAAAAGAGGAAACAAGGGAUUAGCUGCCAAAACAAGUGCUCUAACAAGGCAAGAGAUUCCGAAAAUAACUCCUGUUGCUAAAAAAAAGCCUAAGGAUAAUUACUUUGAUUCGUAGCAUACUGAACCAUUAUAAUUUGAUAUAAUAGUUUAAGCUAGAAAAAUGGCGGAAAAAAGUUGAACCCCAAUCCCCUUUAGUCAUACAGAAGACUACCUUCUCUAUAUUGGGGUUCUACUGUGCUUUAUAAUCUUGAUUCAUUGUAUAUUGAAUCAUAUACGAGAGAGCUAGAGAAAGAGAGAGAGCAGAACUACUUACUCUUAUAAGUACAGAGCCUUUCAUACUCAUAAAUUAUUUUUGAUGAUGAAGCUUCGGAAUCGAUACUGCACUCCGUUAAAUAUGAUCUAAAGUAUUUGAAACCUCUAAAAAAUAAAUUUCGUAAUUUUUCAAAAUCAUAAUAAAGUCCAUCAAACGAGUAUAAAUGAACGGUCAAAAUCAAACGAUAUUCUAAAAAUAGAUGAUCGGAUCCUUCAAUUUAAGAUCGGAAUUGUUGAUCUUUACCUAGAUAGUGAAAAGAAUUUUUUACCAAAAAUUCAACCGAUUCCGAUUUUUUUACACCGUAAACUAAAAAGUACAUACCGACCGCUAAAAAUUAUCAAUUUUGAGAUCUUUUGAUCGUAAGAUAAAUAAUAUAAAAAAUUUAUAAAAUUUAAUUUGUUUAAGUUUUAAAUAAUUUAGAUAAUAUUAACGGUAUGAAUCGUCAAAUCAAAAACUAUAUCAUCAAAAACGACUUAUGAGUAUGAAGACGAUAGUGCUCAUAAGAGUAUAGUGACCGAGCUCUCUCUCUCUAUAUAUAUAUAUAUAUCCGCCUUAAUUAAUUCAGCUGAAAAUUGGGAAUAAAAUAUUAAACACGAACUCCAAUUAAAUAAAAAGGAAGAAGACGAGCAUCAAAUAUAAUACCAGUAUUUAUUUACUUUACUUUUGUUAUACAUAGGAACAUACUAAAACUCGUAGACUCAAAACGCAGCUGAGUUGAUUCAACUCGACCAGAUUUCGCGCUAAUUCACCAUAAAAGCUUGGCAGCACUAAAUUCAAAGUCAAAUAUAGUCAAACUCAACUGGUUCAAUCUAAUUACUUCAAACUCAGAUUGAUUUCGAAUUAUCUAUUAAAUUUCACAUGAUACUAAUGCACAAUAAUUUUUUGCUAAAUAGUUAAAGUAUUAUGCCACUUGCAUGUUGGUAUUGAGAGGUAGAAAACAGUAAUAUCAGAAUAUUUUUAUUACUAACAACUGGAAUAUAUAUAUAUAUAUAUAUAUAUAUAUAUAUAGUUGAUCUAGGAUACUUUUACAAGUAUCAUCACCAUGUUGCUAUCAGGUUUUUAGCCAUUGAAUCUACUUUUUGAUUACUAAUAGCCCUUGGAUCAAACACUAUUCCACCUACCACCACCUACCACCACCUACCACCACCUACCACCAUCAUCUCAGCCUCACAUCUCUCCAUCCAAGGGCUAAAAAUACACAAGUAUCACUUGGGUGAUACUUGUAAAAGUAUUCUAUCCCUACUCUAUAUAUAUAUAUAUAUAUAUAUAUAGUGCGUCCGGUAUGCUUCUGGAAGCACGGAACUCUCCGUGCUUCCAAGUUAUUUUCGAUGUUCGGACUUUCGAAUCGACGAUCGGCUCCGUUAGACUUGAUCUAGAGUAUUUGAAGUAUCUAAAAAAUAAAUUUUGCGAUUUUUCGAUAUCAUUUGCCUGGUGAUCGAAGUGGCUCAAAAUUAACGGCUGAAAAUAAAAAUAUUACAAAAUAUGAUGAUAUGACAUUAAAAUUUUAGAUCAAAGUUAUUGAUCUUGUUUUAUAUGAUAUAAAAAAUUUUCAAUCAAAAUUUCAUGUGAUUUGGAUAUUUUUACACCGUUAAACUUGCAAACGGCUCACCACGGCCUUUAAAAUUAUUUAUUUUGAGCCCCUUCGAUCAGUUGAGAAAUGAUAUCGAAAAUUCACAAAAUUUAUUUUCUAAGAACUUCAAAUACUCUAGAUCAAGUCCAAUGGAGCCGAUCAUCAAUUCGAAAGUCCUUACAUCAAAAACAACUUGGAAGCACAUAGGGCUCCGUGCUUCCAGAAGCAUACCAGCCCAUUCUAUAUAUAUAUAUAUAUAUAUAUAUAUAUAUAUAUAGAAUUAGGCUGGAAUACUAUUAAUAGUAAAACGUUCUUUUUGCUAACAAAUUUUUAACCCUUGAAUGAAAAAUUAUAAGGUCAAGAUGAUAUUAGUCGGUUAGAGUUGAGUGGUCCCCCUAGGGUUGAGUGGUCCCCACUGGGUUAUAGUAUUUAAUCCAAUGGUUAGAAAUAAUGAAAAGAGUUGAUUCAAAGGCUAAAAAACUAGU